RNAcentral lists this long non-coding RNA (94523 nucleotides) under Lactuca sativa (garden lettuce). Its description in RNAcentral is "long non-coding RNA (LSAT_LNC003929)". Lineage: Eukaryota; Viridiplantae; Streptophyta; Magnoliopsida; Asterales; Asteraceae. The record is from RNAcentral.
UGCUGUUGGAGUGAUGUUUCUUGUGGAGUGAAAAUAGAGAGAAAGGGUGGUGAGUAGUGGGCGCAGGGCUGUUGCUGCAGCUGAACUCAUAUUCACCAGGCGGAGNNNNNNNNNNNNNNNNNGUGGUAUGAGCGGUGUUUGGCGGUGAAAGCCUCCCGGUUGAUGUGGUACUGGUGGAACAUCAGGUUCUGUAAGGCUUUUCCGGCGAUCUUGCCACGCCUUAUCAUCAUGUUGAGGUCCAGCAACAACUUUCUCUUGGAUAUGCCUUUUCGCAGCAUGAAGUAAACCACACGAACUAAGUUCCAAACUUUCUUGGCUAAAACCGGUAGAUUUUGUUCCAUUUUUGUAACUAAGAAAGUUAUUGGCUGUUGUUUAAUAGUAUAUGAAGAAGAUUGCAGAUAAAUUGUUGUGAAAUGGAGGGACGACGAAUGAGAGUACUUAUAGGAAACAAACACCGUUUGUCACUUUGUCCUUUGAUGUUAAGUUCUUUUUUUUUUUUUUUUUUUUCACAACAUUAAUCAUACCCAUUGGUUUGUCUUUUGAUUUUAAAGUUAACCAGACAGUGUGUGGGACCUUCGUAAUUUAAUAAGUUCACUUAGCUUUUUAUAUUUCACUUUACUUUAUGUACGCACUACUUGGGUUGUUGUCUUCUACUCUCGAUCUUUUCUUUUCCAUAAAUUAUUAGGAAGGGUUUGUGGCAGAUUUUGGAUUGGAUAAGAUUAUGGCCAUGUGUUAUUUGUUUAAUGUUUAACUUGAUCAUAUACAUACAUGGUUUCAUUAAUCUUGUAUAUGUAUAAUUGCAAAUGUUAUGUUUUAUUGAGUCAAAAUUAACUACUCUUAAUCGUGUUAAUCAUAUUUGUGUGUGAUUAUAUUUACAUAAAAAGACUAAAGUUUUUAGUUUAGACUAUGGAUGCAACAUUCCAAAUGUUAAAUUUCAAAAAUCUUUGCGAAUGAUAUAAUUAACUAUUGACGUAAAUAUUAGAAGUGCUAGGAACCAUAUUAUUGAUUUACUUAGGUUAUCAGGAGUGCUUAAGGCAUCAAAUAUAACCACAUCACCAACAACACUAUUCCAACAACAUUUGGAGAUGGUAGUCACACGACCAAGAAAAAAAAAAAGAGGAAGAGAUAAGUCACUUCAGCCUAAUUACACACACGUUACAAUGGUAUCAUAGCCUUAUCUAUAAAACAUAUAUGGCAAUAAGGCAUAUAGUGAUUGUAUGUCUAGUUUUUCAUAUUUUUAUUUUAAAAUUGCAAUUGUUGUGAUUAGGGUGAGAAUUUGAAAUGGACUGGACCAAAUUUACAGAAAUUGAUGGACCUUUGAUCGGUCGUCAGGUCCACGUCCAGUUCCAAAUUUUGGAUGUAAAAGUAAGCAUUUGGACUAGAACGGCACUCACACCGGUCAUGUUUUGCAAAACUUAGUGGAUCUUCAACCCGACCUAUUGACGUUUACCAACUCCAGAUCGAAAUCUGGUUUCCGAUCCGGUCCGAGUGCCCAAAUAUUUACCCAAGGUUGCGACUAACAAUUUAUUACAGCAUUGAGUUUCAAAAGAUAUUUUAGUUUUUUAAUUUAUGAGUUUAAAGAAUAAGUAACCUUUUACACAUGUAAGAAGGAUACACAACCUUCGAAUUCCAUGCUGUCGCUAUAACCAAAAGUAAGUCCCCCAUUUGGUGGUUUAAACUUCUAGUCGUAGAGGGGAGAGGGAAAAGUAAUUACUUAGCGUUAGAGGUUUGGUGACCACUGCCCCUCCACCACGUUGCAACUCCCACCUCAUUAUGAAAGCAGUUUUCCCAAGAAACCUCCGACCAUACCUCCAAUUAUAGGUGUCUUAUAUACUACCCUUGAUAAUUUUGCUUCAUUUAAUUUAAAACUAAGAAAAGGCUCGUGCCGUUGCACACGUCAUUCUUUUUUUUAAAAAAAAAAGAAAGUAGAAGAAUAUGAUAAGCGAAAUGAGGCGUAUAUAAGUUAAGGGAAUGUAUAAGUUAACGGAAGGUAGGACCUAACUUUUUUAAAAAAUUUAAUAUANNNNNNNNNNNNNNNNNNNNNNNNNNNNNNNNNNNNNNNNNNNNNNNNNNNNNNNNNNNNNNNNNNNNNNNNNNNNNNNNNNNNNNNNNNNNNNNNNNNNNNNNNNNNNNNNNNNNNNNNNNNNNNNNNNNNNNNNNNNNNNNNNNNNNNNNNNNNNNNNNNNNNNNNNNNNNNNNNNNNNNNNNNNNNNNNNNNNNNNNNNNNNNNNNNNNNNNNNNNNNNNNNNNNNNNNNNNNNNNNNNNNNNNNNNNNNNNNNNNNNNNNNNNNNNNNNNNNNNNNNNNNNNNNNNNNNNNNNNNNNNNNNNNNNNNNNNNNNNNNNNNNNNNNNNNNNNNNNNNNNNNNNNNNNNNNNNNNNNNNNNNNNNNNNNNNNNNNNNNNNNNNNNNNNNNNNNNNNNNNNNNNNNNNNNNNNNNNNNNNNNNNNNNNNNNNNNNNNNNNNNNNNNNNNNNNNNNNNNNNNNNNNNNNNNNNNNNNNNNNNNNNNNNNNNNNNNNNNNNNNNNNNNNNNNNNNNNNNNNNNNNNNNNNNNNNNNNNNNNNNNNNNNNNNNNNNNNNNNNNNNNNNNNNNNNNNNNNNNNNNNNNNNNNNNNNNNNNNNNNNNNNNNNNNNNNNNNNNNNNNNNNNNNNNNNNNNNNNNNNNNNNNNNNNNNNNNNNNNNNNNNNNNNNNNNNNNNNNNNNNNNNNNNNNNNNNNNNNNNNNNNNNNNNNNNNNNNNNNNNNNNNNNNNNNNNNNNNNNNNNNNNNNNNNNNNNNNNNNNNNNNNNNNNNNNNNNNNNNNNNNNNNNNNNNNNNNNAUAUAUAUGUGUGUGUGUGUGUGUGUGUGUGAAACCCUUUUCUACAACAUUAAGCUGUCCACGUCUAUAAGAAACUUCCCCACCGACCACUCUUCAUGCCUCCGUCUGUUAGUAGUAAGCUGUUUGCCUGCUCGCUUUCCUGCUUAAACGCCUCUUGGUCCCUACAUCAGUUGACAUGACAUUGGGAUUAUAGAAACGGAAUAGGAACUACCUUAUUAUUUUUAAAGAAACUACCUAAUAAUUUUUUUAAGAAAGUAAUAUCAAUGAACCCAGAUUUUUUAUACCUAAUAACCAUUUAGAAGAAGCCAAUGUAUAAAUAUAAUCCAAUCCAUCAAAAAGUAAACAUAAAAAAAACUAGAAACGUCAUUCAACGAUUCGAUAACUAACUCCCAUUACCUGCGGCCUCAAGACUUAAACUGUUGCGCCUGCCGACUUCAAUUCGCCAAUCACCGUUGAGCCAUUGCCCAAUCACCGUUUUUUGCCGUUCAUCCUCUCCAUCGACAAUAAUCAAUCCACAGGUUUAAACUCUUAGAUUUCUUGUAUACAUAAAAAAAAAAAAAUAAGUAACCAUUUUUUAGUGAUAGUUUAGUGACAUAUAUUGAAAAAAUAUGCUUAAAACAUAUCGAUGACGAGAAAAUUAUGGAUAAGUUUCAAGAUAUAAAACCUUAUAUAGUUCAUUUGUAAGUAUUUUAUUAGAACUAUUAAAAUGAUUUUUAAAUAUUUUAAGGCACACAACCUGACCCAAUCCGAUCCGCCAUCAUCACCACCACCAUAACCUUUUACUCUUUCAUAUUUUUUCAAAUUCGUUUAAAUUAUGAACCAUGUAAUUUUUGGUUCUAGAUUCGCCUUUGGACGAAAAUGACAAAGAAUAAAGAAAAUGAGUUUAAUUUAGCAACUUUUUAAAAAAUAUGUGUCGAAAAUCUGAAUGUUAAAACCUUCGGAUUGAUAAUAGAAGAUAAAAAAAAAAGUAUCAAAAUAGAAGAAUGUUGGAAAAUGAGAGACUAAAUUGUUAAUGGAUUAAAGAAACCGAACACUUUUGAUAAAAAAUAUAAAAAAAAAAUGUAAAAUCAGUUAUUAUAUGUAUAUAUGACAUGUAAGUAACGACAUACUGUGUAUUUUAUGAUACAUUUGCAUUAUUAAGGGUGAUUCAAUGUAAUUAAAUAAUUCCGUGGAUUUUUUUAGAGAAAUUAACUCUAAUAUUCCUAAAAAAUAUUACAUUUUAUUAAGUAAUUAAGUAAUUAAGUAAUAUUUUUAUAUAUAUAUAUAUAUAUAUANNNNNNNNNNNNNNNNNNNNNNNNNNNNNNNNNNNNNNNNNNNNNNNNNNNNNNNNNNNNNNNNNNNNNNNNNNNNNNNNNNNNNNNNNNNNNNNNNNNNNNNUAUAUAUAUUCCUUCAACUAUUAACUGUAAUGUUUGUGUUUCACUUUAUCUUUUUCUCGCCUCAUAAACACAGGUAAAUUUGAAGUAGCCGUGGACCAAAAUGCAAACAAGCAAAACAACGAAAAUAUUUAGUUGUGGAAAACAUGCAAUGUACGAGGGUGCGGACAUCAGCAUUUGGCAAACCAUAACACGUUUUUUUGGUGCAUGAUUAACGCGCCUAAUUAGGGAAAAAAAAGUCGUGUGUGUUGGUACGACCAAAAUGGGUUUGAUUGCUUUCGGGAGAUACGUUUCUUGCAAACUGAUUGUACUUGGUUUUUGCUUUUUCCUUUUCAAAGCCGGUCGUCCUCAUUUGCAUUCUGGUUUCGUGAGUAAAGUCGGGUGCCGUAUUUGGAUUAUUGAUUAAGGGUGCAUGAACACAUACAAUGAAACAAUAUGCUUUUGGGGAUAUAGGUAUGUAUCGUAGUCAAAUUAAUUGUUGAAGACAUAGAAAACAACAGAAAAUGACACAUAUGACCUAUGAACUUUCUAGGGUUUACUCUUUUAUUCACUUAAUUUUCUGUGGCUUUAUAAUGGAACAAAGUUGUGAGCAACCUGCCUUUUUAGUCUUGUUACCUAAACUAGCAAGUAGAUAUACCACAUGGCACAUAUAAAAACUAAUUUUACUAAUUUUAAAAGCAAAGUCAGCCAAAUAGUCAAAAUUAAAAGUCAAGUAAGCCAAAGUUCCCCAUCUUGUCUCCUUCAACGUGUCACACAAUCAAUUGAGAAAUUCAAUCGGAAUUUGAGUACAAAAUCCGGAUAAACACAAUCGUUGAUUUGUCUUAAAUAUGGAAAAACCUUAACCAUGUGAUUUGCAAAAACCUUCAAGACCUCAUUAACAAUGGCAUCCAGUAAAUUGAUUUGUAAAGAAAUUUCUAAAUAGCUCCAAAGAAACGACAAUGGUGGUAUUAUCAACAACAGUAGGAACGGGCGGGGGUGGGGUUGAAACUGUAGCGGCAGUAGAAGGGCAACGACGGCGACAGGUGGUGUUGGGAACGACGAUGGAGACAGCAGUUAGCGAUGAUUGAGUGUUGCGAUUAGGGCUGUGCAAAAAAACCGCACAAACCGUCUGCACCGCACCAAACCGCACCGCAUAAUGCUAUUUAGAAUUUCGUGGUGCGGUUUGUGGUACAUCAUUUUAUCAAACCGCACUGUGCGGUCUGGUUUGCGGUUUGUAUUUAUAGAAAUGCGGUUCAAACCGCACCGCACCGCAUGUUAUAUAUAUACUUUUUUUUCUUUACUUUUUUAUAACUUCAAAUCACGAUUUAGAAAUGAUGUAUAUAAAUAUAUUUCUUAUAAUAACCAAAUAUCUAUAACGUAACAUUAAAUGACUAUUAGAUCAAGAUCUCAUGGUUUACAAGAGUAUAGCAACUAUAACGACAAUUUAAAGUCAUAACAAUGAUACUUACAAAACUAUACUAGCAUGAGUCACAAUAAUAAAAACGAUUUAACUCGAAAAUUGUAUUUGUUUUUAUAAAAUGAAAACAAUCAAUUUUUUUAACCCGGUCGGGUUUUUGUUUUUUUUAUAGAUUUAAUGUUGAACAACUCAUCAAACCGCAAUUAAACGGCAUAAUCCGCCCGCAUCAAACCGCACCGCAUCAUGCGGUUUUGAACAUCUCUGGUGCAGUUUGCGGUUUCUAAAAUAUUCAAACCGCAUAUGCGGUGCAGUUUGUGGUUUUGACUCGAAACCGCACCAAACCGCACCACGCACACCCCUAGUUGCAAUGACAAUGGAGGAUUUACUGCUUCGUUUACAGUUGGCUGAUCGAAGAAGGACCAAGGGAAAACAAUGGCGGUGAUGGAGCAUUUGUGGUGGUGGGUUACGAAUAAAGGAGGCGGAGAGUCUGCCACCAUCGACUGUGGUGGUCCUCUUCGCUGGUUGAGGAGACAAUGGAGAGUAACGUAGGUGGUGCCUCGUAGCUAGCUCGAUAGAAUCAGGAAAGGAAUGAUGGUGUGUAACGCCCCGAUUCUCAGGUAUUGUUUAAAUAAGAAUUUUUGGGUUAAGCUCUCCUCGACGAGUUGGCUGACCUACUCGUCGAGUAGCAGCAAAGUGGGAUCGCGUGUUAAGUGACCUACUCGACGAGUCCAUAUUGGGACUCGACGAGUAGGAGCUGUCAGAUGAAAACUUAAAUCCUGGGGUUUUCACCUCUAUUUAAAGGAGCCUCAGCCUCCUUUGGCCUCUUUGCAGUCUUUGAGAGCCCCUUAAAAGCCUAAUAUGCGUGUGUGUGUGUGUGUGUGCCCAUUGUGUGUUUGAAGCUUGAAAAGAGGAUCUUUAGAGGGAGAAGGCUUGGAGGAGCAGGAGAUUGGAGCAAGUAGAUUGUGGGAAUCAACUCCUAUCUCAGUUAUCAUCUUCCGAAGGUAACCUCAUCGCCUUUUUCCUUGUGAAUCUCUUCUAUUGGUUGAUUUUUAGGGUUUUUGGAGAGAUCUUAAGUUGGAAAGAUGAGCUAAGGGCUAGAUCUGAGGUUGUAACUUCAGAUCUGGACCAUCCUUGGAUUCUAGAAGCAUAAAGUUUCAGUUUUGGUCAUGAUUAAGGUCCCUCUUGAGCAUAAAGUUCCAUUAAGAACUUAAAAUAGGCAUUUAGAGCCUUUAAAGCCAUGCAUGCACGUAAAGUUUGCAACUUUACAUGAUAAGCAUGUCCUAGAAGCUUGGAUCUGUGAUUUGGAGCCGCUGCAUGGCUCAAAACAAGUCUAUCUGCAAAGAGGACUGAAUGGACUCGGCGAGUCGCAAGGUUGACUCGGCGAGUCACAUGAAGAUAACUGUGAACUCGACGAGUUGGAUGAACAACUCAGCGAGUCCGAUGAUUAUUACCAUAAGACUCGACAAGUUGAAGAACAACUCGACGAAUCGGAUGAGUUUUCCCUAGGAUAUAUAUGCUUGAGUAUCCGUCGAGUUGCAAGGAGGGAACUCGACGGGUGACCUUAAAGGUUGGACAAGAAUCGAAGGAACUUGACGAGUGCGGCGAGUUGUAAUGUGCUUCAAGGAACUCGACGAGUUGGGGGUCAACAUGGACCGUUGACCUUGACUGAGGACUUUGACUUUGGUCAAGGGUUGACUAAUGGGUUAUGGAGUACCUUAUAAGGUUAAAGACUUAUGAGUAUAUUGUACUAUGAUCAUAGGUGGUGGAGCUUGUGUCAAGUGAUCCGAGAGUUGGAGUUUAUCUUCUGAGUCGACAUCUGCAAGGUGAGUUAUCCUCACUAUAUCGAUAGGGUCUACGGCACCAAGGCCGGCCCUUUAGUUGUUAUUGUUAUGGUAUGCUACAUGUGGUUAUGAUCUGUUAGAUCGGAAUCAGGGUUGACAACAUGUUAUGCUCUUAUGAUUCGUAAGGAUUGGUAUGUUACUGACCUGCUAGGUCAGUACUCUAGUUACGAGAGAAUUCUAUGAUUGAUGAUCAGUGUAAUAGAUAUGUUUGAUGUUUGUAUAUGCCAGUAUAUAAUAGAUAUGUGCACAUAGUUAUUUGAUUGAGUGGUUGGGUUGAGGCGGUCCUGCUUUGUGCUGAAGGCCAACAUACCUUAUGAGCGGUCCGGUGAGACUGCAGGCCCAUGAGGCAGACCAGUUAUCCUGAGGGCUCGGGAUAUAUUCAGAUAGACUGUAGGCCCAGUUGGGCGGUCCAAUCAGGCCGAUGGCCAGUAUGCAUGUUGAUUGAUUGAUUGUUACUGAUAUGACAUUGUCACUGUGGUAUUGGUAUUUUGGGGGUAGCUCAUUAAGCCCUCGGGAUUACAGUUUUCAGUUUAUUGUUUCAGGUACUUCAGGAGAUCAUGGCAAGGCGAAGGCGUGACCGUACCGCUCCUCAUCCUUAUGUUAUGAUUUUGGGACACUCUGAUGGAUAUUGAUUUGAAAACAUUUUUUUGUAAAUGAUGCUAUUUGAUUUUUAAUUAUAAUUGAAAAGUUUAAAUUUGGCCCAAAAUUUAUGGAUGUUACAAGUUGGUAUCAGAGCCUUAGUUUGAGUGAAUUGGAGGAACACUUGUGUGAAUCUAGUCUCAAAUCAAGGAGAUUUUCAGAACGUAAGUUUUUUUAAAAUGGUUUUCAAAAUAAAGGAUGGAGGAUGCAGAGGGUACGAUCAGCCGGAGCCUGUAAGUAAACCCCAAAAUACCAUACAGUUAUUUGAUAUUCUGAUAUGUUAGAACAACAUGUUAGUGAUAGGCUAGGGAUCUUUAGGAAUCACAUGAUAGAUUUUCCUGAUUAGAUGAUGCCUAUUAGCCUAAGGAUUUCUUGUAUAUGGAAUUGACAUCAUAACUGUAGAUGUUUAAUGUAUGCAUCACGAUUGUGCAUAAUAAAGACCUUAUAGCCUGAGAAUGUUGAUUCGGCUUUCGGGUAGGAAUGGAUAUUCGAAUGUCUAUUGGGUCCAGCGUUAUGUGCAGCUAGCAUGCACUAGCGCUGCAGGGGAUGAUGGAAGUUUCAUGGGUACAAGAGUCAUGAGAAGUGGUGAGACUAGAUGCGAGAUAGUUGGUAUUCCUCUAAAAGUGAGGGUUGAGCGCAUUUCUAUGUUGAGUAUAGUAUUAGGGCGUUGUGGUGAUACUUGAGACAAAUAUGGGUAGGUGUGUUAGGUAGUAUGGGCUCGUAAUACUAGAAGCACAGGACCCAUACGCGUAGCAAGGAAGUCACAUCCCCUAGGAUUUGUGGGUUUUGGUCUCCCGAUAUUAUGUUGUUUAUCUGAUGUCCUGAGUUUACCUUUCAUUAUGGUGGUGACGAGACAUUUUGCUACUAGGUCCAUAUUAGGAUCAGGGUUUGGAGACGGAGGGUCAGAGGUGUCGGUAGCACCUGAGCCCGUGGUUUAGAUAGGGACUGAGGAGCUGGAUGCUAGGAUCCGGAAGAUUCUGCAUGAUGAGGUCAUUGCGGCUUUCCGAGCGCUGCUACCAGAGAUGUUUGGGUCGAUUAAGACCGCGAUGGUUGAUUAUUUUGAUGAGCGAUAUGCAGCUUUGGCAGAGACAGCAGCCGUUGCAGCCACUUCAGUUGUAACUACGGUAGGGGUUGGAGGAGGAGUCGGCAGGGAUUUCCAGUACCGGGACUUUGAUAAUACGAAGCCCCUGACAUUUGAUGGUACACAGGAUGCGAUCAGGGCAAUGCGGUGGUUGUCUGACGUGGAGGGCUGUUUCUUCACGUGCUCAUGUCCUACUGACUAGAAGGUCAGGUGUGCUCUGAACCUGCUUAGGCUCGGGGCAAAGGACUAGUGGAGAUUAACGACAGGUUCAUAUUCUGAUGAUCAACGGGCUGCUAUUACUUGGGAGCAGUUCCGGGAUAUGUUUCACACCUGCUACGUUCUGCGCAUGGAACGGGAGCGGCUUGCUCAGGAGUUUUUGACAUUGAGGCAGGAUGGGGAGUCCGUGAUGGAGAUUACCCGGAUUUUCACUGACAGGGCUAUGUUUUUCCCGGAGUUUGCAUCAGAGCAGUAUCAGAUGGCUCGUUAUCUGAGUAUGCUCAAGACGGAUAUACGGCAGUUUGUGGAUACACAACAUUGUGAUACCCUCCUGGAUCUACAGGAAGCGACGAGGCGGCGUGAGUUGGAGAUAGAGCUGCAGCUGAAGCAACAACGUCAGGCACCGACACAGUCUCAGCUGGCGCCUAAGCGGUCUAAGACCGCUGAUCCUCGAUCUAGGAGUCAGCAGACUCACAUUUGUGGAAAGUGUGGCAGGGGUCAUUCAGGAGUUUUUCGAGCGGCAGGUGGGUGCCACAAAUGUGGCAACGAGGGGCACUAUGCCAGGGACUGCCGUCAUUCCGCCCCUCCAGCAGAUAUGAGGAUUUGUUACCAUUGUCAUCAAGUUGGUCAUGUGAAGACCAACUGUCCGCAGCUCGCCGCCAAGCCGCUGGGUCCCGCGCCAGCUACUGUGAGGAUUGGGGAUGGGAGGCCAGUCAAGGUGGAACCUCCAAAGGCUCAGGGUGGCGCCUUCCAGCUCAUGGUCGAGGAGGCCAAGGCAGCACCGGAUGUGGUUGCUAGUACGUUUCUUUUCUCUGUCUCAGUUAUUGUAUUGGUGUUAUGCUUAUUGAUUGUACCUAUGGUUGGGUAUGUUUUUAGUGAAUUCCUUAACCGCUUUGGUAUUAUUUGAAUCGGGGGUGAGUCAGUCGUUUGUAUCUCAGACCUUCUCUAGAGGGUUCAGUGUACCGAUAGAUGAUCUUGAGUGUCCGUUGCGAGUUUCGAUCGCCAACGAGCAUGGGGUUUUUGCUUCUUCGGUCUACCGGGGAUGCGAGUUGGAUAUUUUCGGGGUGUCCUUCCCGAUAGAUUUGAAUCCUAUCCCCAUGGGGGAUGUAUGCAUGAUUGUAAGGAUGGAUUAACUUAGCGGUUUUGGCGCCAUGAUCGACUGUGAGGGAAGCGGGCGGUNAUGAUCGACUGUGAGGGACAGCGGGUGGUGGUUCGAACCCCAAGUGGGGGAGAACUGGUAGUAUAUGGUGAAGGCACCAGGUCGGGAUCAGGGUUUUGUUCGGCAGCCAGGGCUCGACAGUAUAUUCAGCACGAGUGUGCCGGUCCUUUGGCAUAUGUGGUAGAUACGUGGGUUAGAGAGCAUCUCUCAGUUUCAGAGGUCCCGAUGGUUAGAGAGUUUGUUGAUGUGUUUCCAGAGGAGUUACCUGGAGUGCCUCCAGUGUGGCAGGUUGAGUUCAGGAUUUAUUUUGUGCCAGGUGCGGCCCCUAUCGACCAGGCGUCGUACCGUUUGGCACCGCUGGAGAUGCAGGAGCUAUCAUCUCAGUUGCAGGAGCUGCUAGGUAAGCAGUUUAUUCAUCCGAGUAGCUCACCCUGGGGAGCACCGAUCCUUUUCGUCAGGAAGAAGGAUGGUUCGCAUAGGAUGUGCAUUGACUAUAGGGAGCUGAACCAGUUAACGGUGAAGAACUGUUAUCAGCUCCCGAGGAUAGACGAUCUUUUUGAUCAGCUGCAGGGAGCAUCUUGGUUUUCCAAGAUUGAUUUGAGAUCAGGAUACCACAAGGUCAGGGUGAGGGAGGCAGACGUGGAGAAGACCGUGUUUCGGACUCGUUAUGGUCAUUACGAGUUCGUGGUGAUGCUGUUUGGGCUCACCAAUACGACAACAGUGUUCAUGGAUUUGAUGAACUGAGUCUGUAGAUCGAUGCUCGAUCACUCGGUCAUAGUGUUCAUAGAUGAUAUCUUGGUGUAUUCCAAGACCCGAGAACAACAUGAGGAGCAUCCUAGGGAGCUGCUGGAGGUGUUGAGGCGAGAACGGAUGUGUGCCAAGUUCUGAAAAUGAGAGUUUUGAUUACGAGAGGUCCAGUUCCUCGGAUAUCUCGUUAACCAGGAGGGGAUUUUGGUCGAUCCUGACAUGGUGGAGGUGGUUAUGUAGUGGGAGACUCCAAAAUCUCCCUCAAACUUCAGGAGUUUCUUGGGUUUAGCAGGGUAUUAUCGGAGAUUCAUUCCUGAUUUCUCCAAGAUUGUCGUACCCCUCACUCGUCUAACAAGGAAGGGGGUGGAUUUCCGGUGGGGCCCUGAGCAGCAGAGGGCAUUUGAGACCCUCCGGCAGUGUUUAUGCGAGACGCCAGUGUUGACACUCCCCGAGGGAGUGGAGGAUUUUGUGGUAUUUUGUGAUGCAUCCAUCAUAGGAUUGGGGGCAGUCCUCAAGCAGAUAGGACGGGUAGUAGCCUACGCAUCGCGGCAGCUGAAGCUGCAUGAGACGAGAUACCCUACGCACGAUCUUCAGUUGGGAGCGGUGGUUUUCGCUCUCAAGAUGUGGAGGCACUAUCUGUACGGGGUCCGUUACACUAUAUACACGGAUCACAAGAGUUUGAGACACAUCAUGGAUCAGCCGAACAUGAACAUGAGGCAGCGCAGGUGACUAGAUGUGGUCAAGGACUAUGAUUGGGAGAUCCUUUACCAUCUUAGUAAAGCGAACGUGGUUGCGGAUGCUCUGUGCCGCAAGUCAGCUGGGUCCUCGACCCUAGCCAGGUGUGUGAGGAUAGCGGUGGAUUCCCCGCUGGUGGGUUUGGUUAGGGAUGCUCAGAUUGAGGGUAUGAGACCAGAGAACUUGAAGUUAGAGAGGAUUAAAGGCAAAAGCGUCCGGUUUGUUCAGGAUAGCCGCGGAUUGUUGACCCGUUACGGUCGGGUUUGGGUUCCGAUGUCCGGAGGGGUCCGGCAGAUUGUGAUGGAGGAGGCUCAGAAGUCUCAUUUUUCGAUUCACCGGGGAGCCACUAAGAUGUACCGUGAUUUGAGUUCAAGUUAUUGGUGGCCUUGUUGGGUUUUGAGCAUUCUAACACUCCUAAGUGUACAUGCAACCCUAAAUACCUUGGAUCUAUGUUUUCUCUAUUAUACAUGCAAAUAAGAACUUCCAAGGUAUUAUCCUAAUCUAGCAUACAAAACAAUGAGUGUAACAAGAUAGAAUACAUACCUCUUUGAUGUAGAAAGUCUUCAUGAAGCUUGAGUGCCUAGCCCCAAUAGUGUGGAAGCCUCAAAUGGAAUCACAAUCACCAAAACACUUAGAAUAACUUGAGAGAAUUCUACAACUCAUGAAAUCGGCUAGCCCUUUCUUACUCUCACUUUAGUGGUCGAUUUGGUCAAGAAUAAGAUGCUUAUAUAGUUAGGGUUACACCAUGUAAGCCCUAACUGACAUGGCCUUUCAUUUCCAUGAUCCAUGGGUACAAAUACACCAUGGAGCAUCCAUGGACCAUCCUAUGGGUUUUAGCCCAACUUGAUUAUCCAUGGAGCAUUAGCCCACUAUACAAGUAUGGAUGAUUUACACAAUCAACCCAUAUAUUUAAUUAGUCUUCUUUUGAUCACUUAAUUAAUCCUAGAUUAAUUCUUGAUCAAUACUAAUUAAAUAAUCUUAUUAUUCUUAUUAUUAAUAUACUAGAACUUAUAAUAUAUUAAUAACCAUAAGUGUCUUAUUUCUCUCAUUAUAGUCUAUCCAAGUGCAUGAUGGUAUGCAACCCAAAUGGACCAUGCCGGGUCGGGUCAAGUCUUACCAAUUAUAGUUAUGGACUUAGACAUUAAUCCAACAGUCUCCCACUUGGAUAAGUCUAAAACUAUUAUUGCGUAUGACUUCAGGAACCAACUGGCAAUCGUAGCUCUCAAAAGCUUCUGUCGAACUCUGACCUUGUAGAUGAACUCUGACCUUUGUCAAUGACUUGUCCAUUAGAUAAGGGAUCAUAUAUUCCUCCAUUCUAGAUAUCAUAUGGACUGAGACAUGGAUUAUAAUCAUUCUCUCUGUCCAUUUGUUGUUUCCCGAUUUCCGAUUUAUGACGACUGACUAAUUGAACAAAUCAAAUCAGUCCUGGCCCGGCCGAGCACUUCCAUUUGUCAUCAUCAAAUCAUCGAGGGGCCCACAGAUAUCGCUUUUAUCCCGAAGGUAAAAGGAAUGGAUAAACUUCGACUCAUAUGGCUUGUUCUACUACUUGUUGAAUCAUACACAAAGGCACGUUUUAUAGCACCGAGUUACCAAAUGCGUUUUCGUGCAAUCAAUGUACUAUCAACUCAUAGUAACAACUCAUAUCUCUAGGUUUGAAGAAUAUAAGAUAUUAUCGUCUCAUGAUCACUCGUGAUAAAAUCCAUGAAGUGAUUCCAAUGAGCGCGGGUUGAAUCCAAUACUCAGAACUUAUGAGCACUCAUGAGUGUUGUAGCCCUUUGUCCAACACCUUAGACCUCUACAAGCCAACCCAUGACAGUCUUAAUUCAUAUCUACUUCCAACAUAUGACCGACUGUGGAUGGUUUGAAUAACUUAGUCAUUCCGGAAGAAUAACCCAGUUUAUUCGGGAAGUCAAAACAUGCAAAAUGAAACACAAUAAUAAUUGAAUCCAAUAUGGUAUCAACCCUUUGAACAUAAAUAAAACACCUUUUAUUUAUCACCAUAUGAUUACACAUUAUUCAUUGUAUACUGUUUCAGCUAUCAACUUUAUUCUUGAAUUUAAAACAAUAGUUGUCCCAUGCUCCAAGCAUGUACACUAUGUUUUCUUAAACACUAGUCAUGCCACACACCAAGUAUGCAUACUAUGUUUGUCUAUGAUCUUUACUUUGUGAACUAGAUCAAUUGAACAUAACUUCAAUGAUUCUCUUUUCACACUCCCAAAUCCUUACUGCAAAUGCAAGAAUUCCAAAUUCAUGCCAUUUACUGAAAUCUGUUAGAUUCUAAACUUAUAUGCAUUGAUCCUCUUGUAAUGAUUAUGCACAAAGUCACAAAGACUUGGCAACAAUCAUUACAGAGUAUUCCAAAGGAGAUCAACUCCUUGGAAAUAUCCUUCUUGCAUUAAGUUUCCUUAAUCUUACACAGAUUGAAAAUUCUAACUUUGAAACAUUUCCAGAUUCCAUUUUGACUAUCACUUCUGAACAAGAGUUGCCUCCUUACAGAUUAUGUCAAUAUGGUCCUUCCAGAAUUAUCACUAUACUUCCAAUUGUCCUUGAGUAACCAAUCUUUGGUAAACCUUAGAUUGUCCUCGACAAUUGUUUAAUCCUUUUAGUCAUAUCCAGUUCUAAACCUUUUCCCUUCUUAAUGCCCCAGGCAUUUGGAAAAUUUUAGAACGGAUGAAUAUAGCACAUGUAAUCGAUCCUAUAUCCGAAGCAUAUGGGACACGAUUCAUGAUGUCUUACAUAAAGACUAAACCAGUCUUUUGCUAUAAUAUUUCCAUUUCAAUUUGCCAAGUUCUCAUAAUUCAGAUUAUGAAAAGGGAUGCCGUAAUCAUAAUCGAAUUUUAGAACGCAAAUAAUGGACCCAUAUACAGAAUUUCCUUAUGUUGAGCCAUUCCAACAUGAAAUUCAUAUAUAUCCUUGACUAAAUGAUUAAAACCUCACGAUCUAAGCUUAUAGAUUUGAGAUGAAGCAUAAUUUCCUCUCCCUUAAUUAUAGCAAAACAACUUUUUCCCAAUUGAAACUUUUGUUUUCUAUAAUUAACAUUGCUAACUUGCAAUACUUAUCAUAAUUAUCAUGCUCCCACUAACAUGAUGAUUAUUAGCAUAACACUUAUGCUCCCACUAGCUUUGACAUGUACUCAGAAAUCAGCUGGACAGUCUGAAAUUUAGAUUCAUACACCCUUUCCGUAGAUAGCUCACCUGUGUGUCUAAGCAAUUUCAAGAACCAUGAAAAGGGAUACCGUAAUCAUGGUCUCAAUUGCUUAGGCAUUUGCCAUUUCUCACAAGUCCAUGUUAGUGUGCCGGUUAACCACACGCGCUCCACUAACGACUUUUGAAAAUGCAAAUAACACAAUUGAUAUCUUCGUAAAAUCUACUUAGUGAAAGCGUUUCCUCACCAUCAUUUUCAUGAAUCGGAGAGAAACCUUAUGACACUUAGAUUUAUAUGGUGUAUGAGUUCCUACCCAUAUGAAUUUGUCAAACCAUAAUCACAAGACAAAGAUAAUGACAAAUCCAAAACCAUAUGGAUUGAACUCAAUCUUAACUUCUUGCCACCUGGCAGCUCAAGGGCCUGCCAUUGCUUCCAAGUUGUUAUGCAACAAACUGAGAACUCUAAGAACUCAUAUGCAAAGCCAACUUUAACUGGAAUGGGCACAGAUAUGUCAACACAAUAGAUUAUAAACCUCAAAUUGUGUGCUAGUGAAGAACUUUAGGUUUUAUUCUUGAUUAUUUCUUGAGACUUUCAAGACCUUUAAGACUCCCACUGUCCUCUUGACAUAUAAGACUCCCUUGUCAAACAUCCAAGAGAUAGUGCGGAUUCUAAUCAAGAAAAACACUUUACCCAAUUGGCCUAAGUUGGUCUUUGUUUUAUCCAAAACAUCACAACUUACCAAUUUCAAAUGUACAAGAGUAGAAAACUUUUACUCUUACAUUUGACAAGUGUUUUAAACCUUCUUUAAGACAUGUCACUCAAAUGACAAUCUUGGAGUAUGACUCUAAGACUUGUAUUGGAACGAAGUAUGACUCAUCUUCUUGAUUUAACCAUUUCAACAAUUCAAGUUCCUCUUCUUAGUCAUAAGAAUGCACUAAGAUUUCCUUAGAGAACUAAUUUUGAUAUGGUUUCUUAAUCAUUAAGAUGAUCACAAAACUGAUACUAAAGUACUCUCCCAUCUUUUCAGAUUUGAGAAACUUUUAUCCUUCUGCCUUAUUUGAUUCUUCUUAUCGAUCUUUAGUGGUGGACUUAAUCAGUGCACAAGAAUGUGUACUCGAUCCCUAAGUCCUUUACUUGACUCACACAUCCAUGUGAACAAGUAAUUAGUCUUAAUUUUCCAAAACUUGAAAGUUCUCAUUCAUCAUGCUAUACAACUUGCAUGAUUCCAAGUUCCGGUCCAAUUGAAACUUGGGUGAUGAGAAUCUUUCCUUAUUUGGUAAAUUUAGACAUUACCACAAAUGAAAGAAUCAAUUUCAUAUUUCCACUCUUGCUAUUAUUGGAGUCAUAUAAGCAACAAUUUUUUUUUCUCAAAUGCCAUUGUAAAGAUUUUAAAAUAAAUAAAAUCAAAAAUUUCCUUUUAUUUUAAAACUUUGCGGAAAAACUAUCCUUACAAUCCAUAUGAAAACUUGUUGUUAUCUAUUCCUAAGCAAUAUCUCAUAACUCCUAAGAAGUAGCUCAAGAAUCCGAUUUUUCAAACUAUGCGAUAGAAAUCCAUCUAUGCGAUCAGAUUCAGCAUAUUCUUCCUUUAAGUUUCUUCACUUUCCUUUGAUUCUUAAAACAUCACCAUGUGACCCAGUCACAUCAUGUAUCAAGAAUCUCAAAAUAGAAACUUAACAGAGUUAGAUAGUGGAUUUUACCUGAAGUUGAGUCAAACUUAUUGACUUUAACAUCCUUAGGUAAAUUUGGCAGCUUCGCAACCAAUGCCCCUUCCUUUGGCAAUAUAAACAUAUGGACCCUUUGAUAAUGGUACACGGGACUAUCACAGACUUAGCUUUUCUCUUUACCAUUUGGUCAACCGAGUUGACUAUGGCCGAUCCCUUUCCAUUGGGAAGAGAAUGCUUUACUGGAUAUCCAAUGUCAUCAUUGUCAAUGUCCAUAAAGUUUUAGGAAGUUGAUCUUAGCAAAUAGAUAAGAUCAUUAAGGGUCUUGUCAUAGUCUGUUUCAUAGGUGUCCCAAAGGAACUCACUAUGUGACUUAGAAAGUGGUUGAACCACCAACUUUCUCAAGACUUUGACACCCAACUCUCCCGGUUUGUCAAUAUGUGACUACAUCUACAAGAUGUGACCACACCUAGACCUUGCCUUGCCAAUAGGGCCUGAGUGACCUUAAACUUUUCAAGAACUUGUGGGUUAGGGAGAAUAAUUUGAAGAGGUGAAGAAGUAUGAUAUCCAUGGGACAUCAUCUUCAUUAGGAAACCUUGUUUCAAGAGAUUUGGGAAGAUCAUAGGUGUCUAAACCAGACAUCUUUUGGGAGAUAUUCAAGAUAGUUGAUUUAAAGUCCUUAAUAUGACACCCAAUAUGAAAUAUUAAGGCUAGGACCCAACAAACUAUUUUAUAACUUAGAAGAGGUAUGCCGUAAUCCAAGCUAUAAAAUAUUUGAAGGUAGGUGAAUGACGAUUCACCAAUUUCCACCAAGAUAAACGAAAUGUAUUAUUAGGUUUUAAUUGGUUUUGAAACUCCUAGAUCUUUGAGAUUCAUUGAACUUUUCAAAGGCAUGUUUCAAUCUCGAGUGUGCCCUUCAGGUUUUGUGACUGGGAUGCCGAGGAUCACAAAACAAGGUGUGAAGUAACCAUGCAAAUCACUUGGUACCCUUAAUAAAUUACCCCUCAAUCGAUGUGCCGGUUAACCACACACGCUCCAUCGAUACUAUGAUAAAUAUUAAGUCACCCUUUACCUACCUUGUUAAGUCCAAGUUAGUGUGCCGGUUAACCACACACGCUCCACUAACGACUUAGACAAAGUGUAAAGUGUAAUUUCAUGGAUUAGCACCUUAUUCACAUUUUUCCUAAGUAACUAAGAUUGGGUAUUAUUAAGAGUUUAGUUACUUAGUAUUAUCAUUAAUACUUUUAAUGAAGGGAGAAUUCUAGUCCUGUCAAACCCGUUCGGCUAACGACCCUCCACCAGUCAAGCAAGCGGUGGGUGAGAGUGGACACCCAUUAAGUUGCCAUUUUAUAGGCAACAACCUUAUACCCACCUUAUAGACCGGCUUCGUGAAUGAGGCGUACUAGCGGUAAGACUGACUUUACUCUUAUACAUAUAUAUAUUAUUAACUUAUAAUAUUAUAAAGUAUAAGGGUUGAAUUUUAACUUUUAAAAUUCUAAGGGCUAACUUGGAAUUAAAGUAUUCAUACUUGAAAACUUUUCAAAUUCCAAAACUUGAGGGCAAGUUUUGAAACUAUUCAAAACUAAUUAAUUCCAUAACUUAUGUGUUUAAAGUAGUUUUAAUCCAAAAACUCUUCAAGUUCCAUAACUUGAGGACAAGUUAUGGAAGACUUUAAACUAAUAAAAGAACUAACUUUUUCUUUAUUUUAUAACUUAUGGAUUUAAUUAUGGUUACAUAUUUUUCUUUAAUGAAGUGACUCUUGAACUUCCAUAACUUGAGGACAAGUUAUGGAGUCAAAAAAAAUUAUUCAAUGACACAAGACUCUUCAUUUUGUAACCAUUGCCAACUUUUAUGAAUUUUAUGAGUCUUUAAUGUGACUCUUCAUGUAACUUGAGGACAAGUUACACAAACACAUUUUAUACUCAACUCUUAGAUUAAAAUGGAUUGAAAACAACUAUUUCACUCAACAUUUCUAUUAAUCUAAGCAACUCAUAAGAACAAGAUAAUUCAAAUCAAACUUUUUCAUGUAAUUAGUCUAAACCUUAAACUAAUACAAAACAUGAAUCUAUUGACAAUUAUCUUUGAAAAUGGAUUAGCAUGAACAUUACCACAUCAAAAACAAGUUUAUAAGUUCAAAAACAACUUAGGGUAAUGUUCCUAGUCCAUUUCUAGCCAAAAAACUCGAAAAUAUGCUGUCUGGGGGUCCAACUCGUCGAGUGCAUGAACAAACUCGGCGAGUUGGAUCGAAUUCAUCACUUUUUAGGCAUGGACUCGCCGAGUCUCCUGAUGGACUCGCCGAGUCUGAUGGCCAGACAGCAACAGAUUCGUUUUUUCAGCUUCUAUUGCAGGUAUAACAAGAAAACAAGCCUAGGCUCUGAUACCACUGUUGGGUUUUGAGCAUUCUAACACUCCUAAGUGUACAUGCAACCCUAAAUACCUUGGAUCUAUGUUUUCUCUAUUAUACAUGCAAAUAAGAACAUCCAAGGUAUAAUCCUAAUCUAGCAUACCAAAACAAUGAGUGUAACAAGAUAGAAUACAUACCUCUUUGAUGUAGAAAGUCUUCAUGAAGCUUGAGUGCCUAGCCCCAAUAGUGUGGAAGCCUCAAAUGGAAUCACAAUCACCAAAACACUUAGAAUAACUUGAGAGAAUUCUACAACUCAUGAAAUCGGCUAGCCCUUUCACUUCACACACUAGUGGCCGAUUUUGGUCAAGAAUAAGAUGCUUAUAUAGUUAGGGUUACACCAUGUAAACCCUAAUUGACAUGGCCUUUCAUUUCCAUGAUCCAUGGGUACAAAUACACCAUGGAGCAUCCAUGGACCAUCCUAUGGGUUUUAGCCCAACUUGAUUAUCCAUGGAGCAUUAGCCCACUAUACAAGUAUGGAUGAUUUACACAAUCAACCCAUAUAUUUAAUUAGUCUUCUUUUGAUCACUUAAUUAAUCCUAGAUUAAUUCUUGAUCAAUACUAAUUAAAUAAUCUUAUUAUUCUUAUUAUUAAUAUACUAGAACUUAUAAUAUAUUAAUAACCAUAAGUGUCUUAUUUCUCUCAUUAUAGUCUAUCCAAGUGCAUGAUGGUAUGCAACCCAAAUGGACCAUGCCGGGUCGGGUCAAGUCUUACCAAUUAUAGUUAUGGACUUAGACAUUAAUCCAACAGGCCUGGCAUGAAGUGAGAUAUCGCUUGGUUUGUUGAGAGGUGCUUGACCUGUAGGAUGGUCAAGGCCAAGCAUCAGAGGCCGCAUGGUAAGUCGAAGCCUCUGGAGAUUCCCAUAUGUAAAUGGGAACAGAUCGCGAUGGAUUUCAUCAUGAAGUUGCCGAAGACGUCAAGGGGGUUCGAUGCUAUAUGGGUCAUCGUGGAUCGAUUGACCAAGAGUGCCCAUUUCCUAGCCAUACGCGAGAGUUCGUCGGUAGAGAAGUUGGCCGACCUCUACGUCAGAGAGACUGUCUCUCGCCAUGGGGUUCAAGUUUCUAUCGUUUCCGAUCGAGAUGUCAGGUUUACUUCCCGCUUUUUUCAGAAGCUCCAUGAGGAACUGGGUACGCGACUGUAUUUUAGCACAGAUUUCCAUCCGCAGACCGAUGGGCAGAGUGAGCGGACCAUUCAGACCCUCAAAGGUAUGUUGAGGGUGUGCGUCAUUGAUUUCGGUGGGAGUUGGGAUUCCCACCUACCGCUUACAGAGUUCGCCUAUAACAACAGCUAUCAUUCUAGUAUUGGCGCCCCGCCUUUUGAGCUGUUGUAUGGCGGAAGUGUACCACCCCAGUCUGUUGGGGCGAGGUUGGGCAUAGGGAGAUGGGUCGGAUAGAGGUAGUUCUGCAAAUUACCGAGAUGAUACAGCAGAUUAGACAGCGACUGCAGACCGCUCAGAGUCGGUAGAAAAGUUAUACCGACCGACGUCGAUCUGAGCUAGAAUUUCAGGUGGGUGACAUGGUUCUCCUGAAGGUCUCACCCUAGAAGGGUGUGAUCAGCUUCGGAAGAGGGGAAAAUUGGGUCCCCGUUACAUUGGGCCGUUCAGGAUUGUUGCACGGUUUGGCAGGGUGGCUUAUAGACUACAGCUUCCAAAGGAGCUUAGCCGGAUCCACAACACAUUCCAUGUUUCGCAAUUGCGAAAAUGCAUUAUGGACCAGGAGGCAGUGGUAUCGUUGGAUGACAUUCAGGUUGAUGAGUGCCUCCACUAUGUGGAGAGGCAUGUGGCUAUUUUGGACAGGAAGAAGAAGAUUUUGUGGAACAAGGAAAUACCUUUAGUAAAGGUGCAGUGGGAACACUGGAAGGGAUCCGAGUGGACAUGGGAGCCGGAGGCGAAGAUGCGCGAGCAUUACCCGACCUUUUUUAUUCCAGCAGACUUCGAGGGGAAGUCUAGUUCAAGUGGGGGAGAUUUGUAAUGCUCUGAUUCUCAGAUAUUGUUUAAAUAAGAAUUUUUGGGUUAAGCUCUACUCGACGAGUUGGUUGACCUACUCGUCGAGUAGCAGCAGGGUGGGAUCGCAUGUUAAGUGACCUACUCGACGAGUCCAUAUUGGGACUCAGCGAGUAGGAGCUUUCAGAUGAAAACUUAAAUAUCGGGGUUUUCACCUCUAUAUAAAGGAGCCUCAGCCUCCUUUGGCCUCUUUGUAGUCUUUGAGAGCCCCUUAAAAGCCUAAUACGCGUGUGUGUGCCCAUUAUGUGUUUGAAGCUUGAAAAGAGGAUCGUUGGAGGGAGAAGGCUUAGAGGAGAAGGAGAUUGGUACAAGUAGAGUGUGGGAAUCAACACCUGUCUCAGUUAUCAUCUUCUGGAGGUAACCUCAUCGCCGUUUUCCUUGUGAAUCUCUUCUAUUGGUUGAGUUUUAGGGUUUUUGGAGAGAUCUUAAGUUGGAAAGAUGAGCUAAGGGCUAGAUCUGAGGUUGUAACUUCAGAUCUAGGCCCUCCUUGGAUUCUAGAAGCAUAAAGUUUCAGUUGUGGUCAUGAUUAAGGUCCCUCUUGAGCAUAAAGUUCCAUUAAGAACUUAAAAUAGGCAUUUAGAGCCUUUAAAGCCAUGCAUGCACGUAAAGUUUGCAACUUUACAUGAUAAGCAUGCCCUAGAAGCUUGGAUCUGUGAUUUGGAGCCGCUGCAUGGCUCAAAACAAGUCUGUAUGGAAAGAGGCGAGUCGCAAGGUUGACUUGGCGAGUCACAUGAAGAUGGCUAUGAACUCGACGAGUUGGAUGAACAACUCGGCGAGUCCGAUGAGGAUUACCAUAAGACUCAACGAGUUGAAGAUCAACUCGGCGAGUCGGAUGAGUUUUCCUUAGGAUAUGUAUGUGUGAGUAUUUGUCGAGUUGCAAGGAGGGAACUCGACAGGUGACCGUAAAGGUUGGACAAGAAUCGAAGGAACUCGAUGAGUCACCCCGAUGACUCGGCGAGUUGUAAUGUGCUUCAAGGAACUCGGCGAGUAGCCGGGGGUACUCGACGAGUUAGGGGUCAACAUGGACUGUUGACCUGACUGAGUAUAUUGUACUAUGAUCAUAGGUGGUGGAGCUUGUGUCAAGUGAUCCGAGUGUUGGAGUUUAUCUUCCGAGUCGACAUAUGCAAGGUGAGUUAUCCUUACUAUAUCGAUAGGGUCAACGGCGCCAAAGUCGGCCCUUUAGUUGUUAUUGUUAUAGUAUGCUACCUGUGGUUUUGAUCUGUUAGAUCGGAAUCAGGGUAGGCAGUAUGUUAUGCUCUUAUGUGUAACACCCCGUUCUUCGAGUGUUCAAUUAUAAGUCCCUGAGAUUUAAGAGGAUGGGUAAUUCUGGUCCCUUUCGAGAAAUGAGCUUCAUCCGAGAAGGUUUUGGAUGGGUGUAUGUGUUAGAAGUAUUGGGCUUCUCGUUACCCUCGUAUGUAUGUAAAGUUAUUGAGAGUGGGAGUAGAUUAGAGGAGUCGCGGUGCCUCGAAGUUGAUCAUUGUUUAUAGUUCUUUGUGGAAUAAGAAGGAAAUGGUCCCAUGCAUGCAUGGCAUGCAUGGCAUGCAUGCAUGCUUUUGUGUUUUGAAAGGUGGCUGGGUACACCCAGCGUAAUCUGGACGUACGCCCAGCGUAAUGGGACGAAUGGUUACGGGUAGCCGGGUGAGUACGCCCAGCGUACCAGGGAGGUACGCCCAGCGUACUCUUAGAAACCCCAAACCCUAUUUUGAGGGUCAGCCACUAUAUAAGGAACAUGAUGGUUCACCCCUUAGCCUCCAAAAGCUUAUCCUUAACCUCAGAAAAACCCUAGAUCUCGUGUUCUCUCCAUUUUUGGGUGUGCUUGACCUUGGGAAACUCUUGUUGGCAAAAGAGAGGCUUGAAGGAGAAAAGGGAAGUUGUCAAAGAAGAAGAAGAGCAUGUGAAGCUUGUAGAUCUGAAGAAAUACCACCCUUUGGAGCUGGUUUAAGGUAUAAAGCUUCUUGCUUGAUCUCCAUAUUGCAUAGAUCUAUGUAUUUUGAAGCCUUGUUAUCAUUCUUGUCCCUAAAGUCCUCAUCUUGUUGCAUAGUUCGAUUUGGUCAAGAUUAUCUGUCCUUUCAGACCUUUGGAGAGGUCUUGAGUGAUAAAAAUAAGGUCCCAAGGGCUGUUGUUGUUCCAUGUAUGAGUUAUAUAGGUCUUAAUGGAUUAAGACCUUGGAUUAAGAGCUUAAGGACGUCCCAAGUGAUAAAGUCUGAGACUUUAUGAUUUCUAAUCAUAUUUGGUCUAUGGAUCUGAAGUUUGGGCUUAAGAGCUUAAGCCAUUAAGAUGUUAUAAGGACUUACUGGAUCUCGUAGUUAUGCCCCGCGUAGCGGGCCAAAGCCCCGAUCCUCAUUUGCGUUCAUUGCAGUACGCCCAGCGUACCAAGGAGAGUACGCCCAACGUACUCCUCCUGUGGACUUUCUUUUGGACUUUUGGGUUGGGCCAUUUGUUGGUUGUUGGUGUUUGGGCCAAGUCUGGAAAUUAUGAAUAGAGUAUUAUGGGCCCAAUUAAUAUUAUGGAUAUUGGAUCUAGGUCCAUUUGGUGAGGUGGGCCCAAUUUGGUAAAUUGGGUCAAUGUUGGGCUUUGUGUGAGUUUUGGACCUUGGUCUUGGCCCGAUAAGGGGAAGUAUGUUUGACCUAAUGCUUAUGCUUAUUAUGUUGGUUAGUUCGGGAUUUGCGGUGAGUUGGUGAUUCGAGAGUUUGCUUCUUCAGUUCAGAGUUUCGGCAGUGCGAGGUGAGUUAUCCUCACUAUAUCAACAGGGUUUAAGGCACCAAGGCCGACCCUUUAUCGGAUGGAAAUCCGGGUAGUUGUCUGUUGUUAUGAUAUUGCGAGAUAUGGGCCGGAAGGCAUUAUGUUAUGGGCCGGAAGGCAUUAUAUGUUGUGGGCCGGAAGGCAUUGUGAUGUGGACCGAAAGGUCAUGGCCUGGAAAGGCGUAUGUGCGUAAUUAGUAUGUUGGCUGAGUCGUAGGGUGAUGUUAUGCUAGUGAUCGGCUAGGCCGGUAUCCUGGUUAGGGUGAUGAUAUGUUAUGUGAUCUGUUUGAUCGAUUUGCUGACUGUGAACUGUUAUAUGAUUAUAAGUUAUGUGCACACGGUUGCUUGGACUGGAGUGUGACCCGGUAUGCAUGUCUGUUCUAUGUUCUGUUAUGUUAUGUAUGCUUUUUUUUAUGUUAUGGGCCGGAAGGCAAUACGUUUCGGACCGGAAGGGCGUAUAUGUGGUUGGUAUUUUGGGGGUAUCUCACUAAGCUUUCGGGCUUACAGUUGUGGUUUCAUGUUUUUCAGGUUCUUCAGGAGACCAUGGCAAGGCGAAGGCGUGAUCGUACCGCUCCUCAUGUUUGGGUCGUGAUGUGAUUCUGGGAAUACUUUAAAUAAUUUGUAUUGAAAACCUUUUUCUAGUGGUUUUAAUGAAAUUGGUUUGUUUUUGAAAAAUUUAAAAUUGGUUGUAUUUUUCGGUCGUUACAAGUUGGUAUCAGAGCCUUGGUUUGAGUGAAUUGGAGGAACAUUCGCGUGACUCCAGUCUCAAAUCGACGAGAGUUUCCAAAAGAGAAUUUAAAAUGGUUUUCAAAAAUGAGUAAGGGAGGACGCGGGGGUACGAUCAGCCGGAGCCAGUUAGUAACCCCAAUUUACCAUACAUGCUAUUUUUUUUGAGCCUUGAUAGAACAGCAUGCUAGAGUUAGGCUAGGGAUCUUCAGGAAUUCAUGAUAAUGUUGCCUGAUUUGUGAUGUCUGUAGCCUAGGGUUCCUUAUGGGAGAUUCUCAGUGUUCCUCUAGUGGUGAUGGUUGAGCGUUGUUAUGCAUGUUUCUCUAGGGUGUUGUGGUAGUACUUCAUACAAAUAUGGGUAGGUGUGGAAGGUAGUAUGGGCCCAUACUACUGAAAGCAGAGGACCCAUACGUGUAUCAGGGAAACCAUGAUCUCUAGGGUUGGGUUGAGAGAGUUGGAUCCCAGGAUUGUGGGAAGUGUCUGAGAUUUUGUGGUGUUUUUCAGUAUGGAGAUCCCGAGGCAUGCUAGGAGUGGAUCCGGAUCAGGAUCGGGAGUAGGAGAGGGAGUUCUGGGCGGGUCUGUGUCGCCCGAUUGUUGGUCANNNNNNNNNNNNNNNNNNNNNNNNNNNNNNNNNNNNNNNNNNNNNNNNNNNNNNNNNNNNNNNNNNNNNNNNNNNNNNNNNNNNNNNNNNNNNNNNNNNNNNNNNNNNNNNNNNNNNNNNNNNNNNNNNNGCUAUGCGGCUCUCGUAGAGACGGCUGCCGCGGCGGCUACAGUGGCUGUAGCAGCGGCAGGGGAGGAGUUAGUCGGGAUUUUCAGUAUCGGGACUUCGAUAAUAUGAAGCCUCCCACCUUUGAUGGAGUUCAGGACCCGAUUGUCGCUAUGAGAUGGUUAUCUGACGUGGAGGGGUGUUUCUUCAUGUGUUCAUGCCCUGCUGAUCAGAGGGUGAGGUGUGCUCUGAACCUGUGAAGGCUCGGGGAAAAGGAUUGGUGGAGAUUGACCAUGGGGUCAUACUCAGGUGCGUAGAGGGCUGCGGUUUCAUGGGACCAGUUCAGAGAGAUGUUCAGUGCUCGUUAUAUUCCUCGGGUUGAGAGAGAAAGAUUGGCUCAGGAGUUCCUCGAGCUAAAGCAGGGUUCGGAGUCGGUAACGGAGAUCACCAAAAUGUUCACUAAGAGGGCGAUGUUUUGCCCUGAGUAUGCUUCGGAGCAGGCUCAGAUGUCCCAAUAUCUAAGUAUGCUCAAGAUGGAUAUCAGACAGUUGGUGUCUACGCAGAGGUGCAAAACCUUGUUGGAAUUGAAGGAGGCCGCCAGGCGGCGUGAGUUAGAGAUUGAGUUGCGGUUGCGUGAGUUGAGGCAGGCUCCGGUGCAAUCGCAGCCGGUGCCGAAACGGUCCAUGACCGUCGAUUCCAUGGUAGGAGAGCAGGGUAGUCACACUUGUGGGAAGUGUGGAAAGGGUAACGCCGGAGUUUGUCGGUCCGGUGGUGCAUGCCGCAAGUUCGGAAAGGAGGGGCACUAUGCGAGGGAUUGUCAACAGUCAGCGCAGGCCCGGGGUUUAAGGAUUUGUUAUCAUUGUCAUUGGAUUGGACACUUGAGGGUCAACUGUCCACUAUUUGCUGCAGGACCAGUACAGGCUCCAGUACCGGCCAUGUUGAGGAUCACGGGUGGAGGUCAGAGUGGAGCGGAGCCCCCAAGGGCUUAGGGUCGUGCUUUUCAGCUUGCAGCGGAGGAGGUAAGAGCAGUGCCGGGUGCAGCCGCGGGUAUGUUUCUUUCUUGUUGCCUUGUGGAUUUAUGAUUAUUGUGGAGUAUCGUUUAUCUGCUAGUCUCGUUGGAGAAGUUUUCGUUUUGGUAUCCGUUGUUUCUUGAGGGUUUGGCAUGAUUAUGGAUUUGUGUUUCGGGCUUUCGUUUUGGUAUCCGUUGUUCCCUGAAGGUUUGGUAUGGUUAUAGUUUGGUGUUUUGUGCUACCGUUGGUUAUCAUUCGUGAGGGUUAGUAGUGGAGAUGCGACAUUGGUUUGAAGGUCGAGUAGCAUCUGCAGUCUGAGGAGUGGAUAAUUAAAGAUUGGGUCCUUUUCGAGCGGGAUGAUCAGUGAGGGAAUGCGUUUUGGUGAAGGUUGCUAGUGCUAGUGGGAAUCAGUCUGUGUGUAAGCGUUGGGUUUUGUGCAAGGUUAUUUUGGGAGGUCGGUGAUAGCGACCAGUGAUUGAUAGGCAGUGCCCUAAGUGGGGGAGAAUUGGAAAUUCUCCGGAUGAUCGAUAGACUUGAGAGGUUGUUUAGCUGCUUGGGAUUUCGGCGGGAUUUCUUUCAGCCGAGAGCGGACUGGUAUGGGUGAGUAGCAGGCGUACGGGGCGGAUUACAGACCUGGGGCAUUUGAGUGUGGAGGGCCUGGGAUCGGGCCGGGAUUGAGUAUGUAUGUUGGAGAUAGAGUUCGGAACCCUUAGAGGGCAAGAAUAGUAUGCAUGGGAGGAUUCCCGGAGGGAUGGCUCGGAAUGAUGAGUGCUGCUUGAGCGGUCCGGAGAGACUGAAGGCUGAAAGGCAUAUCAGUCAGGCCGACGGCUCGGGAGGACGGUCUAGCCAGACUGAAGACCUGGUGAGGUGGACUAGUCAUGCUGAAGACUCUGCAGGUAUUAUCGGAUCGGUCCGAGCAAAUGGGUUGGUUAUGUUGUGAUGUGUUAGCACUAGAAGGUCUGGCCCCGGGUAUUGAUCUUGAUUAGUAGAGAUGGUGCAUGGACUUGAGAGUCCUUGUGAGCAGAUUCAGGGCAUAUGUGUUGCAUGGAUAGCGGUUAUGCUAUAAAGGGGUAGUGCAGCGUUAGGUGAGCACCGUGGCACUUGUCAUGGUGACAAAGCAGCCAAGUGGAUUUCCUUGGUAAGGAAAGAGGGAUAGGAGUGUAGCUCCGAGAGGAAGAGCACAUUCACGGAAGUGAAAGCGGCAAUGUAGAGUUAUGGUCGGAGUGGUCCGACGGUGGUCAUUGAGCAGUGUGAUUGCGAUGGGGGUAUGGAAUGACAGCAUGAUGGGAUGUCUGCUGACGACGCGAGAGGGAUUUCUGCGGGUGUAGAGCCAAGAGUCUCAGGAUGGAUACAGGGAUGGAGUCUUGGACUCCCAGCUUGAUUCUGAUCAAGGAGUUGUGUAUGUAGAGGUGAUUCCUCCUGGGGAUGUUGGAGAUGUCGUCAGUGUGACGGGUUUUCCCAACCGAGGGUGCCAAGGCUGGUUCAGCAUGUGCAUGUGAUUGCAAGAAGAGAACUCGUUGGAGUUUCUCUAUGACCGAAGAUUGUGUCUUUCUGUCGGCACGGAGUGGAUAUAGUUGGAUUCGGGUCAGGGAUCCGGCGGUUCAUGGUUAUUUCUAGCUUAUAUGAUUCGAGUGAUUAUUGCAACCUGGAGCAGUAGUGCAUCAUGGGUGGUCCCCGAUUGUUGAGUGCGAUCAUCAGAGGGUAAAGCCGGUGACCGGCUUGAGACGGUGGUCAGGACACCGCAAGAAAGGUGGAAGUGAGUUUCGGGUUUCGAUGGUUGAUCAUUGAGGGACCUGGUUUGGUUAGUGACAGGUAGUGCGUGGCAGGGGAAGUUCUGACUUAGAGUUACUGCAGGCUUCGAGGACGAAGCCUAAUUUAAGUGGGGGAGAAUUGUAACACCCCGUUCUUCAAGUGUUCAAUUAUAAGUCCCUGAGAUUUAAGAGGAAGGGUAAUUAUGGCCCCUUUCGAGAAAUGAGCUUCAUCCGAGCAGGUUUCGGACGGGUGUAUGUGUUAGAAGUAUUGGGCUUCUCGUCACCCUCGUAUGUAUGUAAAGUUAUUGAGAGUGGUAGUAGAUUAGAGGAGUUGCGGUGCCUCGAAGUUGAUCAUUGUUUAUAGUUCUUUGUGGAAUAAGAAGGAAAUGGUCCCAUGCAUGCAUGCUUUUGUGUUUUGAAAGGUGGCUGGGUACGCCCAGCGUAAGCUGUACGUACGCCCAGCGUAAUGGGACGAAUGGUUACGGGUAGCUGGGUGAGUAUGCCCAGCGUACUCUCAGAAACCCAAAACCCUAUUUUAAGGGUCAGCCACUAUAUAAGGAACAUGAUGGUUCACCCCUCAGCCUCCAAAAGCUUAUCCUUAACCUCAGAAAAACCCUAGAUCUCGUGUUCUCUCCAUUUUUGGAUGUGCUGGACCUUGGGAAACUCUUGUUGGCAAAAGAGAGGCUUGAAGGAGAAAAGGGAAGUUGUCAAAGAAGAAGAAGAGCGUGUGAAGCUUGUAGAUCCGAAGAAAUACCACCCUUUGGAGCUGGUUUAAGGUAUAAAGCUUCUUGCCUGCUCUCCAUAUUGCAUAGAUCUAUGUAUUUUGAAGCCUUGUUAUCAUUCUUGUCCCUAAAGUCCUCAUCUUGUUGCAUAGUUCGAUUUGGUCAAGAUUAUCUGUCCUUUCAGACCUUUGGAGAGGUCUUGAGUGAUAAAAAUAAGGUCCCAAGGGCUGUUGUUGUUCCAUGUAUGAGUUAUAUAGGUCUUAAUGGAUUAAGACCUUGGAUUAAGAGCUUAAGGACGUCCCAAGUGAUAAAGUCUGAGACUUUAUGAUUUCUAAUCAUAUUUGGUCUAUGGAUCUGAAGUUUGGGCUUAAGAGCUUAAGCCAUUAAGAUGUUAUAAGGACUUACUGGAUCUCGUAGUUAUGCCCCGCGUAGCGGGCCAAAGCCCCGAUCCUCAUUUGCGUUCAUUGCAGUACGCCCAGCGUACCAAGGAGAGUACGCCCAACGUACUCCUCCUGUGGACUUUCUUUUGGGCUUUUGGGUUGGGCCAUUUGUCGGUUGUUGGUGUUUGGGCCAAGUCUGGAAAUUAUGAAUAGAGUAUUAUGGGCCAAAUUAAUAUUAUGGAUAUUAGAUCUAGGUCCAUUUGGUGAGGUGGGCCCAAUUUGGUAAAUUGGGCCAAUGUUGGGCUUUGUGUGAGUUUUGGACCUUGGUCUUGGCCCGAUAAGGGGAAGUAUGUUUGACCUAAUGCUUAUGCUUGUUAUGUUGGUUAGUUCGGGAUUUGCGGUGAGUUGGUGAUUCGAGAGUCUGCUUCUUCAGUUCAGAGUUUCGGCAGUGCGAGGUGAGUUAUCCUCACUAUAUCAACAGGGUUUAAGGCACCAAGGCCGACCCUUUAUCGGAUGGAAAUCCGGGUAGUUGUCUGUUGUUAUGAUAUUGCGGGAUAUGGGCCGGAAGGCAUUACGUUAUGGGCCGGAAGGCAUUAUAUGUUGUGGGCCGGAAGGCAUUAUAUGUUGUGGGCCAGAAGGCAUUGUGAUGUGGACUGGAAGGUCAUGGCCUGGAAAGGCGUAUGUGCAUAAUUAGUAAGUUGGCUGAGUCGUAGGGUGAUGUUAUGCUAGUGAUCGGCUAGGCCGGUAUCCUGGUUAGGGUGUUGAUAUGUUAUGUGAUCUGUUUGAUCGAUUUGCUGACUGUGAACUGUUAUAUGAUUAUAUGUUAAUGCACACGAUUGCUUGGACUGGAGUGUGACUCGGUAUGCAUGUUUGUUCUAUGUUCUGUUAUGUUAUGUACGCUUUUUUUUAUGUUAUGGGCCGGAAGGCAAUAUGUUAUGGGCCGGAAGGCAAUACGUUUCGGAUCGGAAGGUCGUGGCCUGGAAGGGCGUAUAUGUGGUUGGUAUUUUGGGGGUAUCUCACUAAGCUUUCAGGCUUACAGUUGUGGUUUUAUGUUUUCAGGUUCUCAGGAGACUGUGGUAAGGCAAAGGCGUGAUCGUACCGUUCCUCGCGUUGGUGUUUUAUGAAAUGGACCUGGGAAAUACUCUGUUAAAUAAUGUAUUGAAAACCUUUUUAUAACAAUGUUAUUAAAAUGGGUUGUUUUUGAAAAGUUUUAAUUGUUUUGAAAUUUUUGGUCAUUACAUUAUGAUCCGUAAGGAUUGGUAUGUUAGUGACCUGCUAGGUUAGUACUCUAGUUACGAGAGAAUUCUAUGAUUGAUGAUCAGUGUGAUAGAUAUGUUCGAUGUUUGUAUAUGCCAGUAUAUGAUAGAUAUGUGCACAUGGUUAUUUGCUUGAUUGGUUGGAUUGAGGUAGUCUUGCUUUGUGCUGAAGGCCAAAAUACCUUAUGAGCGGUCCGGGGAGACUACAGGCCCACGAGGUGGACCAUUCAUGCCGAAGGCUCGGGAUAGAUUCAUAUAGACUGUAGGGCCAGUAGGGCGGUCCAGUCAGGCCGAUGAACAGUAUGCAUGUUGAUUGAUUGAUUAUUACUGAUAUGGCAUUAUCAGUGUGGUAUUGGUAUUUUAGGGGUAGCUCACUAAGCCCUCGGGCUUACAGUUUUCAGUUUAUUGUUUCAGGUACUUCAGGAGAUCAUGGCAAAGCGAAGGCGUGACCGUACUGCUCUGCAUCCUUAUGUUAUGAUUUUGGGACACUCUGAUGGAUAUUGAUUUGAAAACUUUUUUUUUUUUUUUUUGUAAACAAUGCUAUUUGAUUUUUAAUUAUGAUUGAAAAGUUUAAUUUUGGCACAAAAUUUAUGGAUGUUACAUGGUGGGGCUCAACCAAGACUAAACAGGGUGGUUUUUGGUUGGGUUGCGGUGGUCGGUAGCUCCAUAACGGUGGUUCAACACUAAGAUCGAAGGAAGACAAAUUUCUACAUUUGAUCCGAUCAACAGAGGAGGUGUUGAUGCUCAUCGUUUUUGCUCCGAUCAACAAAUUUGUGAUGGAUUGGUACAAAAGGGAAAAAAACAAGUUUUUCACAUUUUCGUAUUUACUACCAUUUGAGCAGGAAGGAAAAAGAAGUAAGCAGGUUUCUACAUUUGCUUAGUUGACUUUUAAGGAGAGAAAGAGAGAGAAAGAUAUAUAUAUAUAUAUAUAUANUAUAUAUAUAUAUAUAUAUAUAUAUAUAUGGGUUCAAGGGUAAGGGAAACUCAAAGUCAAUAUAGAAAUAUUUGUCAACAAAUGUCCAUGUAGCAAAGGGGUACCGGAUAAACCCUUCACUUUGGUCGAAAGGACGUAAUCGACCCAACAAAAAUGACUUCGUUCCCUCGUAAAGCUACAAAAAAAGUUAAGUGACUAAAAGGGUAAACCUUAGAAAGUUCAUAAGUCGUAUGUGUCAUUUUCCCUAAAAAACAAAUAUAAAGAACGUAUUUUACAAUGUUUUUAGUCACAAACUGCAAUAUUAAACUUCCUUUUUUUUUAACAGCAAACAAUAACAUUGAAAGACCCACUAACGAGAUGCUAGUGGACAAAAAAACAAAGUCUUACCCACACUACUACAAAAAGGCACACUAUAUAGAAGUCGUUUUUUGAAAAAAGUGGGUUGUAUUAUGUAAAAACCGGGUUUUAUAAAUAUAAAUGUUAUAAGGCUCGGUUAAAAGUAAGAAAUUAGGGUAUAUGUUCAAAUCAAAUAAUUUGGUUUUGGUUAAAAAACCGGGUCUUUUUGCUGGAAAAUUAUAUAACCCAGUUUUCUAAUUGUAACCAUGUUUCAUGACUCAAGGACAUAACUUGUUUUUCAACAACAAGAUUUUUUGACAAAUGAAUUAUAGUAAGAGUAUUGAGAUUUGAGGGUUGAGGCAUGGAGUUAUAAUUGACGAAUUUUAUCCUUAUUUAUAACUACAAUAUGCAUGACUAACUUAAUACACAUGCCAAAUCCACUACCAAAAUAAUGUAAAAAAAACUACAAACCAAUCAUUUUUCAAAUUUCCUUAUUUUCCCUUCAGUUCAAUGCUAACACCUAACACGUAUUUGACCAGAAUAACAUUAUAUUUUUUUAACACCAACUCUUAUUUACCCUACACCAUAUUUUCAUUGAUUCAUCUACUAGUCUAAUAAAACAGUACAUUUUUGUCACAUGGCAUUCAUUGAGCAUCCCCUUUCGAUUAUUCCCGCUCAAAUCACUAUGUCAAAUCCCGAAAAUUGCCCCUUACGCCUCAGCUCCAUUAAACUACUAGUCAGAAAAUUCCAAAUUGUUAUCUCUGCAUUUGAAAACCAUUACAUGUUUGAAAACCAAAAAAUCAGAGUCAUUAAAUCCAGAUUGUGUUUUCUUUUAACUACCUUUUCAAAAUCCUGAAAAUUAGGAAGUUAAAAAAGACACCUUAUAAUAUCCAAUCCAUUUUAUAUUUGAAUUGCAAUAAUAUAUGACAAAAAAUUAGGUUUAGUAUCUUAUCUUAAUAUGUAUUCAUAACGUCGACCCAAUUUGAAUGUUUUAUAUACAACCAUGUUAUAUAUGACCACUAUUCCAUUGGUUUAUCAUUGUUCAAGGAUUGGUAUAGUAGCAGAAACUGAAGUUCUCUCUUUGAUUCCAUUUUCUUCUGUGAAAUUUGUCUUGAUUUCAUCUAUCAGGUAAUUUCUAAACAUCGUAUUUCAGACCAUGCAUUAGAAUCAAAAACCUACUCUCUGUUUAUGUCUUUCUGUUUCUCUCAGAUUUAAAUUUUACAAUCAAUUUUAUAGUCACCAUUUAUAGUGAAUCAUAAACUUUGUUGUUAACCUACAAAGUUCAUUGUUGGUGGUGAGUAAUGUUGUUUUUUGAGAUCUUCUCUUCAAUCUCUUCAUAUUUUUUGUUCUAUCAGUAUCAGUAACGAAUCAACAAUCUACUAUCUUUUUCUCACUUUCUCUUUUUAAGAUUGAAGUUUUACAGUCACUGCUUUCUGUUCAAAAACUUUUGAAAACGAAAAUAAACAUCUGAAAAAUAUAAAUCUAUUUCGGAGUAAAGCACGUACUCAAGUCUUCAAAUUACAUAUUUUCCAACAGUACAGGGGCAAAAUGGUCAUAUUUUUGUAAUUUUCUUAUUUAAGCCAUCCUUUUGAUAGAAAAUUUUCUAUUAAAAUUUUUUUUCUUAUUUUAUCUUUGUACUUUGAAAGUACAAUGCUAUAAUUAAUAAAAAAAACAUAUGCAUAUGUGUGUGCAUGUAUGUAUGUGUGUGUAUUUGUAUGUGUUUGUAUGUGUUUACUUUCUGAAUUUCCAAAAUUGUUCUUACAUUCCUUACUACCAUUCUUAAAAUCUGCUUUCAAUUGUUUGCAGGAAAUGAACAAAGGUAAUAAAGUAUACCUCAAAAACAUUGAACAUAUUGUUGAUGACUCUCACAUCAAAGUACGGGUGGUAAAGAUGUGGAACUUUAGAAAGAAUAAUGUCGUUUUAGCAAUUGAAAUGAUUGUAAUUGAUGUGGAGGUUUGUUUUACUAUUUUUUUAAUAUCCCAUUCAAUAUUACAUAUAUUUCAAGCAAUAAAAUAAUUGCUAUUUAGUUGAUUUAACAGGGUAUAAAAUACCAUUCUCGUGUUUUCAAUCAAAAUUUUUCUAGAUUUUGUGAUCUUUUAAAGGGAGGUCAAACUUAUAUCAUUAUAAAACCCAACAUGGCGGCUCUGAACAAUGGUUUUAGUGCUAUGGGUCACAAACAAACCAUAACUUUGAAUUGAAAAAAUAUUCUAAAAAAAUGUGAGAAUUUUUUAGGUCCAGUGAAUGGUUUUGUGUUUGUUGAUUUUAAUUCUGUUAUCGAACAAAUAGGCACAAGAGACUCGUUCUUUGGUUAGUUAUUUAAUUUUAUUGCAAUCACUUUUAUAAAUUAUGUAAUUUAUUAUACAUGUUAGUAUUUAACUUAAUAUUACUUAUUAUAUUUUAUUAAACUUGUGUAGAUGUUAUUGGACAAGCUGUCUCAUUUCGAGCACUUGAUACAUCAAAUCUUAACCCAUCCAAUCAUUACAUAAAGAUGACUAUUAACUACUUACAGUGAGAUUAUAUUUCCUUUAUUUCUUUAUUAUUUUUAAUCAUAUUUUUUCAUACUUAUUAAUUUAAUUUUUUAUUUAGGUUUGUACAACUGAACGUCACUAUAUUUGGAACUCAAGCACACCAGAUAUCACAGUAACUCAAAACUAAUCCCACGGUUACUUGUGUUAUGAUAUUGAUGCAAUUUGCUAAACUUAACAUUUGGUAUGGUUUGUAGUCAUACUAUAUAUAUUUAUUUUUUUAUUUGAAUCUACUUUUAAUGAGUAAUUUAUUUUUACAGGAAUUGGUCAAGCUCAAAGUCAUUUUGAUGUUACCAAAUUGGUCAUUAAUUCAGAGAUUCUCGAAAUUAAUGAGUUCAAGAAAGAGUUAGUUUUCUUGAACUUUUUAAUUUUUUUAUUAUUGUUUUGUAAUUAAAACCAAUACAAUUUCUUAUAAGUAAAAAAAUAUUUUUAAACAUUACAGAUUAAAAGCUGAUAACAUUGGAGGUACGUCUAAAAAAAGCAUAACUACACUCUCAAGCUACUCUUCUUCUUAUAUAGAUUAUUUUAAAAGUGAUUUCCCUUUAAAAACAGUUUGUGAGAUCACAAAACCACUGAAGGCAUAUGGCAUUAUUUGAUAUCCUUUAAUUUUAUUUACACAUUGUAUGUUUUUUUAAUAUAAAAUUUUCUGUUUUACUUAUUUUUCUGUUUUUUAUCUAUAUUUAUUUAUUUAUUUGAAUUUACUUUCUGUUGAGUAAUUUUCACAUUUUAUUUCAUGUAAUGGAAUUUCUAUUAGUUGGUUCCAUCGUCAAUAUAAGACAAAAUCUACGUUGGUAUUACGAUGUGUGCUCCAAAUGUGAAAGUAAGAUAGACACAGUGCCCAAACCCAAUCACUCCUAUACCACCCCCUACAAAAUUUAAGAAAUUGUUGUUAAUCAAUGUAAAGAUGUGUGUUGCAACAAUUCGGAUUUUCGUCCAGUUACAAAGUAUACACAUUUGUAUUUAUAUUAACCAUUUCACUUUUCAACAAAUUUGAUAUUAAUGUUAUAUUUUUUUUUGUUUAGUUAUAUGAUUCCAAUCAACGUAUAACAUGAUACUGGCACCAUUGGAUUGACUCUUUUUGAUAGGGAAGCGAAGAAGCUAUUGGAUAUCAGUGCAUACCAAUUGAGAAAAAUACAUGAAGAGGUAUGCUAUGUUAUUCAUAUUUUUAAAUAAAAAAACAUUUUAUUUUUUUAAUAUAUUAAACAUUCCAAACCAAAUUAACAUCUUGAAAAAUCGCAAGUUUGUUUUCUUGUAGAUAUUACAUCCUAUAUAAUGUGGACAACUAUAAUAAUAUCUACACCAUUGUCAAAGCAUAACGUUUUACUUAUUUCCAUCUUAUUUUCUAGAGUAUUCAAUAUGUGUCCUUAAAUCAAGUACAUUUGGAAUCAGAUGAUGUUUUGUCGAAUAUUCAUAAGGUAUUUCGAUUCCAAUAUUAACUUUUAUUUAUAUUUAACUAGAUUAUGACCCGCGUUAAACGCGGACAAUGAUUAAAUACAUAUCACAUUAAUAGGUGGCUUUGUCUUAGGUUGAAUUUUAAUAAAAAAAAACUGUUAGUUAGAUUCAUUGUUAGAGUUUUUGAACCAAACUUAGUAGAUAAAAAUAUUUAGUAUUUAUAUUAGAGCAAUUUGGUUUUUUAAUACAGUAAUUUUUGACAUAAAUAAUCUAUGUGAUCUUUGUUUUAUCACAACAUAAUGCGACUUCUUGAUUAAAACAUAUAGUGUAGUUGCUUUAUGAAUUAAGUGUGUUCGGCGUACCAAUCCUCAUGGAGGCUGAUAUGGCUCUUCUCAUAUCGGCCAUGUAAAACCAAAAACAACAAUAAGUUGUUACAUGUACCGGCAACAUUAAAUUUUGCAAAGAAAUUCGAUAAACAUUACAAUAAAAGUGAAUUGUCAUAACCAUAAACAUCAAAUUCAUACAAUGUAACUUGGUCGAUUUCAAAGUAUUUUUCCUUCUAAAAAUUAAAAUAUGAUUUUUUAGGCUACACCCAAUCACAUAUACAUAUCUUCCGAUCAUAUAAAUUAUUACAAAAAAUGUUAUUAACAAAAAUAUAAUAUUAGUUUCAUAAUUUGCUAAAGGUUAACACUAAUAAAUAAUCAUGAACUUUCACUAAUCUUACAUUUUGGUCGGUACAUCCAACUAACAAAUGAAAUUCGGUUUAGAUGUUUGAUUCAAGAAGUGCAUCCAUUUAUAAUGCUUACCAAUUUUGAUUGUUUCCGCUUGGAUGUGAACAUUAAUAUUCUUGUAGAGAAAUGGAACUUCAAACGAACUCUACAUAGCCAAAUCAGCAAACAUGACAACACAAAAAGAAGCCUAACUUGGCAUAUAACCAAAUUUCCAGCAAAUUUCAAAAUUUUAAGGUUUUGUUGAACAAUUUUUUCAAUUUAUCAGAAUUUUAUUUUUUUACAACCUUAUAUGAGUAAUCAAGAAUUUAAAUCAAGUGAAAGAAGUAAUUAUUCAUUUAAAUCCAGUAAAAAAAAUUACAAUAUUGUGAAAUUGCAUAUAAUUUACAUGUUUGCUUAUUGUCUUGGAGGUACCCAACCACUUGGAUAUGUACUAUUAUUUGAUUAAUUAGUGCAUAAAUUAAAUCAUAGAAUAUGAAAUUUAACGAUUGUUCAAAUUCAUUUACACUUGAUUUAACAAUAGAAAAUAGACAAAUUUAUAAUCAUGAAAGUAUGCUUAAUUCAACAAAUUUGUUAUUAAAAUUAAUAGAAAACUAAGUUUCUUGAAGAAACAUUGACGGACAAUGUGUUUGACCAAACAUUGGUCAAGAUGAGGUAAACAAUUUGAUCUAAGGGUGGAAAAGGUAUAAGUGAAAUACAAUCAAAAAUAUUUAUUGCUUUAGAUGAUGAUAUAAAGAUUCUCUUUUAAACAUAGAAUUUAAUCUUCUAUUUUGUAUAUGUAAAUGUCAUACACUUGGGUUGCGGUGACUUCGUAAGACAUGUGGAAAAUAUGGUGGAUAACCUAUUGACUCAUGUUCAAAUCAUCGCACUACUCAGCCUCUGUGGCCAUAGAGUUUCGCGUGCAGUGACUCCGUGUCAUGAGGCCUAACCUCAUGUUCGCAGCGGGGGAUUAAUCGGUGCAUGAAAGUUGGCCCGGAAACCCUUGUUAGGGAAGUUCCAUUUCCAAAAAAAAUGUAAAAGUCUUAGUCUUUGCCUCUCUCUAGUGUCAUUGUAAUGAGUUUUAUUAUUUAAAUCUGUAAAAUUGUGGAUAUCAUUAAUAUCUAAAAAAUAAUAAUAUUUCAAUGAUAAAUGUUUGCUAAUAAAUUUUUCAAUAAAUUCACAAGAUAUUGUAAAUUAUUGUUUUGGAACGGUUGAAAGAUGCAUAAAAGUUUAUAAUUUCAUAAAAAGUUGUAGUUUGCUAAUAUUUAUAUUGAAGUUGUAAUGAAUAACAUUGUAAUAAUGUUGGCAAAUUCACAUUCAAACGGAAAAAUAAAGUAAAAAAAUGAUUAAAAUUCUAAAUUCAUGAGUUUAAACCCAAAAGGCAAAUAGAUGAAUAAUUCAACAUUUCAUAAAACCCAAAAGGUAUUUAAAUGAUCAAAAUUCUAACCCAAAAAACGAAUAGUAUUAAACAAAGUAAUCAAAAAACAAACAUAAAGACAAAAUGGUAUGUAGACAUAAUAUGAAAUCAAUUGUACUCAAAUCACUCAACUACUCAUAUAAAAUCACGGAAAUCAUAUAUUAUUUUUCUUUAUUUGGAAUUAACAGUUUUGGUUUACAUUCUUCAUAAGUACGAUCUGCGAUUUAUGUUAAUGAUCAUUUGGUUGAGGAUAUUGUCUCCAUAUUAUCAACAUCAUAAACACAUUCCAAGUUGUGUUUUAAUAAUUCAUCUCUAGACAUUUUUUUAAAGGAUGUCCACUUAUUUAGUGGACUUGUUACAAUACUUUUAUGAAGAUUCGAAGUUGGUGUGACGUUAUCACCAGUAAAUGAAACUGCAUCCUAAAUAUAGAAAAUAAAUUCAUAUGUCAAUCUAAAAGUUAAUAAUAUUUUAAAGUAUUUAAAAUAUUAGAUUUAGUUAUAUUAUAUUUAAAACCUUUAAAUUUAAUGUGUCUUGACAUCCGAAUUUCGCCGAUAAAACGUUAAACGAAUCAGAUUACGACGCUUAUAAUUGUAGUACAUAGACAUAUGUUAGUUGAUCAACUAAAAUAUAAAAAAACGAAUCUAAUAAGUGUAGUAUUUGAAGUAUGUUUCGUAAAAGAAUGUUACAUGUUCGAUGUUAAUUUUUUUUCCAAUUCAAAAGUGAUUUUAGUAUCAACAUUGAAGUUUGAUAUUGCAUAACCAUCAACAUUGUUCUACAAAUUAUAAUGAGAAAUUUGAAUGACAACUUUUUAUCCAAAAGUAAUUUCAAAUCAGACGGAUAAAUCUUCAUAUUACCCUCCUAAAAAUGGAAAAACUAACGGUUAUAAAAAUAGACAGACAAAAAGUAAAAAUUAGUUUUAUGUAAAUGAAGUUAAUACUGAUAACCUCAUUAAACUUUUGAAGCAACUCUAGUGUGUUUUUUUUUCCAGAAGUUUCUUUGCGUCACGAUCAAAUAACGUGACACCACGCCGGUAAAGUGUUGUACUAUAAUGGUGAUUUUGAAACUAAAACCAUUGAUAGAAACAAAUUCAAUAAUAUAAAAUUUAAAAAUUUAAUCGAAGAUUAUAAUAAUAUGUAUAAAAGAGUUAUUGAAAACCUUGGAACAACAAAUACGUCUUUGUUCAUGCAAGUUGAAGUGUAACAAUAAAAAAAAACUUCUUUAUCCUGCUUUUGAUCCGUUCCACUAGCUUUGUUCAUUUUAUAUGGGAUAUACUGGAAGAUAAAUUAUGAAUAAUAUUGAUUUUAAUUUUGACACUUAAAUAUUUUGCUGAUUUAAUGGGAUUAUAUUAGAUUUUAUUGGUUAAUAACUUAAUUAUUGAUAUUCUUGUUUAAUGAGUUUUUUUUUUUAAAAAAAAUAAAUAAAAAAAAAUGUAAACGGGUUUGAAUUUGGAAAUCAAAAGCUAUAAAUAAGGGAGUUAAAUUAAGAAUAAUAUUAAUUAUAGAAACUGAUAUCAUGUAUAUAAAUAUAAUGAUAUGUUUCAAUUGAUAAAAUAAUUACUGAAUUUAAAGAUGCUAUGAUUAUUAUAGAUUCUAUAAUUAAAUGUAAUUUUGUUUGAAUUUUAUUUGGGGAAAUGAUGUCAGNGUUUGAAUUUUAUUUGGGGAAGAUGAUGUCAGCAGUUUGAUCUAAUGGUGGAAAAUAUAGGAUUAAAACACAAUCAAGGGCCCUGAUUGUUUUAUUGGUGAAUUAAAGGUUCUCUUUUGAUAAUAUUUAAAAAUGAGUUUUUUAAAAACGAAAAAACUGAACAGGUUUGAGUACUGAAGCCAAAAACUAUAAAUAAGGAAGUUAAAUUAUGAACAAUAUUAAUUAGGGUAAAUGAUGGCAUGGAUCGUCUAAAGAUGGAGAUGCUUGCUUCAGUUUAUAGAGAUUUGUGUGAUGCCAAAACACAGGUGUGAUAAUUGGAGAUGCAAGUAAGAGGCAAUACACAAAUUCUAAGCAUACAUGAGAAAAAAGGAACCAACUUAUGGUGCUACAUUCUGUUAUGAACACACAAAGCAUCAAUUGAAGCAUAACCAUUGACAUGAGGACGAAGAGGAUUAGGGAAUUAUGGUUUAAGAGAAAAAAAUAGAGGAGAAAGAUGGGGCGGCUAUUCAUGUUUUUGACAAGAUUUAUGGAGAAACCGAUACUUCAUAUAUAGAUAGAAUGAUAUGCUUCAAUUGAUAACAUAAUUGUUUAUUUUAAAAAUUCUAUAAUUAAAUGUAAUUGUGCUCGAAUUGUGAAAUAUAUUUUAGAAAGUAUGAUAGAUUCUAUAAUUACAGAUUUUAUAAUUAAAUAUAAUUAUGAUUGAAAUGUAAUUGCUAAAUUUAAAGAUUCUAUAAUUAAAUAUUUGAUUUCUAUUUAGAGAAGAUGAUGUCAACAAUUUGAUCUAAGGGUGGAAAUCAUAUGAUUGAAAUACAAUCAAGGGCCAUGAUUGCUUUAUUGGUGAAUUAAGAGUUCUCUUUUAAUAAUAUUUAGAGAUAUUCUAAUUAACAACUUAGGUUUUUUAAUUUAGGAUGUUAUUUCACAAACAUAUGAGAGUUUUACACCCUCAACAGUUGAUAAAUAAAUCGCAACCAAUACUAUGAAGAUAUCAACUGAUUUGAAGCGCAAACUCCAUGACAUUUAUGACGUUGAUUGUGUAGAUGAAUUCAGCUCACUAAAAUUUUAAAGAAAAACAGUCGGAGAGGAUAAUCCACUUUUAGUUCCAACAGUAGAGAAGUGACUUGGGUUUGGUUUUAAUAAACAAACAAUAUUUUUGGAAAUUGGAUUGGUUUUAAAGACUGUUGGGUUGUUUGGUACAACUUUUUUUGGAUAUCUAGGAUGUUAAUUGUGAUAGGUUUAUUUAGAUAUGUAUGACUUAUCAGUACUUUUGGAUGUAGGGGACAACAUAAUUCAGUUAAGUUUUUUUGAAGCUUUGUAGAUUAAGAUUAUUGGGUUGUUUUCGUAAUAGACAUGUAUUUUGGAUAUUUGUUUUUUUUUUUUUAUGACUAAUUACAUGCAUGUUUACAAACAAACAUGUUGACCUAUAGCUGUUUGUUGAGCUAAUUUCAUUUUCUGUGUCUUUAUUCCUUAAUAGCAAUAUAUCUUCAUUCUCCAUGUUCUUAUAUUUUAUGACCUUAGAAAUCGUAAUUAUUGAAAACCCACACGUUUGCAUUUCUAGUGCAUAUUUCCCGCUAUAAUGUGGACAACUAUAUANNNNNNNNNNNNNNNNNNNNNNNNNNNNNNNNNNUAUAUAUACCAUUUUCAAACUUACGGAAGAUGUAUCAAUUGCUUCGGAAUUGGAAAGUAAACUUGAGCUUUUGGAAUGUAUAUUUCCCUAUAAAUUACAGAUCUAUUUUCAACUUUUUAAGUAACUUCCGAGUUUUCCAACUUAUUUUAUAGACUACUCAAUCUUUGUCGUUGACUCACUAAUCUUCAUUUUUCCUAAACUUUGAUAUCUUAUUUUAUUAGACAAUGAAAAUUAAAAUUCAAUUUUAUAUCAACCGUGGUUUUCCACGGGUUUAGACCUAGUUUACAUAUAUAGCAUCCUAAUUUCAUAUACACAAAGUGUAGUCAGAUACAAACACACAUACAAUCACAUAUAUGUUUAAUGACCUAAUAAAGAUGCAUACAUACGAAAAGUCACAAAAUCUUUCUGAUAUAGUAACAUACCUAAAGAUUAUACACACACACACUUAAUUAAAGAAAAAUAGCAACGAACUAUAUUGUUUCUUUUGGCCUUUGAGACCCAUUUUCCCCUAUAAUUCCCCUCUUGUAAUUGUGCCUUCGAUGCAAUGGUGCUCUUGCUAGUACCUAUAUGCGCCUUAAGAAAAUUACCUAGAUGUUCAGAAGAAAAAAAAUUUGCUUAAUCUAAAAAAAAAAAAAAUUGUUAAGUACAUGUGUCAACUACUAAAUAAUUAACUUUAAAGGCCCCAAAAUUUGAAAUUUCUUCAACUUCGAUUUUGAAUAAGCAGUUAAGAACAUUAACAAAAUCUUAAUACUAAAGGAACGCACUUUGAUGAUAUGUUCAUGAUUACAAGCUGGAAAGGAACUAAUUUCUAAUUUUUAGGACAUAGCAUGAAUUAAAAAAGUGAAGAGAUGAGAUUGGAUCAUCCUAGGUCAAAUUCUAUUUUAGUAAGAUUGGUAUGGAAAUCCAUACGUAUGAUUUUUGAAACUAAUUUCUAAUCCUUUGUACAUAAUCUCUCCCUACUCCUCUAUUAGACCCUGGUCUCUCACUUUUUUCCUUCUCUGUCAUUCUUUCUAUCUCUUUUGUGUGUGGAUGAUACGGUAGGAUUGGUAAAAAAUGAUGGAUUUUUUACGGGAACUUAAAAAUGUAUUCCUGCCUUCCAGUUAAAAGUCAAAACUAAAUUGGUAUAGUAGUAUGUAAUUAUUUAUUAAAUAACAUGAUAUUUAUUUGAUUAUUAUUUUUUGGUUUAAAGUUGUUGAUUUUUAUUAAUAUAUGUCAUUUUAAUAUUAAUUUUUUAUUUACUUUGAGUUGUGUGAUUUUGUCAUAAAAAAAGUAUUUAACAUUAGUAGUUAUAUUAUGAUAUGUUUGACUAUUUCUUGUUUAAAUAUUAAAAAAUUGUUAGUUAAAAUCAAUUUGCUUAUAGAGUUCUUGAGCUCAUUUGUUCAAAUUGUUUAGAUAAAUUGAUGGUGAUGCUAUAUGUAUGCUUAAUAAACAUGAUUCCAAAAGUUUAAACUUGAAACAAAGGUUAAUUAUUGAAUUGAUGAAGAAGAGCAUUAACCCUAAAAUUUGAAAAAUGUUAUACGAGUGCUACUGAAUUCAUAAUUAUAUGAAUUAAUGCAUAUAUGUGAUUUGAUCCACGUAUUCUUAGUUAAUUUUUUUUUGCUAAAAGUGUUGCUAGAAAAAGAUCUAUGGUGGGAUAUGUGUUGAGAUGUAAUGAUUGAGAGAGAACAUUGUAUUUGAUUCUCAUUAUCUGAAUGCUUAAGUUAUAACUGAAAACUAUAUAUGAAUAUAUAACUGUCUAUAACUACUAGUAACAGAAGAUUUCAUAGAAAAGACUAAAAUGCCCUUAAGGCUAAACAAACUCUAACGACUUAACGACUUAUACUGUAACACCCCCUUAAUCUNCCCCCCCCCCCCCCCCCCCCCCUCAAUCUGGAGUGUAUGGACGAAGACCCAGAUUGGAUGCAGCAUGUUGAAGUUGAGAACCAUUCAAUGAUUUGGUGAAGACAUCACCCAAUUGAGAAGUAGUAGAAAGAUGACAUAAUUUGAUUAAACCUUGUUGUAACUUCUCUCGAACCUUGUUGCAGCUUUAUUAUCACACUUCAACGGUAUAGGAAUGAUAUUAGGAACUUGUAAUUCAUCAACCAAUCUACUGAGCCAAUCUAACUCAGCAGUAACUCGUCUCAUGGAUCAAUAUUCAGCCUCAGCGGGUGAUAAAGAAACAGUUAUUUGCUUUUUAGAUUUCCAUGAAAUUGGAACACCUUCAAACAGUAUAAAGAAACCACUUACAGACCUUCUUGUUAUAGGACAAGCAGCCCAAUCAUAAUCACAAAAAGCUUCAACUUGAAAAGACUCCUGCUUGUUGAAAAACAAUCCUUGUGUGGGAUUACUUUUGAGAUAGUGUAAAACAUGAAGAGCAGCUUUGUCACACCCCAAAACCGAUAACGGCGGAAUACGUUUCGGGGUGGAUGACGUAGUGAACAGUAUCAUCACAAUUGCAUAGUGAAUUUAAUUACAAGUGUGUUUUGUAAUGUUUAACAAUCACCCAAAAGUAAAUCAAAAAUAAGAGAUGGGUCUUGUGUGCUCCACCUUCUCCAAAAAUGUCGCGUCUGUACCUGUCUAUCUUUGACCUGAAGAUACAAGUUAUUUUGAAAACGAUUAUCAGCAUAAAGUUGGUGAGUUCAUAAGAGUUUAGUGUGAGUUUUUGUAUACAAAGCAUUAGUGCUAAAAAUGUAUCAUUUAUGUUCAUAAGUAGUAGAAACUUAGAAAAUCUCAUAUUUUCCAGAAAAUACAUUGUAAGUGACAAUCAGUGAAAGAUAUGCAUUCUUCAUUUCUUUGAAACAGAUUAUUGUAAAAAUAUAUUGGCAAAUCUCCAAAUAACAAGUGUGAUGGAAUAGGUUAAGCCUGUAAUCAGCGAUAGAGGUGCAAACUUCCUUUAGUGAUAGAUACUUACUUACUUCGGGAUGCAGUUAGCAUUUAGUGUAGUAUUUUAGAGUAGUUGUAGUGUAUUCCUUGUAUGUUACUAAUAGUGAGGAUAAUAGAGGAUCCCAUGACCUUCCCGGUCAUGCACAAUAUAGUGAAGUAGUGGCAUCCCUGGGCCUGCACGGCGCGGACUGAAAUUAACAGUCGGGAUGUAAUAGCGUCUGCCCCGUAUAGAUCUAUACAUGUAGAGUCGUCUCCCUGCUGGAAAACUUCGGGCGUAGUGGAUAGCGAAUAGAGUAUCUCGUAGUGGGUUAGUGUAUUAUUGUUUGUUUAGUGUUUUCUCUAUUGUUAUAGUGUAGUAAUCUUUUAGUAUUGAUCAUAGUGUAUUCUCUUACUAGUGUAUCGUCUAGUAAUAGUGAGUAUUAUAGUGUAGAUAGAAAUGACUUUAGCGAGUAGUAGCUGUAGCAACCGUAACUAUACCUAUUAUAGUUAUCUUAGUGAGGACGGUUCUUGGCAUGUUAGUGACUUUAGUAUUAAGUGAAAGCAGUAACAUUCGUAUCCCACACUGAUAUACAGAUUAUAUAACUAAGAAAUCAACGACAGUCGGACGGAUAACUACUACCCUAAGCCCACAAUCAAACAAGAACAGGAAAUAAGGCGAGAUAUCGGUCCUAAGUCCUCCAAGUCUUACUUAUAUAAAUAUAUCAGAGUGGUUACAUUUUAUAAGUAGAUUGAUUAAAUAAAAGUAUUUUUCCGAAAGAACAUUUAAAAUCUGAUUCACUGUUUAAAAAUAGUUUGAAAAGGGUAAAACCCGUUUAUAAAGCAUAGGGACAAAUCACAUGUGAUUUGAACUAAAAGUAGUGAAUCACAUGUGAUUAAUCCUUGUAACGCGGAAAUCGUUCUGUAAAACUUUACAUAAACAUUUAUAAGCAACUUGUAUCUCCCCCCUAAAACAUGUAAAACACUUGAAAGGUUCAUUAAAGGGGUAUGAACUCACCUGAAAUCGCGGAAAUCGGGUGAAUCGGGUAAAUCGGGUAAUAGUGUCGAUUGAGCGUUUGGUACCAAAUAACCACUUGAGCACCUUUUAGGACCCUAAUGUCAUAUGAAAUAUGUAUUUUACAAGAAGUUAAUCAUCUUAUGCUUUUCAUUAUAGUAUUUGGGCAUUCUAGCAUCGUUUUCGGGGUUUUAGGGCCUAGAAAGGGUUCCCGGGACUGAUACAAGGCCAUGAAUGAAUUACGGGAGGUCCAUGAGCUCACUCUCUUAGAGUUUAUGGCCUAAAAGGCCAUCCUUUGGGAGUUUACGGCCGUAAGCCCCCUAGGCUUGGCCGUAAACUCUUGUGACACUCCAAAAGGUGUGCUUAGGGCCUUAUCUCACUUCCUUAAUUUAAUGGUAUGUGUUUUGGACUAAGAGGGAAGGAUUAAACAUCAUAUUUUGUGACAUUUUUGGGGAGUUUACGGCCAAGACUUGUUCUUGGGUCGUAAACUCCAAUAAAUCCUUCAAGAUGCAUGUUUUAAUGGUACAACAUGGUCUCAUUCACCUUAGAUAAAUCCUAUAAGGCCUAAAAAUGAGUUUUGGGACAAUUUGGCACCAACUUUUGGGGAGUUUACGGCCUAAGAACAUCCUUGGCCGUAAACUCUCCAUUUUGCCUCCAAAUGUGAAGUUUAAUGGUACAACACACUUCCAAAGGCCUUAGCUAAAUUCCUUACAUGCAUUUGAGUGGUUUAGGGACUUGUUUGACACAAAAACUUGGGUGUUUACGGCCCAAGCCUAGCCUUGGCCAUAAACUCCACUUUUUGUUUUCAAAUGAUGUUGUUUGAUGCUUUUAAACCUUCCUUGUUGUCAAGUCUAAAUUACCAAACACCCUAGAUGAGUUUUUGGGGCUUUAAACAAGGAUUUGUGGGGUGUUUGGGGUGUUUAUGGCCUAAGCACAAGCUUGGGCCAUAAACUCCUUUUUAAGCACCCAUUUCUUGUGUUUUAGUGUCCAAAUCCUUCUAGAUACAUGCCUUAAUUAGUAUACUAGCUUAAAGGAAGGAAAAACAUGGUCUUUGGUAUGAUUUUGGGGGUUUACGGCCUAAGGAGCUUCUUAGGCCGUAAACUCCUUUUUGGUCCUUGAUUUCUAUGAUUUUGGCUUCUAAAUUCAGUAAAGUAUGUCUAGAUUAAGAUAGGGGAUGAGUACUUACGUUUGGAAGUCGGAAAUUAGCGGAAUUGGGGUCGAUUUCGGGUCUAUAGAGAGAAAGUAGAGAGAAAGAGUGAGUGUGUGGUAAAAGAGUAUUCAAAGGUUGUGCACACCCAUUUCAUAUGCCUCGGGUUUCGCACCCGAUCCACGGCUACCCGAUGUUUAAAGUUAACUGGGUUAAAACUUUUUACCCGGGUGAAGUGGUUAAAAAAGUAAUACAACUCUAUUAGGUUAAACGGGGUUAACACACACGAGUUAUAUUUCUUAUGAUGAUAUUAAGACAUGCACAUAAUUAGAUAUUCGGAUAUUGAUGAUUCCAAAUAUUACAUAAAAUGACGUAUAGCGACGCAUUCCGUUAGUGAAAAUAGGAUUUGUAACGGGAAUAGAUUUAGGGUUGUCACAGGCUUCGUAAUGUUCUUGACAAGGAGUUUGAUUGAAUUGACUUAGAUGUUGAAUAGCAUAAGACAAAUCAGGGUGUGUAUGCAAUAAAAAUUUCAAUUUUCCAAUCAAUUGUCUGUAAGUUGUUUGAUCUUUUAGAGGAUCUUUCAUAACAAGUGUCAAUUGAGAUUUGGAAGGCAAUAGAGUUUUGACAGAUUUGGUGGAAGCUAUUGAAUAAAGAUUCAAUAGUUCAUUCAUGAACUUUUGUUAAUGUAUAAUCAUUCCAUCAUUAGUAGACUAAAAUUCUAAUCCAAGAAAAAAAAUGAAGAAAACCUAGAUCUUUGAUUUGAAAUUGGUGAUGAAGAAAAGCUUUCAAACUAUUGAUUUUUGUGGAAUCAUUUCCUGUUACUAAAAUGUCAUCCACAUAAACAACAACAACAAUUAAGGAUGUAUUGGUCUUCUUGAGAAACACCGAAUGAUCAUUUUGAGAAAGAUAGUACCCUUUAGACCUUAAUGUUGUAAAAAGCUUAGAAUACCAUUGCCUUGAAGCUUGUCUUAAGCCAUAUAAAGAUUUCUUGAGUUUACAUACUAAUGAUGGUGAUGAGAUGUAAAAUCCAGGAGGAGGUUUCAUGUAUACUUUUUCGUGUAAAUCUCCAUGUAGAAACGCGUUAUUAACAUCAAAUUGAUGAAUUGGCCAAUUCUUUUUAACAGCAAGAGCAACAAUACAACGAAUUGUCGUAAACUUGACAACAAGAGAAAAAGUUUCGUGAAUGUCUAUUCCUUCCUUUUGGGUAAAACCCUUUGCUACCAAACGUGCUUUGUGCCUUUCAAGAGUUCCAUCAGCUCUAUAUUUGACUUUAUAAACCCACCUACAUGAUAUUGGUUUCUUGCCUUUGGGUAAUUUCACCACAUCCCAUGUUUGAUUGGCUUCUAAAGCUUUUAGUUCAUUAACCAUAGCUUGUUCCCACUCGGGAUGUCCCUUUGCUUGAUGAUAAAAGGCUGGUUCAAAAACAUGAGUAACAACAUUGAAUGUUUAUCUUGUAGAAACAAAAUCUUAAUUAUGAUCAGAAAAAUCAUGAAGACAGUAAUUGGUGAUAGUAUGAUGACAAGAAGGAGAAUUACAUUCUGAAAAUGUAUGAUUACAUACAUAAUCACAUAAAUGAGAAGGUGGUUGAAAAACACAAGUUGAACAUCUUAAAGACACACCAUUUGGUUCAGGUGGAUUUCGAACAGGAGGUGGAAUAGGUACAGGAGUAACAAACUCUUGAUCAAGGGUAUCUUUGGAAAUUGUGGGUAAAAAGGAGAGUGAUGAUGGAUCAAUGGAUGGUGAUAUGAUGGAAUGCAAAGGAAAUAUAUCUUCAAAAAACUUCACAUCUCGAGAAAGGCUAAACAAACUCUAACGACUUAAUGACUUAUGUUGUAACAAUAUGAUGAUUGUAUUUUGUAUGCUAUUUUUUUUCAUUUGCUUUGUUCUCAUGAUGAGAUCAUUAUAACCAAAGACUUCCACACUCAACGCACCCAACCAUCCCCAUCACCACACCAUUUCCACACACAUUCAUGCCCACACCAACAAGUCCAUGGCAACACCGAUGUCCACCUCCAAUUAUACAUUAGCAUACACACACACACGACAUUGACACCCGCAUAACACCUAAAUCCAUACCCAUACCUACAUAUCCCUCUCGUACCUGCAUCCACACCCACCAUACACCUACGUGCACACUCACACUCCAAUGUAAACGACCCUACACCAACGCCGAUGACCACCCCCACAUGUAUACGCCCACGCUUGCAAUAACAAACCCACAUAGGUUUGAAGUAGGUAAAAGUUUAAUAAAUGUAAAUUUUAUCAUUUUUAAAAAUAAUAAGAAGUUAUAAAGAAUCAAUAAAAGGAGAUUGUGGAUAUAACAACAUUGACUCAUGUAGGGUAUGUAACAUAUAUUAACUAGUAAAAAAAUUAGUAUAAUAGAGUCGUGUAUAUAAUUAAUUGUUAACAUACAAUAUGAUUUAACUAGUUUAGAUUUGGAUUAUUAAUUAUUUUAUAAUAUAUAAUAUGUAGCCAAAGAUGACAUUUGGAGACUGUGACCCACGAGAAUCUAGUCCUGCUCUAGGCCAACUACAUCAGCAUCAUCGACAUCGAAUUUUGCAUUGACAUCUGUAGUAGCAAAACUAGGAGAAGGAUAUAAUAAGAGCUUUGCCAAUUGUUAUGGUGAACAAAUUGAAUUGGAAUGGUUGGUGAUGAAAAUUUUGAUAGGUAUCAUCUAUUCUUUUCUUUGUAUGUAAUUGUAACAUAGAUUCCCAGUUUUUCUCGUAAUCAGAAUGUGAACAAAUUGAAUUGGAAUGGUUGGUGAUGAAAAUUUUGAUAGGUAUCAUCUANUAUAUAUAUAUAUUCUUUGUAGUCAACUUUUGAACUUAGUUUAAAAUGUAAAUAUGUUACGAGCUUGCACUUGACUUGUGCAUAUACACAACCACUCUACUUCUUGAAGAAAGUAUUUUACUUAUUGAGGGAUUCGAUUUCAUUGAUUACUUUGACAAAUUAUUUGCAAAGCACGCACCCUAUUUCUAAAACUGAAUGAAGUUGGUUUUUUGAUGGGAAGCCUUGAUUAACAUUAAGAGAGAGAUACGGACAGAGGAGGGGGUGACUCUUGUUGUUGCCUGGUGGUGUGAGUUGGCUUUUAGUUAGGUUAAUUUGUUUAGUUUUUGUAACACCCCGAUUCAUAGGUAUUGACUUAGUGUGUGAGUUCUUGAUUUCAACGGCUACUCGACGAGUUCAUUGCCCUACUUGUCGAGUAGCAGCGGGUUGGCCACAUAUUUUAAUGAGCUACUCGCCGAGUUCAAGAAGGGACUCCACAAGUAGGAGCUGGCAGAUGAAACCCUAAAUCUCGGGGUUUUACACCCUAUUUAAAGGAUCAUUGGCCUCCCCCAGCCUCCCCUUUACUGCCCAUUGUCCCUCUCAACUCCUAAAUCGUGUGUGUGUGUGUUCUUUUGGUGUGUUCAAGCUUUGGAGGAGGAAAUUUGAAGAAGGAAACACUUAGGGAAGCAAGGAAAUCAAGGCUAGGAACUCGUGUAGAGCUAAGAGGUUCAUUAGUUGUUACUCCCAGGAAGGUAUUAAGUUGUUCCUUCAGCUCAUCUCUCUUUUGACCUCUUUUGGAUGGGUUUUAUGAAAGGCUCCCCAUGUUUAAGUUAAGAUCUGAAGUUGUAACUUCAGAUCUGGACUCCCUUUGACCUCUAGAUCCAUAAAGUUAUCACCCUUGCGUGGUAGGAGCCUUCCCUCAAGUGUGAGACUUCAUUAUAAGCUUAGUAUUGCCAUUUAAGGGUCUUAACGCCUUGCAUGCACGUAAAGUUUGCGACUUUAUGUGAUAAACAUGCCCUAGACGCUUGGAUCUGUAAUUUGGAACCUUGCCAUGGCUUUAAAAGCGUCUGCAUGGAUGAAGGUCUGCAAGGACUCGGCGAGUUGGAUGAACAACUCGGCGAGCCCGUUGAAGAUAGCCAUGAAUUCGACGAGUUGGAUGAACAACUUGGCGAGUCCGUAGAAGAUUGCCUUGGAGUCGGCGAGUCGUUCGAAGACUCGGCGAUUCAGCUAGGGUUUCUCCCAAUUCUUGGACGUAUGAACUCAGUGAGUUAAAAGGGAACUCGACGAGCCAACCAGGGAUUUCACGACUUCUCGAGUUCAGGAAGGACUCGACGAGUUGGUGAACUGCCCUCGACGAGUCAAGUCAGCAUGGACUGUUGACCUUGAUUGUGGACUUUGACUUGGACCAAGGGUUGACUAGUUGACUUCUGAGGGUAUUCUAGUAAUUUGGAGAUUUAUGAAAAAGGGUUUUAUGCUAACUAUAGGGGGUGGAGUUCGUGUUGGUGAUUCGGGAGUCGAGCUUUCUAUUUUUAGACAACAGUUGCAAGGUGAUCUAUCCUCACUAUACUAAGGGGUCUAAGGCACCAAGGCUGGCCCAUUGGAUACAUUAUCCUAGCAGAGUUAGAUGUUGAGUAUAGGUUAGCCUUGCAUGCUAGUGGUUAUGCCAGUUAGGUAGACCUGUAGGACUACGUGUGAUGUUAUAUGAUUAUUACAUGCUCGGUGUUUAUGUUAUAUGUUUGUUAUAUGGGAUGGGUUGAGGUUAUACUGCUUCGUGCGGUAGCCAACAAACCCCAGGAGCAUACUAGUUACAAGCUAAAGGAGACUCGUACUGUGGGCUCGGGAGCAUUCCAGUUACGGGCUGCGGGAGACUCGUAAUGUGGGCUCGUGGGAAUUAUAGCCUGCAGGGCUAUGGACUCGUUACGUGGUGUUCUGUUUAGUUUGUUAUGAUAUGUUAUUGCCGACAUGGUUAUGUGGACUGUAUGUGUGUCGGUAUUUUGGGGGUAACUCACUAAGCUUUCAGGCUUACAGUUUCAGUUUAUUGUUUCAGGUACAUCAGGGGAUCGCGGCAAGGCGAAGGCAUGAUCGUACAGGUCCUCAUAUUAUGUUUAUAUUUCUUGGAAUACUCUGAUAAAUAAGAUUUUGAAAACAAAGUUGUAAUAUUUUGAUGAACUUGACAUGUUUUAAUAGUUUAAAUUGGUUUGAAAUUGUUGGGUGUUACAAGUUGGUAUCAGAGCCUUGGUUUGAGUGAAUUGGAGGAACACUCGUGUAACUCCAGUCUCAAAUCAAGGAAAGGAGUUUCAAAAUGAUUUUUCUAAAAAGGUUUUCAAAAUAAAUAAAGUAGGAUGCAGGGUGUACGAUCAGCCUGAGCCAGUAAGUAGACCCCAAAAUACCAUAAAAGUUAUUUGAUUAUGUGAUAUGUUAGAACAACAUGUUAGUACUAGGCUAGGGAUCUUCAGAAAUUGCACGGUAGAAUUGUCUGAUUUCAUGAUGCCUGCUAGCCCAGGGCUUCCUUUAUAUGAAAUUGACAUCAUUACUGUAGUUGCUGAGUGUAUGCAUCACAGUUAUAUAUAAUUAAGACCUUAUAGCCUGAGAAUGUUUGAUUUGGCCAUAUGUACUGUUCUUGUUUGAUUGGGAGCUUAGGGUAGGAUUGGAUAUUCAAAAGUUUAUAGGGUUCAGCGUUAUGUAUGGCUAGCAUACACUAGUGCUACAGGGUUGGUGGAAGUUUCAUGGAUAGGUGGGUUAAGUGAGGUCGGGAGGUCAGUUAUGAGAUGUUUAUCACUCCUCUAGGGUGAGAAUUGAGCGCUCGCCAUGUUGUGUAUUCAGUUAGGGCUUUGUGAUGAUGCUUGAGACAAAUAUGGGUAGGUGUGGAAAGUAGUAUGGGCCUGUACUACUAAAAGCACAGGACCCAUCUGCAUGUCAAGUAAGUCACAAUCCCUAGGGUUAGUAGGGAGUUUGCUCCCAGCUAUUUAUAGGGAUUAUGUGAUAUCUUGUGGUAUGUUUCAGAAUCGUGAUGACGAGGCGCUUUGUGGCUGGAUCCGGUUCGGGAUCAGGAUCAGGGGACAGAGGCUAGGAGGGGUUGACAACACCUGAGCCGGUGGUGCAUAUGGGUACAAAGGAGUUGGAUGCCAGGAUUCGAGAGAUCCUACAUGAUGAGGUUCUUGCUGCAUUCCGGGCUCAAUUACCGGAGAUGUUCGGUUCGAUUAAGACCGCCAUGGUGGAGUAUUUUGAUGAGCGCUAUACAGCCCUUGCAGAGACAGCCGCCGCAGCAGCUGCAUCAGCUGUAUCAGCGGCAAGAGGGAGUUGGUUGAGGUUUUCAGUACAAGGACUUCGAUAACACGAAGCCCCCUACUUUAAUUGGGACGUAAGAUCCCAUCCAGGAUAUGAGAUGGAUUUCAGAUGUGGAGGGGUGUUUCUUAACUUGCUCGUGUCUUGCUGACCAGAAGGUCAGGUGUGCUCUGAACCUGCUUAGGUCUGGGGCCAAGGACUGGUGGAGACUUGUGACUGGGUCGUACGCUGAUGAUCAGAGAGGUGAUGUUACCUAGGAGCAGUUUAGAGACAUGUUCUGCGCCCGUUACAUUUCGCCGGUUGAGCGUGAGCGAUUGACACAGGAGUUUCUGAGUUUGAGACAGGAUGGGGAGUCGGUGACGGAGAUCACCCGUAUGUUCACUGAGCGGACGAUGUUCUCCCCAGAGUUUGCUUUCGAGCAGUCUCAGAUGACCCGUUAUCUGAGUAUUCUCAAGACUAAUAUCCGACAGUUUGUAUCUACCCAGUGAUGUAAUACUCUUUCGGAGUUACAGGAGGCCGCUAGACGGCGGGAGUUAGAGAUUGAGCUGCAGCUGAGGGAGCAGCGGCCGGCCCCGACACAGUUGCAGCCAGCGCCGAAGUGGUCCAAGACUGCUGAUUUGAGGUAUGGGAGUCAGCAGAGGCGCUCUUGUGGAAAGUGAGGCAGGGUUCAUUCUGGGAUUUGUCGAGCCAGUAGUGGGUUCCAUAGGUGUAACAAGGAGGGGCACUAUGCGAAGGAUUGUCGCCAAGCCGCUCCGAUACCGAGUAUGAAGUUAUGUUACCAUUGUGAUCAGGUUAGCCAUUUGAAGGCCAACUGCCCGUUACUCGUUGCCAAACCGGAGAUGUUCGGGUCGAUUAAGACCGCCAUGGUGGAGUAUUUUGAUGAGCGCUACGCAGCCCUUGCAGAGACAGCCGCAGUAGCAGCUGCAUCGGCUGUAUCAGCGGCAUGGGGAGGAGUUGGUUGAGGUUUUCAGUACAGGGACUUCGAUAACACGAAGCCCCCCACUUUUGAUGGGAUGCAGGAUCCCAUCCAGGAUAUGAGAUGGAUUUCAGAUGUGGAGGGGUGUUUCUUAACUUGCUCGUGUCUUGCUGACCAAAAGGUCAGGUGUGCUCUGAACCUGCUUAGGUCUAGGGCCAAGGACUGGUGGAGACUUGCGACUGGGUCGUACACUGAUGAUCAAAGAGCUGAUGUUACCUAGGAGCAGUUCUGAGACAUCUUCCGCGCCCGUUACAUUCCGCGGGUUGAGCGGGAGUGGUUGACACAGGAGUUUCUGAGUUUGAGACAAGAUGGGGAGUCGGUGACGGAGAUCACCCGUAUGUUCGCUGAGCGGGCAAUAUUUUGCCCAAAGUUUGCUUCCGAGCAGUCUCAGAUGACCCGUUAUCUGAGUUUUCUCAAGACUAAUAUCCGACAGUUUGUAUCUACCCAACGAUGUAAUACUCUUUUGGAGUUACAGGAGGCCGCUAGACGGCGACAGUUAGAGAUUGAGCUGCAGCUGAGGGAGCAGCGGCGGGCCCCGGCACNNNNNNNNNNNNNNNNNNNNNNNNNNNNNNNNNNNNNNNNNNNNNNNNNNNNNNNNNNNNNNNNAUUUGAGGUAUGGGAUUUAGUAGAGCUGCUAUUAUGGAAAGUGCGGGAGGGUUUAUUCUGGGACUUGUCGGGCCAGUAGUGGGUGCCACAGGUGUAACAAGGAGGGGCACUAUGCGAAGGAUUGUCGCCAGGCCGCUCCAAUACCGAGUAUGAAGUUAUGUUACCAUUGUGAUCAGGUUGGCCAUUUGAAGGCCAACUGCCCGUUACUCGCCGCCAAACCGGAGAUGUUCGGGUCAAUUAAGACCGCCAUGGUGGAGUAUUUUGAUGAGCGCUAUGCAGCCCUUGCAAAGACAGUCGCCGCAGCAGCUGCAUCAGUUGUAUCAGCAGUAGGGGGAGGAAUUGGUUAAGGUUUUCAGUACAGGGACUUCGAUAACACGAAGCCCACUACUUUUGAUGGGAUGCAGUUUCCCAUCCAGGAUAUGAGAUGGAUUUCAGAUGUGGAGGGGUGUUUCUUAACUUGCUCGUGUCUUGCUGACUAGAAGGUUAGGUGUGCUCUGAACCUGCUUAGGUCUGGGGCCAAGGACUGGUGGAGACUUGCGACUGGGUCAUACGCUGAUGAUCAGAGAGCUGAUGUUACCUAGGAACAGUUCUGAGACAUGUUCCUCGCCCGUUACAUUCUGCAGGUUUAGCGGGAGCGGUUGACACAGGAGUGUCUGAGUUUGAGACAGGAUGGGGAGUCGGUGACGGAGAUCACCCGUAUGUUCACUGAGCAGGCGAUGUUUUGCCCAGAGUUCGCUUCCGAGCAGUCUCAGAUGACCCGUUAUCUGAGUAUUCUCAAGACUGAUAUCCGACAGUUUGUAUCUACCCAGCGAUGUAAUACUCUUUUGGAGUUAUAGGAGGCCGCUAGACGACGACAGUUAGAGAUUGAGCUGCAGCUGAGGGAGCAGCGGCCGGCCCCGGCACAGUCGCAGCCGGCGCCGAAGCGGUCAAAGACCGCUGAUUUGAGGUAUGGGAUUCAGCAGAGCUGCUCUUAUGGAAAGUGCGGCAGGGUUCAUUCCGGGAUUUGUCGAGCCAGUAGUGGGUGCCACAGGUGUAACAAGGAGGGGAACUAUGCGAAGGAUUGUCGCCAGGCCGCUCCGAUACAGAGUAUGAAGUUAUAUUACCAUUGUGAUCAGGCUGGCCAUUUGAAGGCCAACUGCCCGUUACUCGCCGCCAAACCGGCGCAGGCUCCAACACCAGCUACUUUGAGGAUCACAGAUGGGAGACCAGUCAAGGCAGAGCCUCCGAAGGCCCAGGGACGUGCUUUCCAGCUUACAGUGGAGGGGGGCAGGGCAGCACCAAAUGUGGUUGCUGGUAUGUUUGUAUCCUUUAUCUCGUUUUCCAUAUCUGUUGUAUGCUUAUCUAUUGUACCUGUGAUUAGGUACAUUUUUAGUGAACUCUUUGCCUGCUUUGGUCUUAUUUGACUCGGGGGCGAGUCGGUCCUUCGUAUCUCAGUCUUUUAGUAGGGAGUUCAGAGCGCCAGCGGGCGAGUUAGAGUGUCCGUUGCGAGUAUCUAUCGCCAACGAACACGGGGUUUCCGCUUCUUCAAUCUAUCGAGGGUGUGACUUGGAGAUUUUCGGGGUGUCCUUUCCAAUAGAUUUGAUUCCGAUCCCCAUGGGGGAGGUGUGCGUGAUUGUGGGCAUGGAUUGGCUCAGCCGGUUCGGUGCUAUGAUUGAUUGCGAGGGCCAGCGAGUGGUAGUUUGAACCCCAAGUAGGGGAGAACUGAUUGUAUAUGGUGAACGAACCAGAGUAGGAUCAGGGUUUUGUUCAGCUGCCAGGGCUUGGCAGUACAUUCAGCACGGGUGUGUGGGUUAUCUAGCGUAUGUUGUAGAUACGCGAGUCAGGGAUCAGAUUUCGGUUUUCGAUGUAUCGGUGGUCAAGGAGUUUACGGAUGUGUUUCCGGAGGAGUUUUCAGGGAUACCUCCGGAGAGGUAGGUCGAGUUCAGGAUCGACCUGGUGCCAGGUGCGGCCCCUAUCACUAAGGCGUCGUACCAAUUGGCACCACCAGAGAUGCGGGAGCUGUCGUCCCAGCUACAAGAACUGUUGGGCAAGCAGGUCAUUCGACCUAGCAGUUCUCCAUGUGGAGCGCCGAUUCUUUUUGUCCAGAAGAAGGACGGUUCGCAUUGGAUGUGUAUUGAUUACCGAGAGUUGAAUAAGUUAACGGUGAAGAACCGUUACCCACUCCAGCGGAUAGAUGAUCUCUUCAAUCAGUUGCAGGGUGCAUUUUGGUGUUCCAAGAUAGACUUGAGGUCUGGGUAUCAUCAGGUCUAAGUCAGAGAGGAGGAUGUGAAGAAGACCGCGUUCAUAACUUGUUAUGGACAUUAUGAGUUCGUGGCGAUGCCGUUUAGGCUCACCAAUGCGCAAGCGGUGUUCAUGGACCUGAUGAAUCGGGUCUGCAGACCGAUGCUUGAUCACUCGGUUAUAGUGUUUAUAGAUGAUAUCUUGGUCUAUUCCAAGACCCAAGAGCAGCAUGAGGAGCAUCUGCAAGAGCUGUUAGGAGUUCUGAGACGAGAACGAUUGUACACCAAGUUCUUGAAGUGCGAGUUCUGGUUACAAGAGGUCCAGUUCCUCUGGCAUCUCGUCAACUAGGAGGGGAUUUUGGUCGAUCCGUCCAAAAUCGAGGCGGUUAUGCAGUGGGAGAUUCCAAAAUCUCCCUCAGAUAUUAGGAGCUUUCUGGGAUUGGCAGGGUACUAUUGUUGGUUCAUACGAGAUUUCUCCAUGAUUGCAGUACCCCUCACUCAUCUGACGAGGAAGGGGGUGGAUUUCCGGUGGGGCCCCGAGCAGAAGAGGGCGUUUGAGACCCUUUGUCAGCAUUUGUGUAAGGCACUAGUAUUGACACUCUCGGAGGGAGUUGAGGAUUUUGUGGUGUUCUGUGAUGCAUCCAUCACAGGAUUAGGGGCGGUCCUCAUGCAAAGAGGACGAGUGAUAGCCUACGCAUCGCGGUAGCUGAAACCGGAUGAGACGAGAUACCUUACGCAUGACUUGGCACUGGGGGCGGUGGUGUUCACCCUCAAGAUAUGGAGACAUUACCUCUAUGGGGUCCGCUGUACAAUUUACACGAAUCAUAAGAGCUUGAGAUAUAUCAUGGAUCCGGGUCUUCCACUCCCGCGAUAUGUAUGAGAAUAGCGGUGGAUUCUCCGCUUGUGAGUUUGAUCAGAGAUGGCCUGGUAGAGGGCAUGCAACUGGAGAAUUGGAAGCUGGAAAGGAUCAAGGGUGAGAAUACCCGGUUCGUGCAGGAUAGUCGGGGACUAUUGACCCGAUGUGGUCGGGUUUGGGUUCUGAUGUCGGGUGGGGUUAGGCAGACGAUUAUGGAGGAGGCUCAUAAGUCUCAUUUCUCUAUUCACCCAGGGGCCACCAAGAUGUACCGCGAUUUGAGUUUGAGCUAUUGGUGGUCGUGCAUGAAGCAAGAGAUCGCUUGGUACUUCGAGAGGUGGUUGACCUGUAGGAUGGUUAAGGCCGAGUAUCAGAGGCCGCAUGGAAAGCUGCAGCCUCUAGAGAUUCCUAUGUGGAAAUGGGAACAGAUCACGAUGGAUUUUAUUACCAAGUUGCCGAGGACGGAGAAAGGGUUUGAUGCUAUAUGGGUCAUCGUGGAUCGAUUGACCAAGAGUGCCCAUUUCUUAGUUAUACGGGAGAGCUCAUCGGCCGAGAAAAUGGCCAAAGUGUACAUUCACGAGAUUAUGUCUCGCCAUGGGGUUCCCGUUUCCAUUGUCUCUGAUCGAGAUGUCAGGUUUACCUCCCGCUUCUGGUAAAAGUUUCACGAGGAGUUGGGCACGCAGUUUCACUUCAACACAUCAUUCCACCCGCAGUCAGAUGGCCAGAGCAUGCGGACUAUUCAAACCCUCGAGGACAUGUUAAGGAGGUAUGUCAUAGAUUUCGGUGGGAGUUGGGAUUCUCACCUACCGCUUACGGAGUUCGCCUAUAACAACAGUUAUCAUUCUAGCCUUGGCGCCCCGCCUCUCGAGCUGUUGUACGGGCGGAGAUGUCGCACCCCGAUUUGUUGGGGUGAGGUUGGCCAUAGGGUGAUGGGUAGGAUGGAGGUGGUCUUGCAGACUACCGAGAAAAUCCAGUAGAUUAGGCAGCGGCUGCAAACCGCUCAGAGUCAGCAGAAGAAUUACGCCGACCAGCGCCUCUCCGAGUUAGAGUUUCAGGUCAAUGACAUGGUACUCCUGAAGGUCUCGCCCUAGAAAGGCGUGAUCCGCUUCAAGAAGAGGGGAAAAUUGGGUCCCCGGUAUAUUGGGCCGUUUAGGAUCAUUGCUAGGGUUGGCAAGGUAGCUUACAGGCUAGAGCUGCCAGAGGAGCUUAGUCGGAUACACAAAACUUUCCACAUUUCGCAGUUGCGAAAGUACAUUAGGGAUCAAGAGGAGGUGGUGCCACUAGAUGAUAUUCAGGUUAAUGAACGCCUGAAUUACAUAGAGAGGCCUAUGGCCAUACUAGAGAAGAAGAUGAAGAUUCUGAGGAAUAAGGAGAUACCUUUGGUGAAAGUUCAGUGGGAGCAUCAGAGGGGGUCUGAGUGGACGUGGGAGACGGAGGCGGAAAUGUGGGAAUUCUACCCGGAGUUAUUCCCUGUAGCAGACUUCGAGGACGAAGUCUAGUUCAAGUGGGGGUGACUUGUAACGCCCAGAUUCUCAAGUAUUGACUUAGUGUGUGAGUUCUUGAUUUCAAGAGCUACUCAAUGAGUUGAUUGCCCUACUUGUUGAGUAGCAGCGGGUUGGCCACGUAUUUUAAUGAGCUACUCUCCGAGUUUAAGAAGGGACGUGACGAGUAGGAGCUGGCAGAUGAAACCCUAAAUCUCGGGGUUUUGCACCCUAUUUAAAGGAUCAUUGGCCUCCCCCAGCCUCCCCUUUACUGCCUUUUGUCCCUCUCAAGCCCUAAAUCGUGUGUAUGUGUGUUCUUUUGGUGUGUUUAAGCUUGGAGGAGGAACUUUGAAGAAGGAAACACUUGGGGAAGCAAGGAAAUCAAAGCUAGGAACUCGUGGGGAGCUAAGAGGUUCAUCAGUUGUUACUCCCUGGAAGGUAUUAAGCUGUUCCUUUAGCUCAUCUCUAUUUUGACCUCUUUUGGAUGGGUUUUAUGAAUGGCUCCCCAUGUUUAAGCUAAGAUCUGAAGUUGUAACUUCAGAUCUGGACUCCCUUUGACCUCUAGAUCCAUAAAGUCAUCAGCCUUGCCUGGUAGGAGCCUUCCCUCAAGUGUGAGACUUCAUUGUAAGCUUAGUAUUGCCAUUUAAGGGUCUUAAAGCCUUGCAUGCACGUAAAGUUUGUGACUUUACAUGAUAAACAUGCCCUAGAAGCUUGGAUCUAUAAUUUGGAACCUUGUCAUGGAUUUAAAAGGGUCUGCAUGGAUGAAGGUCUGCAAGGCCUCGGCGAGUUGGAUGAACAACUCGGCGAGCCCGUUGAAGAUAGCCAUGAACUCGACGAGUUGGAUGAACAACUCGGCGAGUCCGUAGAAGAUUGCCUUGGAGUCGGCGAGUCGUUCGAAGACUCGGCAAGUCAGCUAGGGUUUCUCCCAAUUCUUGGACGUAUGAACUCAGCGAGUUAAAAGGGAACUCGACGAGGCAAUCAGGGAUUUCACGACUUCUCGAGUUUAGGAAGGACUCGACGAGUCGGUGAACUGCACUCGACGAGUCUAGUCAGCAUGGACUGUUGACCUUGACUGUGGACUUUGAGUUGGACCAAGGGUUGACCAGUUGAAUUCUGAGGGUAUUCUGGUAAUUUGGAGAUUUAUGAAAAAGGGUUUUAUGGUAACUAUAGGUGGUGGAGUUCGUGUUGGUGAUCCGGGAGUCGAGCUUUCUAGUUUCAGACGACAGUUUCAAGGUGAGCUAUCCUCACUAUACUAAGGGGUCUAAGGCACCAAGGCCGGCCCAUUGGAUACGUUAUCCUAGCAGCGUUAGAUGUUGAGUAUGGGUUAGUCUUGCAUGCUAGUGGUUAUGCUAGUUAGGUAGACCUGUAGGACUACUUGUGAUGUUAUAUGAUUACUACAUGCUCGGUGGUUAUGUUAUGUGUUUGUUAUAUGGGAUGAGUUGAGGUUGUACUGCUUCGUGCGGUAGCCAACAAACCCUAGGAGCAUACCAGUUACGAGCUAAGGGAGACUCGUAAUGUGGGCUCGGGAGCAUUCCAGUUACGGGCUAAGGGAGACUCGUACUGUGGGCUCGUGGGAACUACAGCCUGUAGGAUUGUGGACCCGUUACGUGCUGUUCUGUUUAGUUUGUUAUGAUAUGUUAUUGGUGACAUGGUUAUGUGGAAUGUAUGUGUAUCGAUAUUUUGGGGAUAACUCACUAAGCUUUCGGGCUUACAGUUUCUGUUUAUUGUUUCAGGUACAUCAGAGGAUCACGGCAAGGAGAAGGCAUGAUCGUACAGCUGCUCAUAUUAUGUUUAUUUUUCUGGGAGUACUCUGAUAAAUAAGAUUUUGAAAACAAAGUUGUAAUAUUUUGAUGAACUUGACAUGUUUUAAAAGUUUAAAUUGGUUUGAAAUUUUUGGGUGUUACAGUUUUUGUACUAAAGAAAAUGCAUACAUCAUAGUGGAGACUGGCUAUUAAAGGUUAUAAGGACUUUUUUAACAGGUAAAUAUAAGUUUAUGCCGUUAUAUACUAAAAAAACAUGAGUGACCUUUUAAAACAGAUGACACAAGUUCGUUGGGCUAAAAUGACAUUCUCCAAAAGAAAAAAUUCACCAAAAAAUCAUCCCACUUCAUAAGAAGCUUAAUGCUAAGCAACAUUUGGAACUUGAAGUCAACCGAAUGAAAGGGGAAAUGGAAAUGAAGAAGUUCUAAAAGAAAAAGAAUACAGACAUGAUAGUUUGGAAGAGCUUAAUUAAUCAAGCCUUAUUUUUCAAAGACGAGUUAAGCAGUAAUGGAUUACAACAUGCACCCAAGUAAUUUAUUUUUCUAAGCUUCUUUCCAUCAGAAUGCUAUUAUUUUAUAGUAAAAGUUACUUAUUUUGUCCUUGUUUGAACAAGGCAUGAAAGUUAAUCAUGUGUGUAUAUAUUGGUGUAAAACAAAUGGGUGAGAUUGGUGAAAAUAUUUUCAUUGUUGCUGUCAAAAGACGUUUAAGGUGAAUUCAAUGUAACAUAAAGUUGGUUCCUACAACUCAUCUUUUAUUAUGAUCUGAUUGUUGUUCUUACUUUUAAGUCUUACUUGAAAAAAAAAUGCAAUACUGAAUCUGUUGCUGGUUUUUAGGUCAUAGAAAAGAUUAAUUUCAAACUUCAUGAUGAUCAAAAAGUUCGAUAUUCUAUUUAUAUCCUACAUGUGCUUUUUCUAUUCUUGAAGCGGGUAAAUGAUCAACUUAUGAAAGAGAUAGCAACAGAGUAAAAAAUUCAAUAUAUUUUUUAUUGUUUAUCUCUAAUUUAUUGCAUUAUUUAGAACUUAUGGUUAUAUAGAACUUCUAUUGUACAUUUUAGCUAAUCUAAAUCAGUAUUGCCAUAUAUAUGAUUUUUGAAUUGGAACAUAACCUAAUUGAAUUUUACAUAAAAAUUAAUAAGCUAGGUUUCAUAUAAUUACAAAUUAGUUUUGUCCACUAAACUUUAUAAAAAGUAAUUUUUGUUGGAGUAAAUCGCAACAUACUUUAUUUCUUUAUUAAUUAAUUAUUCAUUAUUCUUGAUUUCUUGGAGCAUUAGAUCUCAUUUUUAGUUCUUUGAACUAUGUAGAUGUUAUUGUGCGACCUCCUUUUGUUUAUAUUGAUCAACUAAAGAGCUCUUUAACUGAACGAAAUAAUAUAGCUGCUCAAAAUACUAGGACUGGGACAUCAUUUAGCUUAAUAUACACAAAAACUAGAACUUAAUGUAUUGCUUUUAUGAUAUGUUGAAUAUAAUUUAUUGGAUGUUGUCUCUUUUUUUGUCUCUUCUUUGUAUACAGUGAAGAAGAAUACAACAUCGAUAUGAUUUUAUUUUUGGUUUGUGAUUGUAGGUUUCUUUAAGCAUCAAAAAAUGAGCAAUGGCCAUGUGUUACAUCUCUACAAGAUUUNUAUAUAUUUUGCAUUAUGAGACAUUAAUUGUUAUUUAAUUUGAGAAUUAGUAUAUUUACAUAAAUUUUUUAAAACUGUUAACAUUAUGACACGCAAAAUGUGUAUCGUAAAAUAUGUCAUAAAUAUGUAUUAUAAAUGUGUGUCAUUAAAGCCAAUGUCAUAAAGGAAGAUGUCACGUAGUUUGUGUUGGAUUAAUGUCUAAGCCCGUAACUAUAUUUGGUAUGUAAUUGACCCGGUUGUGCAUGGUCCUUUUGGGUUGCCUUCACCAAAGCAACUUGAUAGGAUGAUUUAUAGAGAAAAAGGAAUAAUUAUGAUUUAUUAAUAUAUUAUAUGAAUAAUAUAUUAAAGGGGAAAUCAUAGUGUUUAAUUAAUAUUAAUUAAGAAUUUAUUAAGAAAUAGUUUUGUGACUAAAAGACAUGAAUUAAACUUAAGGGACUGGAAUUGUAAUUAUAAGAUAAUUGCAAUUGGGCUAUGGAUCACCUUGGAACAUAGGUUGGACGAAUUCUAUGGGAAGCCCAUAAAGAAAUCGUCCAAGGGAUGUUCUAAAGGGAGUCCAUGGGUUGCUUAGGGCCUAAGCAGUCAAAUUAGGGUUUCCUAGUUGAAAACCCUAAUAGCCUACAUAUAUAAGGAACCCUUAAGGCCCCAAAAACGUGGCUAACACUUCUAAGAGAACCCUAGACGUUUUUGGUGCCUCCUCCUCCUUCUCAUAAGUCAUUCUCUUGCUUAUGGUGUUUUUAACCCAUUAGAGGAUGGCAUUUGUGACUCUAAGCUCCAAGACAAGAAGAUUCAAGCCAUUAUCAAAGAGGUAAUCAUCUAGAUCUGUUCUUAUAUGCUAUUUUCGAAGUUCACAUGUUAGAUUAGGGUUCUUGAGUCUUGGAUGAAUUGAAUGUGCAAUAGAGAAACCUAGAUCCAAGCUUUAGGGUUUGCAUGAGCACAUAGGAUGUUCUUAUAGCUAAAACCCAUCAAUUUGCAUGUCAUAAAUUUAUGACAUGCAAAUGUGUGUCAUUUUCCAUUAUAGCAGGGGCUUUAAUAACGCAUGUUUACAUGUGAUCUGACCCUUUUAUGACACACAUUGGGUGUCAUUAAAGGUUUGUUUUCUAGUAGUGUAGUAGUUGGAUAUGGACUAAGUUUGUUACUUAAAGCACCUAAUAUUUUAUACGUAACAUAGAUAAUCAUACCAUAUGAUGGAUUGGUUAUUUUAUUCUUUUUAUUAUUAUUUCUUAGAAAUAAUAAUUCUCAAUAUGUUGGUAAAUAUUAUUUUUCGUAAAAUAAUGGUAACUUGCUAUAAGGUGUGACCCUAUAGGAUCAUAUGUUAUUAGAAAUAUCGUUCAAUAACGACUCCUAGGCAUACAAGAUCUUUCAAUCUCUUACUUGGACAAGACUUAUCAUAUAUUAAUAUAGAGAAUGGUGAACGUCUAGCAACAUUUAACUACCCCAAUAACAUAUGAAGAAGAAUGUCAUUCACCAACAUCCAAUUCGCAAAAGCUCAAACUUUCAGUUGACGUAUAAAGUAAGUUUAACAGUUAUCCAUUUGUUGCAGACAUCCUAUUAAACAUGAGACAUGGAUAACAAUCAAUCUCAUUUCAAGUUCAACUUUGGCUAUCACGAUAGAUGCUCAACUCUGAACACAUAAGAGGGAAAAAUCCCAUCUAGACUUCAUAAAACUCUUACAUAGUUCACAUCAUAACUAAAAGUGGAUUUUAUAUAAUUGCCCAUUUAAGAAUUAGCAUUUGACCAUUUCUAAGCACAACACUCCCCACACUUAAUUCUCACUAUGUAUCUUAGGUUUUAAGGAUACAAAGAUAGUAGCUUUUAAUCAGUUAUCACUUAUAACUGUGACCUAUAGAUGAUCUUCAUGUUGGUACAUUCAGUACCAAUUGUAUGACAAGUACCUAUGAAACUUGGUUACAACCACUUGUCUACUUUCAUCUGGUGAUAGCUAACCAAUCCAGUUCAUUUUAAUGUUACUUCAUAAUUUUUCCCACAAUUAUAACUAACUAUGAAUUUUUGAAUAAUGUGAUUAUUCAUGGAUUAAACAUGUUAAUAUAGAACACAACAAGUAUUGAUGUGAUGAUAAUAUCCCCAUAUAUCAAAACAGUAUAAUAGUUUUUGUCUUCAUGUUCAAAUAUCCAAAUACUAAAUUCAAAUCAAAAUCCUAUUUUUUGAAUAUUGAAGUUGUAUAGCUGAAAUGUGACCAGUCAUACUUAGCUAAAAGGGAAGGACUUUAUUAAUGGUCCAACCAAAUUAAAAUUGUGUGAAUUUUGCGAAUACUAUUAUUUCCAUAUUUGACUUUACUUUAAGUAUAGUCAAAUAUCUUGAAGAAUAUGAUUGGUGUUCUUAUGUGACAUAGAUUGAAUUAGCUUUAUUAAGUAUACUCUCGAAGUCAUAAAUAUUUCUAUGUGUCUUUGAAUGGUAUAAAUCAAAAUAGUUUUUCAAUGAGCUUAUUCAUCCAAUCAUACUUCAUUUCAACUUCUAAAGUAGUAGUAUCUUCUUAUUAAGUAUAUUGUGCAAUUAUGUUUUUCUUUGACCUCAUUCUUACAAAACUUACUCUUCAUUCCAUAAUGAAGUCCUAAUCCAAUUAUAAAUCACUAUGUAUCUCAUGGUCAUUCUCUUAUUUCUUCUUCAGUACUCUCAGAAUGUUCUCAAAGUUGUCCAGUGACUUAUCCAUGUAUUCAAUUGGUAUCUUAUGAUAUGUUCAAGACAUAAUCAUAUACCUAGUUUUUGUGCAUAAUAUGAUAUAAAUUAUGUAUUCAUUUGCCUAGCAAACUGAGUAUAAAUGAUUUUAUCUAACUCAAACAUAUGUAUUAGGUCCUUUUGAGGCUAGCUCAAAAUGAUGUCAUGUGACAAUGCCAAGAAUUCUCUAAAGAAAUCUUGUAUCUUGAUAUCAUUCAAUAUAUUUUCAACAUAUGCAUAAAUCAUUUAAAACUUUAAUAUUCAUCUUUAUCUAUUUAUGUAGAUUUUACAUUCAAAGAAUGUAUCUUGUCAUUACCAAGUCUUUCAUCUUAGAAACAGAUUAUGAGUCAAGGUGAAAUAUAUUGGCAUGGUUAGAAUGUAGCUUCUCAUGACUAAAGAUAUAUCAUUCAUACAAUAUUAGGAAUAUCACUAUGCUCCCACUACUUCUUAGUAAACGCAAAUAUAAUCUUCAUUCUGAUAUAAAAGUACACAUUGUAUUUAUAUAUAUAUUAAAAUGAGGAUUCUAACCUUGAGAUGUUUGCUUUAUGUCCACAAGUGGAUCUUAAGUGGUACACAUUUUUUUAGGAUAACAUGGAUUAAGAAAACAUCCAGGCUAAUCUAUAUUGAUAUCUUCUAGUAGAUGACUAUAUAAAAGGGGUAUUUCUUGAAAUCUAUUUGCUAUAUUUCAUAUAAAGACUAUGAAGUCAUAGUAAAUAAUAUCCUUUUUGAUAUAAUCAUAGCAACUUGUGAAAAUGUUUAAUCAUAGUCAAUGUAAUGAGUAUGAUAAGGACAAUAAUCAAUGACACGGGUAUGAGAAAAUGCUUUUAUUACAAGCCUUGCUUAAUGUGUAUUAUAUUCAUGUAUGCAUUUUUUCUAAAAGAAUCACUUACUCCUAUUAGCAUUGCUAUAGGGUGGAAGAUUAAUCAAUCCCAUAUUUAAUUAUUAUACAUGACUACUUCUUAAUAUUCAUGACUCAGAGUUAUUUAAAGUAUUUUGGUAGUUGAUUGACAUGCCAGAAACCAUCAAGAAUAACUCAUCAGUGAGAGAUUCCACAUUUCUCAAGUCAUAAAUGAUUUCUACCAUUAAUGCGAACAAUUUGUGUUUAUGAGUUGCUAUUAUUCAUGUAUAACAUGUUUUUGUUAACACUAGUGCCAACUUUUACAAUAUCAGGCUAUGAUUCUUGAGCUACUUCAAGUUUUAUGUACCUCCCACUUGGUUUGUCAUUAAAAGCUCUCUUUGUCCUAAAUUAGCCUUCAAAGGAAUAAUGUGACAACCCAAAAAAUUUUCCAUCGUUAUAACCCGUUUCUGUUAGUAGAAUAUUCUAUUUUAUUAAGAUUCCGCUAAUAUUGGGGUGGACAAACCAAUACAUGUUUUAUUUUAUUUUAUAUUAUUAAUGUCGUAAUGAAAUAAAUAAAAACACGUGAAUUACCCUCCCGUUUAGUUGGAAAAAGUUAUUAAUUACGACCAUUUAAUCGGGUAAAAAUUUAAGCCUCGUUAAACGUCAGUAUCGGGUAGAAUUCCACCAUGUCUCAAACUUAAACCAUAUUUAAAGUUGAGGUAACUUCAUUUUGAAGCUUUUCACCCUCUCUCUACUCUCUCUCUCUCUACAAUUCCAAGCUUUUGAUCCAAAAAUCACCCCAUUUCAAGCUCCAAUUUGGUAAGAUAUCCAUCCUAACUCUUAGAUUAUCAUACUUAGCUUGUAAUUUCGUGUCAAAAUCAUCCAAAAGGACCAUAAUCAUGUGUUUACGGCCCUAGAACAUCCUUGGGUCGCAAACACACAUAGAUGGGGUUUUUGAGCCUCAAAACCCUUCCAAACCACAUUUGGAACUUAGAUAUGACUUAGGGGCUUGCGAUACCGGACUGGGAACACCUAAACCUUAUCAUUUGAGGGGUAAACAAGAGUUUAUGGCCCGAGCAUAUGCUUAGACCGUAAACUCCAUUUCAUAGGCCGUAAACCCCUUUAAAGGUGUUAAAAUGCCCCUUAAGCACCUCAUAAGCCUUGGAAUAAAGUCUAGAACCAUCCAACAAUGUGUUAGGGACCUUAUACAUGCAAGAAACCACCCCUAAGGAGUUCACGGCCGUAAACCUCCCCAGGAAUGGUUCCUGGGCUGUAAACUCCAAUAAGGUGGUCAAUUGGUGCCAUAACUCCUUCCAUGGCUUGUACCUAGCACUAGAAACUCUUGCAAUUGACCUAGGACCACCAAAACACAUUGAGAAUUGGUACAUCAGAGUUUACGGCCGUAAACUCCUAGUUUACUGUCGUAAACUCCUCAAAUGGUCCUUAUGUUGUUCAAAUUCCAUUCCAAUGCCUUAAAACUAAGUCUAGCAUCACCCCUCAAGAGUUUAAGACCAUUAAGCAUCCUAGAACACCCCCACCAUGAGUUUACGGCCAUAAACUCAUGAAGAGUUGGUCAUUUGGGCUGAAAACUCCAUAAGGAGUUUACUCUUGAAGAGCAAACUCCAUAUCCAAGUCAUACACACCCUUAGGUGCUACCCGGGUCACUCCUAGCACUUGAAAUGAAGUCUUUUCGCAUCUCGGAGUGUAUUGUCUUAUCUAAUUAGUUGUUCAAAGUCUAAUUAGAUAUAAUUAUAUAUCUAUUCAUAUUACAUAGGAACCUCGCGCGUUCUCAAGCCCCGAAUUGACACUUAGCAUCUAUCCGACACAUUCCUCGUCUGGUGAGUUCAUACCCCUUAAUGAAUAUUUUCAAAUGUUUUUAGAUGUUUUAGGGGGGGGGGGAAUACAAGUUAAAUGCAACAAGUGUUAAUAUCAAAUCAUAUGUGAUUUAUAACCUGCAACUAAAAAGGAUUUUUUAUAUUUUUACCUACUUAUUCAUAAAACUGUUUCAAAUACUUAUCAAAUGCAUUUUCAAGGUUAAAUUGUUGUUAAACUACUUUCAAACUGUGUUUAAACUAGUUUUCUUUUAAACUAUAUCUACACUAAUAUAUUUAUAUAAGUAAGACUUGAAGGACUUAGGACCGAUGGCUCGCCUUAUUUCCUGUUCUUGUUUGAUUGUGGUCCUAGGGUAUAUUGUUAUCUGUCCGACUGUCGUUGAUUUCNUAUAUAUAUUUGCGUUAGAUAUGAAAGUCUUCAUCUUAUUCAUUACCUUUGUAAAUCAAAGGCAUGCAAUCCAACACUCUAUUUAGCUAUAAUAGGUAUAGUUAAGACUACUGCUCCUUACCUCUAUUAUUACUAUACUCACUAUAAUCAUUACUACUACAAGUUAAUGUACAUUAAAGAGAACACUCUAUGUACUAUACUAAAGGCUUACUAUACUAUAACACGAGAGAAUACACUAAUCCAGAGUAUAACACACUAUCCCUCUAUACGACACUCUACUACGCAAAUACAAUGUAACCAGAGCUUCCCGGAAGGAAAGCAACACUACAUGUAUAGAUUUAUACAGGACGGACACUAUUUCAUCCCGACUGUUGACUACAGUCCGAGCUGACUAGGCCCAGGGGCGGCACUACCUUGCUACACUACGUAUGACUGGGAAGGUCAUCGGACCCUCUAUUAUCAUUCAGUUUGGUUACAUAAGAGAUCAAAUCCAUAUCCAAAUUAACAACACUAAGACUUAAAGUCUAAGCUAACUUCCCGAAGUAAAUAAACAUAUAGUACUAAUUGAAGUUUGCAACACUACUACAACCAACCGGCAAUACUUUUCCUCAUCUACGUUACUUGAAGGAGGUUUAUUACAUUAUUUUUAUAACUGAAAGUUUCAAUGGAAAUACUUUUACACACUCGAAGGAUUUUACUUACAUAUGCUCAAUUCAGGAAAAUAUAGGAUUUUCUAGGGUUUUUCUACUAUUCUUAAACAUUAAUUACAGCUUUUAUAUUACAUGAUUAUAACUACUUGUAUACAAACAAAGACACUGAAUUCUUAUGAACUCACCAGCUUUAUGCUGAUACUCAUUUUCAAAAUAACUUGUAUCCUCAGGUCAAAGAUAGACAGGUACUGGUGCAGCUUUUGAGAAGAUGGAGCAUAUACAAGAUUCAUCUUUUAUUUUUGUUUAUACUUUUGGUGUCUAUUAACUGUGCAGAACACGUUUGUAAUUAUAAUCACUAUAUUAAUGAAAUGGUUGUUGUCACUUGUUUUUACUAUUAUGCAAUUGUUAUGAUACUGUACAUGACAUCCUCCACCCCAGAACGUAUUCCGCCGUUCUCGAUUUUGGGAUGUGACAAAUAACAAAACUUAUUCUUGGUGGGUUUGUAUAAAAUAAUCUAAAUUCCCUUUUAGAAUAUUGUACUAACAUGCAAUUAGUUGGUGUUUGUAUUCAUGAUAUAAUAAAUUCAUUGAAGUUAAAUCCCAAGAGAAUAAAGGAGGAUAUUUCUAACGAUUACAAAACAAACUAUGUCAAGUUAAGUUUAAUUCAUCCUUUAUUAUCACUAAGACUUUAUAUGGUAUUAUUGGCUUCUAUAUCAACUUUAUUUUUGAAAAUUUCAACAAAAGUUUCAUAAUUAUGUUUUAAGAUGUAAAGUAUAAUUAUAACUACUAUAGUUGUUAAUAAAUUUUAUUUGGUAUCUUAUGCUUAAUCUUAGGCAUUUAUUAGAAAAGAAGUUAUAUAUCAUAGUAUAUAGUUCCUUAAUAAUUAUUUUCUCUACACCUUAGUGAAAAUAUCAUUAGGAAUUCUUUAUAUAUAAAUAAGAUCCACAUAUUCCAAAUACACUACAAUAUUUUCCUUCAAAGAUCCCUUUCUAGAAGUUGGAAUAUGUAUAUUUCAUUUAUAUAACAAAGAUAACAAUGUCUUAGUUAAAUUUGAUUCAAAACAAUUUUAACUCAAAAGGGUUUGCAUAUAGAACUUUUUAUUUAUAAAAAAUUGAUUUUUAUUUUAUAAUUCUAUUAUGAGAUCUAGUCUCAUAAAUAGAAGUUAAUCAUUUCAAAAUAUCAAUAUUAUCAUUAUCAAAAAUUGAUUUAAUUAAAUAAUCAAAUUUUUAACAAAUUAACUGAGACAUAUUUAAACAUGUUAAACUUAAAACAUACAUUGUUCCAAACCAAACAUUUUUUUACAACACAAGUACAUUAUGUUCUAAGCAGAAAUUAUAAACUAAACUCCUACAGUGAAGUUCUAAUUUCCAUGUGCUCUACGGGUUACUCUUUUGUAAAUAUUUGCAAGCAAAUUACAAAUAUUAAAUUAACAUCUAAGUAUCAAGUACUUUAGUGUUAUAAGAAAAAUACAAGUUCUAUCUAGUAGACACCUAAAGUACUAGUCUCUUCCAGACUUCUUUUUAGAUAGAGGAGUAGAUCCUUUUCCAGUAUCAUAUUUCUCCACAAAAGAAACAAGGUCCAUCUAUGUGGGCCUUAUUGGAUUACUUGGGCCUAAAUGUAUUCAUUCCUUAAACUAUGGGGCUCUUAAAUGAUACAUGGUGACUAUUUUCAGCCUUGCAUUACUCUAUUUGUUUGAAUUGGCUUAAAACAAAAUAUCACUGUACUGGAGGUAUAUUUGCAUAACCUUUUAUAUCAUUAGAUUUAAAUCUAUAUUAUCUAAGACUUCCUGGAAGUCAUGAAUAACAUUUCCUAAUGUGAUGUUAGAAGCAUCUUAAUCGUCGCAGUGAAGCCUUUACUUGGUAUUAUGUUCAGGUCUAUUGCUCAAAGCAAGUUGUUUAGGAAUAGGUCAUUUAUGAGUGUACAAUUUCUGGUUUUUAAAAACAUGAACUCAUUCAUUGAAAUUGUAUCUUUUGAGUGUUAUUGUUUUUCUAGUCANUAUAUAUAUAUAUAUAUAUAUAUAUAUAUAUAUACACACACAAAAUUUUAAGAAAAUUCAUUUAGUAUUAUUUAUAUUUAAUCUUUAAUAAUUAAUACCUUUUUAGUUUCUAAAAACAUUAAUCACUAAAUUCUAGAAUCCAUGUUGCAAAAGAAAUAAAUGGUUAGGUAUCCUUUAUCCAUCCAUUUGAAUCGAACUAGGUAGCUAGUCAAUUAUAUACUAGUAUAUAUUCCUAUUGUUUUGGGAUCAUUAAUAACAAAAUUUAAUAGAAAUGUUUAAUUUGAUCUAUAACUCGAAACUUUCUUCCUUAGGUAUCUUUAUCAUAAAAGAUUUCUGAUGAAAUCAUCCAAUUUGAACAACUUGUGUAAUUGACCUAUAACUUAGUUACAAAAAUAUAUCUCAUGUUACACUGAUUGUUACUCCAUACAUUAAAUCCAAGCAUUUCACAGAGAAUAAUAAAGAUAACAAAUAACAUGAUGAAAAUAUAUCUCAUGUUCAUUCUUCUUUACAAUUCAUAUAUUAUACAAGAAUCGGGAAAGUGGACAAUACACAUAAAUAAGAAUCAUAAUUAUGCCAAAAAUAAUAGUAAUAAUAUGAAUUCAAUUGUAGAAAAUUUUGGUAGAAAACUUGAAAAUAAUUGUGUGUGUCUUACAUACAUCUUAACAUCAUAUCCUUUCUUAUAAUUUAUCCACCUUCAUUAUUUUUGUUUGAAGUCUUUAAUAUACCACGUAACCACCCAUAAUUCUCAAAACUUUACCAACAUAAUCUAUCUAUAUCUAUAUAUAUANNNNNNNNNNNNNNNNNNNNNNNNNNNNNNNNNNNNNNNNNNNNNNNNNNNNNNNNNNNNNNNNNNNNNNNNNNNNNNNNNNNNNNNNNNNNNNNNNNNNNNNNNNNNNNNNNNNNNNNNNNNNNNNNNNNNNNNNNNNNNNNNNNNNNNNNNNNNNNNNNNNNNNNNNNNNNNNNNNNNNNNNNNNNNNNNNNNNNNNNNNNNNNNNNNNNNNNNNNNNNNNUAUAUAAGCAUUUAGCUUAAAAUGUUGAAUUUUAAAAGGUAAAAGCCUUACUACAUUAUGUACAUUCAUUUUAUGCAUAUAAAAUCUUAUGCGAUAAAUAAAAACUAAAUCUUAUCUAUAAAAUGAAAAUGUCAAAAAAUUAUCUUCAAAUUCGCCAAUUGAAUCGCUCAAAGAGCAGUUGAAUCGGUCAACAUAAGACUCCCCUUAAGAACUCCACUACCCGAUCGCCGCACCUAACUCUGAAUCUCGCCUCAUUCUCCACCGAAAGAAUGUAAAGUUGGUCUCUCGUACUCUCCCAUGGUGUCCCACUCAAAAUUUGUCCAUGGAAAACCCUAACCACUAAAUAUGAUAGCCUCUACCAACCACCAUUCUUGCCUUGCUGCUAAACAAACUACCUUCUAUCGUCUGAUAAAGCCACCACCAUUACUCUCCGUUUCUUUCUCUAUCUGUCGUCACCAUAGAAUCGAUGAAUAUUGAUUUACUUUUUAGGUAAACUAAAUUUUGAGUGUUUAUUUCCUUUUGUAUUUUUGGUUUAUUUGAUUUCAUGCUCACAUUUUGAUUUUCUGCUUCGUUUAGUGCCUAGGAUCGAUGCAUAAGUUGACCACUUUAAAAAGAAGGAAUCCUCUUUGAUUGUAAAUAUCCAUAUAUCUAUGCACACGGAUGUUUAUGUUUCCUACUCCUGGUGAAUACACACACCAUGAACCCUAGAAAUAUAUUUUGUUUCUCUCUAGAUGAAUACACACAACACCACGAACCCUACAAGCGCCAUCUUUAUGAUCUGGUAAAUUGUUUUUCUAUUAGGAUUUUCACUUUGACGUUGAGGUACCAAAUAAUGUGUUUAUUUCAUUAUCUUCAUAUUUUUUGGUUGUUGGAGUUUAAUGAGAUGCUCCAAACAUAACUGUGAACCAAGUUAUAAGAUUUUUCUUAUGAUCAUUCGACUCCAGUUGUAUCCUUUUGACCAAUAAUUGCUUAUUAACUUAAAUAUUUUAGGUGAUAUAUGAUGACUAAUCAUGACUACUACAAGUAGAUUCUGGCCCACGAGUCCAAUUUUCCCUCAUACAUGUAACACAAUUCUCAACAACUUAUUCACUUUCUUAUCUCAUCAAUUUACAUAGUUUUCAUGAUUAUGCUAUAUUGAAACUUGUUAAUUGUUACAGUUGAUCAAAAUUUUCUUUUUUAGCUUAAUAUUCAAAAGAUGUUUGUAUGUAAUUAGAUUGUAAUCCUUGUAGUUUAGUGUUAAUGCAUUUUGGUAUUUUUGGGUUUUUUGCUAUAGACAGAUCUCUCGUUUGAGUAAAAAACAUGAAAUCAAUUGAUUAAUCCAAGGUAUAAAAUUGAUUUAGAAAAAGGGCUUGGGCCAUAAUUUAAUUCCUUAUUAUUAUGUGCUCUAUAGUAUAGGAAAUUUGUGAAAAGGCAAGGUAUUUCAAGAAUGUUAUACCAUUAACAUAUUGUUAUUUGUCUCUCUUUCUCUUCCUCUUUGUCUCCUAAAAUAAUAUUCAAACAAACAUGUUUACAACAGGGGAUAAAUGGAACGAACGAAAGCUUAAUUUUGUGUGUUUGCUUUAUAAGGAAACAAAGUUUUGUAACCAUGAGUAUUGAUUUAUGCUAAUGUUAAAUAUGGCACACCUGAUCACGUGAUGAACCUCUAUCAACCCCAACAAAGACGAAGAUAAAGAAAGACACUCACCAUUGGUUUUUGGAUGCUCGAAACUUACGAUGUAACGACAUGGUUAACAGCUGAUUAACCCUCAUGUUUGUUUAGAUUGGGAACGGGCAUGUUUAUACUUAUGUUUGGACUGCAACUGAUGUUUUAGUUUGGUAAGUCAGUUGUUUUUUUAUGGUUUUGAUUGGUACGCACUUUGAUUAUGGUUUAACUUUAUUUUGAUUGAUAUAGUUGGUGGUAUUUGUCUAUUCCUCCAUAGUUAUCUUUAUAAAUUUUCAAGUGUUGAUUUAGUUUGACAUUAAGGGUUGAAAUUAAUAGUCUAGCUGUCAAAAUUUUAUAAUGACCAUUUUGCCCUUGGACUAAAACUAAAACACAAUAACGACAAGGACUAACUAUGUAAUUUUAGAAUGUCCUUGAAUAAAAAUUUUAAAUUACAGAUGUGCUCUUCUUUUUGAAAGUUUAAAACAAAAUCAAAGGAUAAGAGCUAUUUACAAAUUUACUUUUGUGGUGUACUUUUUCCUAUUAUCCAAGGGCUAAAUUGUAAUGCCCCGAUUCUCAGGUAUUGUUUAAAUAAGAAUUUUUGGGUUAAGCUCUACUCGACGAUUUGGUUUACCUACUUAUUGGGUAGCAGCGGGGUGGGAUCGUGUGUUAAGUGACCUACUCGAUGAGUCCAUAUUGGGACUCGGCGAGUAGGAGCAGAAAAAUGAAACCGUAAAUCCCAGGGUUUGCACCUCUAUUUAAAGGAGCCUCAGCCUCCUUUGGCCUCUUUGUAGUGUUUGAGAGCCCCUUAAAACCCUAAUACGAGUGUGUGUGUGUGUGCUCAUUGUGUGUUUGAAGCUUGAAAAGAGGAUCUUUGGGGGAGAAGGCUUGGAGGAGAAGGAGAUUGGUGCAAGUAGAGUGUGGGAAUCAACUCCAAUCUCAGUUAUCCUCUUCUAGAGGUAACCUCAUCGCCUUUUUCCUUGUGAAUCGCUUUUAUUGGUUGAGUUUUCGGGUUUUUGGUGAGAUAUUAAGUUGGAAAGACAAGCUAUGGGCUAGAUCUGAGGUUGUAGCUUCAGAUUUGGACCCUCCUUGGAUUCUAGAAGCAUAAAGUUUCAGCUUUGGUCAUGAUUAAGGUCCCUCUUGAGCAUGAAGUUCCAUUAAGAACUUAAAAUAGGCAUUUAGAGCCUUUAAAGCCAUGCAUGCACGUAAAGUUUGCAACUUUACGUGAUAAGCAUGCCCUAGAAGCUUGGAUCUAUGAUUUGGUGCCGCUGCAUGUCUCAAAACAAGUCUGUAUGAAAAGAGGACUAAAUGGACUCGACGAGUCGCAAGGUUGACUCGGCGAAUCACAUGAAGAUGGCGGUGAACUCGACGAGUUAGAUGAACAACUCGGCGAGUCCGGUGAAGAUUACCAUAAGACUCGAUGAGUUGAAGAACAACUCGGCAAGUCGGAUGAGUUUUCCCUAGGAUAUGUAUGUGUGAGUAUCCGUCGAGUUGCAAGGAGGGAACUCGACAGGUGAUCAUAAAGGUUGGACAAGAAUCGAAGGAACUCGACGAGUCACCCCGAUGACUCGGCGAGUUGUAAUGUGCUUCAAGGAACUCGGCGAGUAGCCGGGGGUACUCGACGAGUUGGGGGUCAACAUGGACUGUUGACCUUGACUGAGGAAUUUGACUUUGGGCAGGGGUUGACUAGUGGGUUAUGGAGUACCUUAUAAGGUUAAGGACUUAUGAGUAUAUUGUACUAUGAUCAUAGGUGGUGCAGCCUGUGUCAAGUGAUCCGAGAGUUGGAGUUUAUCUUCCGAGUUGACAUCUACAAGGUGAGUUAUCCUCACUAUAUCGAUAAGGUCUACGACACCAAGGCCGACCCUUUAGUUGUUAUUGUUAUGGUAUGCUACCUGUGGUUAUGAUCUGUUAGAUCGGAAUCAGGAUAGACAGUACGUUAUGCUCUUAUGAUCCGUAAGGAUUGGUAUGUUAUUGACUUGCUAGGUCGGUACUCUAGUUACGAGAUAAUUCUAUGAUUGAUGAUCAGUGUGAUAGAUAUGUUUGAUGUUUGUAUAUGCCAGUUUAUGAUAGAUAUGCGCACAUGGUUAUUUGCUUGAUUGGUUGGGUUGAGGCGGUCCUGCUUUGUCUUGAAGGCCAACAUACCCUAUGAGCGGUCCGGGGAGACUGUAGGCCCACGAGGCGGACCAGUCAUGCCGAAGGCUCGGGAUAGAUUCAGAUAGACUGUAGGCCCAGUAAGGCGGUCCAAUCAGGCCAAUGGCCAUUAUGCAUGUUGAUUUAUUGAUUGAUUGUUACUAAUAUGGCAUUGUCAGUGUGGUAUUGGUAUUUUGGGGGUAGCUCACUAAGCCCUCGGGCUUACAGUUUUCAGUUACAUCAGGAGAUCAUGGCAAGACGAAGGCAUGACCGUGCCACUCCUCAUCCUUAUGUUAUGAUUUUGGGACACUCUGAUGGAUAUUGAUUUGAAAACAUUUUUUUUGUAAACGAUGCUAUUUGAUUUUUAAUUGUGACUAAAAAGUUUAAAUUUGGCGCAAAAUUUAUGGAUGUUACAUAAAUGGUUUUUUUAAAAAGUCUUAACAGCUAGGCUAUUAGCUUAGAAAAAUUGUAGAUAACGUUUUGGGACCAAAUUGUAAAAAUUGAGGGCCAAAAUGUAAUUUUGUCGAUAAAAGAAAUAAAAAGAAAUUACAUUUUCAUUUAUGUGUAUUUCAUUUAUAACAUCUUACUUUCUGUUAUAUGUGUACUAUAGCAUCGUACUUUCGAUUCGUUUUGGAAAUAACAAUAUGCUUUCAAUGUUCCAUCCUACAUUCUGUAAUAUCUAUUACAACUUUGUACUUGAAAUGUUUACCAAUUAUAGAAAUGACAUACAAGGAAAAAUGAAAGUACAAUGCUAUAUUUAUAUUGGGUAGAUUUUCGAUAUACAAAGGCUUAUUAAGAAAAGAAUUUGAAGUACAGUGUAAUACACAAAUAAAUCAAAAUAUAUUGCAACAACCACAUAAUAAUGAAGCCUCAUUGUCUUUUAAUAUUCCUGAUGAAAAUUUUAGAAAAUUGUGAUUAGUUAAGACACCUGAUGAUGACGUAUGUGGCCAUUUAUCUUAAUAAUAUUUUAUUUUGUACGUUAAAUAAAAUCUAUCCAAUUAGGACAUCCUACUUUAAAUCUACACUCUGGUUGUCGCGGAUCUACAAGAUAUGGAAUGAACUCACAUGCACAUAGAUCAAGAAAACAACAUCAACCCCCAUAUACACACUCUCUACGAAUGACUCUGCCAAUGGCCCUUGAAAUUGCUUUUUAGAGUCCUGACCUUUUCUUUUUUGAUUUAUGCCGUAACAUGUUUGAUGAAUCCUCAAGCUGAUUUUGCUAUAUAGGGUUUAUUUUUUUUCUACAUUUUAUAUGUUUUUCUUUUUUGUAUAAUGAAGCGUCGAGUUGUUGAUUUUGCUAUAUAGGGUUUAUUUUUUCUGCACUUCUGCCACACUCUACCAAUGGCUUUUUCAAUGAUCCUUGAAAUUGCAGUUGUGGAGUUUUUAUAACCUCAUUUGUUUGAUUCAUUAUAUUGUGAUAACAUUAUUCGUGUACAAACAUGGUUUGUAUUUACUUUUUUUUAAUGUACUUCCCAUAUAGAUGUGUUUCCGGCCCAACAACUAAUUACUUUGACAAAAACAAGGUACUGACUUUAGGAUUAAUAUAUAUAUAUAUAUAUAUAUAUAUAUAUAUAUAUAUAGUAGACGAAUGCCCGUACGUUGCACAGAAACACCGAUAUAGUUGAAAUCUUUAAGAAUAUAUGUUUUUUUUAAAUAUAACAAUAAUGCUAUUGUUAAAUUUGAUAUAAUCAGUUGUAUACUAAAUUGAUAGAAUAUAUUGAUUAUUUUAAAUUAUAUGAUAAUAUAUAUCUAUUAUAAGUUCAUAAUUCUACCAACGAAUUAUACAUGAAUAAAAUUAAAUAUAAUAUAUGGUUUAAUGUUAUUUAUAGUUGUUAUUGUUAAUUAAUUUUUUAAAAUUUAUUUGUUUAUGUUUUAAUUCUGUCAGUAUAAUUAUUUAAAACAUCAACCAUUACUUUUUAAUUUUAAAGGUAACAAUAUAAUCAUUUAUAUAGAGUUAUUUUUUAACUAUUGUUAUUGUAAGUUAUUUUAGGCUAUUUAUUUGGAAAUUUUUAAAGUUUAUAAAAAUAUCUUUUGGAAAUAUUAUAGUUAAAUUGAGAUUAUAAUUUACUUUUUUGCAUUUAUCACUACAAUUUAUCAGUUUUAACUGGUUACAAAAUAUUCUUUAGUUUUUUAAGUGGAACUGAAAUUUAUAUUUAAGUUGAAACUGUAAUUUUAUAUUUAAGUUAACAAUUUUUAAUUAUUUUAUCCAAACUGUUCAAAAGUUGAAGCUUUCAACUGAUAAUGGUUUACAUAUAACAACAUAUUAAAUCAAAUAAAUUAAGUAUAUUAUGUUAAAAGUUAAAGACAUAACUUUAUAAGUAGAAGUAAAGAUAUUAUUUUAAAAUUAAAUUUUAGUUUAUUUAUGAUUACAGUUUAGGUUUGAUAUUUAUUUAACCUUAUUAACCAAUUAAUGAUCAUUAUUAGAAAAACACUAUAAUUAUCACUUUUAAUAUAUAUAUAUANNNNNNNNNNNNNNNNNNNNNNNNNNNNNNNNNNNNNNNNNNNNNNNNNNNNNNNNNNNNNNNNNNNNNNNNNNNNNNNNNNNNNNNNNNNNNNNNNNNNNUAUUUAUUAAAUUAAUUAACCUAAUUAUAAUUAUUAUUAGAAAAAGAAAAAACAUCAUAAAUGGUCCCUAUGGUUACCCAAAAUCUGAAGUUUAGUUCUCGUGGUUUAAAAACCUCAUAAAUAGUCCCUGUGUUUUCAAAACUUUUGAUGUUUGGUCCUUUUUGCUUACUCCGUUAACUGAAGGGUAUUUUCAUCAUUUCACCACCACAGGGACCAUUUAUGAUGUUUUCUAGUAUUUUUUAAAAAAAGAAAAAACUAAACAUAAUGAAAUAUAUAAAAGGUCUCUCUCUCUCUCUUUCUUUGUCUCUCUCUCUCUCUCUCUCUCUCUCUCUCUCUCUCUCGCGCGCGCGCGCGCGUCAGCAACCAACACAUAUAUUGGUUUGUUCUUCAAUAAUCAAGAACACACAUAUAAACAUACCACCACCACUACCAAGAUAAUCGGUAAAGUAACCCUCAAGGAUCAAUCCUAUGUUGUCUACAAUGCAUUGGAAGCGUUCCACCAACCCUUUCUUCUACAUUAACAAACCCCCAAACCAGUGAAUUCAGAAUCGUUUCCGGAACAGUUUUGCUUUUUUUGAAUCUGAAAUCAUUUCUGGAAGAGAACUAAAUACAUCCCAACCCUUCUGCAAACAAACAUACAAAGAAACCAGAAAAAUAAAACCCAACAUUAUUCAUCGUUUUGAACCCUUCCUUUCCCAUUUUCUCCCUUCUUCUUGUUUUUGUUCUUAUUUAUACACCAAAUACCCACCUGAUCAAAUAAUUCACACAUCAAGAGGGGCUGUUUUGGGACAAGAUCCAGAAUAAUCCCAGAAUCCAUGUGUGGCUUUCGUUUCUGGGAUGAUUUGGAACCAAAAAAAUCAAAUGAAGCUCUAAUAGAUACCCAGAUGUGGAGUGGUUUUCGCCCGAUAGAUAACCAUAUAUGGAAUCGAAUCAAUCAAAUCCUAAAGAGAAGAAGAAGAAAAUAUUUAGGGUUGGGAGAAAGAAGACACACAGAGAUGCAAACCUAAAUGGGUUAUUGCUGGUUGCACAUACUAGAAAACUUGGUCAAGGUGUGUCUGUAAAAAGGUCAACAAAACUGAAUUCAGAUGAGCUGAUCUGAGAAGGAGGAAUUAAAGGGUGUAUACCUAAUGUGGAAUUAAAGGGUUGACGACUGCAAGUCGAUUGAAGGGAAAGGGGUAGGAGACUCAGAUUCGUCGGAGAAUCAACAUUAAUCUGGGUUUCUUUAAGAUCGAUUCAUGGAUGAGAUAAUAAGGUAGUGGGUUGCUGAAGGGAAUGAUGUUUCAUCGGAGGUGUUUUCACCGGCAGUGGGGUUUAAUCCUAAGGAGGUUAAGUAAACGAGGGGGGAUGACGACGAUAAGGUUGAAGCUUUUGACUGUGAAAUGUCCGACGAUUGUUGAGCAUGGUGGGAUUGGGUACGGUGGGGCGGUAGAUUUGCCACGGUGGGUGCAGUCUGUGGUCCAGGAGGAGUAGACGGUGGAGGUGUUUGAUUUGGAGUUAAUGAUGAACAAGGAUAUUGAAGAGGAAAUGGUGAGGUUGUUGCAGGUAUGAGUGUGUAUGUAAGAGAGAGAGAGAGAGAGAGAGAGAGAGAGAGAUCUAUUGGAUACUAAAUUUAAUUAUUUUUUUCUUUUUAAAAAAAUAAAAUAAAAGAAAACCUCAUAAAAGGUCCCUGGAUAGUUAAAUGACAGAAAUACCCUUUAUUUAACGGUAGAAAACUAACGGAGUUAGCAAAAAGGACCAAGCAUCAAAAGUUUUGAAAACACAGGGACCAUCUAUGAGGUUUUUAAACCACGGGGACUAAACUUUAGAUUUUGGGUAACCACAGGGACCAUUUAUAAUGUUUUUUUCUUAGACAAAAAUUGAAAAGUCAUGGGAGGUUCAAUUGAAUGUGGUGAAAGGAAAAAUGCAUGAGAGUUUCAAAUAAAUGUGAUGAUAGAAAAAAUGCUUCCAAUAUAUANNNNNNNNNNNNNNNNNNNNNNNNNNNNNNNNNNNNNNNNNNNNNNNNNNNNNNNNNNNNNNNNNNNNNNNNNNNNNNNNNNNNNNNNNNNNNNNNNNNNNNNNNNNNNNNNNNNNNNNNNNNNNNNNNNNNNNNNNNNNNNNNNNNNNNNNNNNNNNNNNNNNNNNNNNNNNNNNNNNNNNNNNNNNNNNNNNNNNNNNNNNNNNNNNNNNNNNNNNNNNNNNNNNNNNNNNNNNNNNNNNNNNNNNNNNNNNNNNNNNNNNNNNNNNNNNNNNNNNNNNNNNNNNNNNNNNNNNNNNNNNNNNNNNNNNNNNNNNNNNNNNNNNNNNNNNNNNNNNNNNNNNNNNNNNNNNNNNNNNNNNNNNNNNNNNNNNNNNNNNNNNNNNNNNNNNNNNNNNNNNNNNNNNNNNNNNNNNNNNNNNNNNNNNNNNNNNNNAUAUAUAUAUAUAUAUCUUUACUAUAUUAUUAAACAUAUUGUCUAUUUCUUGAAAAUUAAGAGGUAUAACUCUUAUAACACCAUGUACAAUUCUAUUAAGCUUACAAUGUAAGCCUAUACACACAUAUCAACGUAACUUACGGUCUUAGCUUCUCCUCUCCGUGUAGAUGUUGGAAAACCCUAAUAUCUCCCAUCAGCCAUCAUUUCUCCGAGAUCUCUUUCGUCUCCUUCAUUACUAUCUUCAAUCUUCGGUAGCCUCGAUUACCACCAACCUCCUGACGCUGUCGUUACCUUCAAUAGCAUAUGCCGCUUCUACCUUAUGUCGAGACGAGAAAACCUAACUCUAUCUUACUGCCACCAUUAACGCCAUCAUUGCACAUCGGAAACCCUAACCCUAAAGUGGCUCAAUCUUCAUGGUACGUAUCCCCCUCCAUUCAAAAUACCUGCAAGUAUUUUUGGAAUUUCCUAUUUUUCAGUUCGUCAAAUCUCUUUUUCUCUCACUCUCUCUAUCUCUUUCUCCCAUGAUUCCUCUCUUUUUCUUGCUCAUAGAAUUGAAAGGUAUACGUUUUUCUUACUUUGACAAGAGGCCUAAUAAUAACCCUAAACGGCGCAAUAACAUUUGUUUGUUCCAGAAAUUUCUUGGAUUCGACAACGAGUUCUACAUGUUGGUCAGUAUUCAUCUUCUUGAAUUUUUUAUUUCCUUUCGAUCUAACCUUUCUCUUUAAAUUUCUUGGAUGAUUUUCCUUUGUUUCCAACAUCAAAAGAGGUUGGCAUCUACACGUUUUGCUCUAUAAGGAAAUUAGGAUUUGUUCUCUCUGUCGCUUUUCAUUUAUCUUCUUUUUUGCAUAUCUAGCUAGGAGGGCUUUUGGAAGUGGUUGGAAUAGUGAAAUUUCAUUACUAUAAUUGGUGAUCCCCCAAAAGUAGGUUCGUAUAUUGAAAUGUUGACAAUUACCUAAUGGUGCUUUCUUACCCCUGAAGACGUUAUUCAUAUUUGGGUUUUGAUAUGUUUGGAGUUCCGUAAUUCAAUGUUUAUGGAUAACCUUUUUACUAUUUUCACAAAUGUUUAAUGCUUCCAUUUCUUGGAGUAACCUUAUGGUGUUCUUGAUGGAUGGGAAAUGACUUAGGUAUGCUCUUUUUACAACUUCAUGGGAUUAUGGCCGGUUAACCUAACCAACUUAAAAUAAAUUCACUAUUUUACCAAUCUGAAAUAAUAUAUUUUAAGCCAAUCUGUCUUUUAUUUUAAGAAUAUCAAUUCUUCUGCAUUGGUGUGAUAUAAUAUGUUGGCGAGAGCUGGAUAAGCUCUAAUUUUCUAGAUAAUUAUCAACCGGUUGUAUUUCCUUGUUUGUAGCAUAUAGAUUAGAAGUUUGUUAUUUUGCAUAUGUAUAAAUCCUUGUGCUCUGUUUAUUUUAUCAUAUAUCAAAAAUUUGGAAAUCCCUUUCCUCUAUACGUAUUCUCUCAAGCUCUCAUGGUAUCAGAGCAAAUCCUUUGAAAGUCUUGUAACAGAUAAGCAAUGGUGGAAUCUGAAACUGGAGGUGGAUCUGGUUCGAAUGCACCAGUCGUUGCACAAAACAUUCAAGAUGCACCGUUCCCUUCUGGUGUCAUUCUUGACGAAAAUAAUUAUCCUUUGUGGUCUCAGUUAAUGGAGAUGUGCAUAGGAGCUCGUAACAAAUCCCGUUUUCUCACUGGAUCCUCGGUUAAACCAACAACGAAUGAGAAACUUAUCGAAUCAUGGAUCACGGAUAACAACAAAGUGAAAAGUUGGCUCAUUGAUUCAAUGAGUCCAACCCUAAUGCGAAGAUUCAUCUGACUGUAAACGGCGGCUGAAAUCUGGAGUGUUGUAUCGAAAACUUUUUAUGACGGGACAGAUGAGACCCAACUCUUUGAACUAAACCGUAAGUCCUUCAGCACUUGCCAGCACGGAAGACCUUUAGCAACUUAUUACAAUGAAUUGGUUAGUCUCUUUCAAGAGAUUGACACACGUAUGAAUGAUGAAUCUGAUAAUGUUGAGGCAGCGGUGGCGGUAAACAAGGCGUUGUCAAGAUUCAGGGUCCACAUCUUUCUUGCCGGCUUGGAUCCCGAGUUUAACCAAGUUUAGAGCGAAUAUUUUAGAAAGGACCUUCCUCUUACCCUUGAGUCUUGUUAUGCAUAUAUUCGGAAGGAUCAUAAUCAAAGGAGUGCAAUGGAGGCUGUACCCGUUGAACCCGAUAGCAUGGUCCAUGCUGCAACCCGUAACAGACCGUUCAAGAAUAAACGUCCAAACAAAAAAGGCGGAAACAAUUUCGCAUGAACUCACUGUGGAGAGAUAGGCCACUCAAAAUUAAAGUGUUACAAGAUCAUCGGUUAUCCGGACUGGUGGGAUUUUUUGAAGAAACCUAGGAAGAAGGUCAGGCAAGGACUAGCGGCGGCUGCACCUUCCUCUUCCAAUAGUGAAGGUGCUUCGGUGGCAGCCCAUACUUUCACAAAUUCUGGUAAGUCUUAUCCUAACCACACGAAAACUAGUAGUUGGAUAAUCGAUACGGGAGCCACCGAUCAUAUAACAAACAAUCCUAAUAUCUUAACCACAUCUUGUACACCAAAACAAUCGAAAAUUUAUACAGCUAAUGUAAAUGUCGAAAGUGUAACUGUUGAAGGAACAGUAAAGGUCUCUAAAUCCAUUGAAUUAGACUUCGUACUUGUUGUUCCCUCCAUAUCAACCAAUUUACUUUCAGUUAGCCAAGUUACUGAAGUUCUAAACUGUUGUAUUAUCUUCUGGCCAAAUGAUUGUGUGUUUCAGGACAUGGUGACACAUCAGAUUCGUGGCUAUGGUACUAGGAGGGGGAGACUCUAUUAUUUGGAAGAAGAUUGUAGGAGUCAAGUGAAUCACGUGGGAGUAAUAGAAGCAAAUAAGUCCAUGAUUGUGAUAUGGCACUGCCGCCUUGGACAUCUUUCUUUUGAGUAUCUUAGGAAAUUAAAACCCAAUUUGUUUUUGAAUGUAUCGAACAAUUGUUUUAAUUGUGAUAUAUGUGAACUUUCAAAAAAUAAAAGAAUAUCCUAUAGUCCUAGUACUCAUAAAGUUACAAUGCCUUUUAUGCUAAUUCACUCCGAUGUGUGGGGGCCGGCACCAAUUGCUACUCGUAAUGGUGCACGCUAUUUUGUUACUUUCAUAGAUGAAUGCACACGUAUGAUAUGGGUAUCACUUCUCAAAUACAAAGGAGAAGUUUUUAAUGCAUUUGUAGAAUUAUAUAAUCAUGUGAAAACGGAGUACAGGAGGGAUAUUCAAACUCUCCAAUCGGAUAAUGGUGGGGAAUACGUGAGCCUUGAUAUGAAAAACUUUUGCAAACAAAACUCAAUCCGCCAUCAAACUUCAUAUGCAAAAACACCACAGCAAAACGGGUUAGCUGAACGGCGAAACAAAUCUAUACUAGAGAUAGUACGUGCCUCACUCUUUGACAUGAAAGUCCCUAGGAAUUUUUUGGGGAGAGGCGGUCCGAUCUGCUGCUUACAUUAUGAACCGCACACCCUUGAGGGUGAUCCAAUUUGAUACCCUUCUUAAAAGGCUUCAUAAUCUGCUAGAAACGGAACCAAAAGUGAAUUUGGAGCCACGUAUAUUUGGGUGUACUGUAUUUGUUCAUCAAAACUCCAGUAACCUUGAACCACAAGCUGCUCGAUGCAUGUUCAUCGGAUAUGCGGAAUACAAGAAAGGUUAUAGAUGCCUUGAUCCUGACAAUGGGAAAGUGUAUGUGACCCGUGAUGUCUCAUUCCACGAGACGGUACCGUAUUUCUCGAAUGAGGUAUCACUUCAGGGGGAGAGAAAUAGUGAUGAAGUGAUCCGAAUAAGACACAAAACUCUAAUUCUAGUAAUGAUGAUGACGAAGUUGUAUGUGUAAGUGAACAGAUACCACUGACACAAAUGUUUGAUGAAUCAGUUGUGGAAACAAAUCCUUUUCAAGGAUUCGAUGAAGGUUUUGAGACAGAGACAGAGGAAGGGAAUGAUACCGAUGAUGCCAUUUUUACAGAUGUAGCCAGCUAUACAAACAAUGGUAACAAUAAUAUAAUGGGUUCUGUUUUACAGACACAUGAGCAAGAACCGGAGGCGAGUGGAAUACCUGAUGAAGAUGGCGACAACACUCAAAGACUCCCAGCACGAAGUACACGUGGAAAACCAAAGAAAAUGUACGAACCAGACCCAAAGGCGAAAAAGAAAUACCCGAUCUCAAAUUAUGUUUCUCAACAUAGGCUCGCGGAAGCACAUGCUUGUUUGGUAGAUAAUUUGGUAAGCACCACUAUUCCAGAAAAUAUUGAAGAAGCUUUAAAAUAUGAGGGGUGGAGACAAGCAGUGAAUGAAGAGAUGAAAGCACUUCAAAUGAACCAAACAUGGGAUCUAGUAACUCUUCCUCAUGGAAAAAAAGACGGUGGGGUGUAGAUGGGUUUUCACUGUGAAAUUGGACUCAAAUGGGAAUGUGGUAAAACUCAAAGCUAGGUUGGUGGCGAAAGGGUAUACACAGAAGUAUGGAAUCGAUUAUGGAGAUACGUUUGCACCGGUGGCAAAGAUGAACACAAUUAGAAUUCCCAUUUCACUUGCUAUAAAUGAAGAUUGGCCAUUAAAGCAGUUUGAUGUAGAGAACGCCUUCUUAAAUGGCUAUCUUGAAGAAGAAGUUUACAUGGACCCUCCUCCGGGUGUUGAUAGUCAUGGAAAGGUGUGUAAACUGAAGAAGGCCUUGUAUGGGUUAAAGCAAUCACCGCGAGCAUGGUUCGGACGGUUCUCUACCUUUAUGAAGAAGAUAGGUUAUAGAAAAAGUGAUGCAUAUCACACUUUGUUUAUAAAGACCAAGCCCGGGAAAGUGACGGCCCUAAUCAUUUACGUGGACAAUAUGGUAGUAACAGGAAAUGAUAAAGAAGAAAUUGAAAGGUUUCAGAAGAUCUUGGCCACUGAAUUUGAACUAAAGGACCUUGGAAGUUUGAAAUACUUCUUAGGUAUUGAAGUAGCAAGGUCUAAAAAUGGAAUAUCGAUGAAUCUAAGGAAGUUUAGUUUGGAUCUUUUAACAGAAACCGGCAUGUUGGAUUGUAAAUCCAUUGAUACGCCUAUUGAAGUGAAUCAUCACUUAGAGAUGGUUCCUGAUCAAGUGCCUGCUAACAAAGACCGUUUCAAAAGCUAGUAGGGAAGUUGAUCUACUUAUCUCACACACGACCUGACAUAGCUUAUGCUGUGUCAGUUGUAAGCAGGUUUAUGCAUGCUCCAAGUGAGAAACAUAUGCAGGCUGUUUUUCAAAUCUUAAGAUACCUAAAGUCAUCUCCUGGUAGGGGUUAUUCUUUGGAAAACAUCAAGACCAUAAUGUAAGUGGUUUUACAGAUGUUGAUUGGGCUGGCGAUCGUAGUGAUGGAAAGUCCACUUCCGGAUAUUUUACAUUCGUUGGAGGAAAUUUAGUUACCUGGAGAAGUAAGAAACAAAAGGUUGUCUCUAGGUCUAGUGCAGAAGCUGAGUUCAGAGGAAUGGUUCAUGGCACUAGUGAACUUUUGUGGAUUAAACGCAUCUUAAGGGAUCUAGGAGUAUCUCUAAGGGCUCCAAUGAAGUUGUAUUGUGAUAAUGAAUUAGCGGUGAAGAUUGCUAAUAAUCCAGUUCAACAUGAUAGAACUAAGCAUGUGGAAAUUGACAGACAUUUCAUCAAAGAUCACUUGGAACGUAAGACAGUAGAACUUCCACACGUAGGAUCGGAAGAUCAACUUGCAGACAUGUUGACCAAAGCAGUGUGUGGAAGGACUUUUCGUAUCUCUCUUGACAAGCUAGGAAUGGUAGAUAUCCAUUCUCCACCUUGAGGGGGGGUGUUGGCGAGAGCUGGAUAAGCUCUAAUUUUCUAGAUAAUUAUCAACUGGUUGUAUUUCCUUGUUUGUAGCAUAUAGAUUAGAAGUUUGUUAUUUUGUAUCUGUAUAAAUCCUUGUACUCUGUUUAUUUUAUCAUAUAUCGAAAAUCUGGAAAUCCCUUUCCUCCAUACGUAUUCUCUCAAGCUCUCAUAAUAUAAUGAUUUUUUUCUUCUAUUCAAUAAUUAAAUUUUUCUAGGUUGUAUUUUUCUAUGACCUUAAUCUUUUCUUUUUCUUUGUUUUUGCAGUCAAAGAUGCAGGAGAAAUUGGUGGAAUCUGUUUAUUGCUAACAUUCAUUUUGCAUUCUAUCUUGCUUUUAAACUUUUCAUUGACUUAGUUGUAUUGGUUUUUGUGUUUUUCAAUCAUGUAUACAUGAAUUUUUAGCUUUUGUUGAAGCUGUUACAAGAACGAGGUUGUGGCCAGUUAAAAGUAUAAAGAUUGGUUUAAAGGUGUUCAAUAAUCAUGAGGGGCAUUAUUAUUUUAAAUGCAUAUUAAAAACAAGGUUUUUGUCAUCCAAGUAUGUGCUACUUACUAAUGUGGAACAUGGUUUUUGAGAACCACAUGUAAGCAUUUUAUCACAAAAAGAAGACAAAGGUAUGCAAUCAUUUCUUUGUGUACUUGACCACGAUCUUCUAAUAUAUUUGUUGUUAUAUUGCCAUGGUUCACAAGUAUUUUCUAGACAAGUAAUUCUCCAUGUUACAUGUAAGAACAGAUAAAAUGGCUACAUGUCUAGAAAUUUACUCUACAAUGAAUAGGUAGUACACAAUAAUCUUCUAGUGAUUGAUAUAUGCCUACGAAAUGUUGUGGUGGUGUGUUUGUUUGUUUGUUUGUUUGUUUUUUCCAUAUUUGUAUCUCAUGUACAAUCAAUGUCAAUGAAUGGUGUUUUGUUCGUUUUCAUUUUUGACAGUGCUUGAAGAAAGAAAAGAAUACGGUGGGGACAUUAUUUUUCCAAAACUCAGGUUAAAAUUUUUGAAGUACGGUGGGGACAUUAUUUUUCCAAAACUCAGGUUAAAAUUUUUGAAGUUUCUAUGAUCAGAAGAAGGGCACCACACCAUGCCAUGUUUUCUUUGCUAAAGUGUAAAAGACGGGUUUGUAGCUGCCUAAAAGUCAAAUCUUGUGGUUGUAAUUUUGUUUACUUUCGGUGUUACGAAAAUAUAUAUAUAUANNNNNNNNNNNNNNNNNNNNNNNNNNNNNNNNNNNNNNNNNNNNNNNNNNNNNNNUAUAUAUAUAUAUAAAUAACAAAUAUGUUAUAAAUUUAUAAAAUCUAUUGUAAGAUAUUGACACAUUAAUAUAACUUUUUUCGUUUGCUUGAUUGUUCAUACAUUUAACUCAUGAGUUUCCUUUUUAAUAGAUUUUCUAUUGGGAGAUUUAAUUUUAAUUUUAGAUACAUUUAUUGAUUUUCUUUUAAUAUAAUAAUAUUUUUUUAUCGAAAAAUGUUGUGAACGUUUGAUUAGUGUUUAUGCAUAUAUAAAAGUUAUACAAUGUGAAUCUAUGAAUUGAUGAUAUUUUUUUAUAUACUAUAUUUUUUAUCUAUAUUUUUUUAAUUUUCUGGCAUUAAAUGAAAACACCAAAAUAUAAGUCUUAAAACUUGAUGAAAAUGAUAAAGGUUGUAAAUAUUGACAAUUUUAGUCCAACUAUUAAUUCAACUUGAUAGGCACAACAUAUGAGUCUCGUAAACAAUUAGGGUUAAAAAUUUGACAUUCUGUUUUUACAACCUAUAGAAAUCUAUUUUUUGAAAGAGAAUGUAUGCCACGACGCCAACUAAAAGGAAACAAAGCGUCAAGAAAAAUAUUGAUCAUGUGUGCCAUUACGAAAAUUGAGUAAUAUAAUUGAACGAGAUUAGCUCAAGUACAACACUAAAUCAAAAUGCAUAAAAGCGGAACUAAAAUGAAAUAACUAAAUCUGAACAAAAAAUGUGAUUUCAAACCUAAAAAGCUAACAAAAAAGACUGAUAGAACAACUAAGCUUGAUGAAACCCAACUGAAAAAAUAAGACGUGUUAGAAUCGGUUUUUUCGCAUGACUGACUUUAUGUGACAUUAUUCAGAGGGAUAUCACGUGCCAAUCCAUGAGUGAACUUUGACGAGCAAUUAAAUGUCAAUGAAGUCUAUACAUCAAAUGUGAUGUAUAAAGAUAUGUUGCACGAUUAAUAAUACACAAUCAAUAAUGUGCUCAUUUAUACUAGCAUGACUCUUAUUCAUAAUUAUUUAUAUGUAAUAAACUAUUUCCAUAAAACAAUUAAUCGGCUGUAAAAACUAAUUUGAGUAAAAAUUAUUUGCACCCGUUGCUUGGCGUGGGUAACGGCUAGUAUAUAUAUAUAUAUANNNNNNNNNNNNNNNNNNNNNNNNNNNNNNNNNNNNNNNNNNNNNNNNNNNNNNNNNNNNNNNNNNNNNNNNNNNNNNNNNNNNNNNNNNNNNNNNNNNNNNNNNNNNNNNNNNNNNNNNNNNNNNNNNNNNNNNNNNNNNNNNNNNNNNNNNNNNNNNNNNNNNNNNNNNNNNNNNNNNNNNNNNNNNNNNNNNNNNNNNNNNNNNNNNNNNNNNNNNNNNNNNNNNNNNNNNNNNNNNNNNNNNNNNNNNNNNNNNNNNNNNNNNNNNNNNNNNNNNNNNNNNNNNNNNNNNNNNNNNNNNNNNNNNNNNNNNNNNNNNNNNNNNNNNNNNNNNNNNNNNNNNNNNNNNNNNNNNNNNNNNNNNNNNNNNNNNNNNNNNNNNNNNNNNNNNNNNNNNNNNNNNNNNNNNNNNNNNNNNNNNNNNNNNNNNNNNNNNNNNNNNNNNNNNNNNNNNNNNNNNNNNNNNNNNNNNNNNNNNNNNNNNNNNNNNNNNNNNNNNNNNNNNNNNNNNNNNNNNNNNNNNNNNNNNNNNNNNNNNNNNNNNNNNNNNNNNNNNNNNNNNNNNNNNNNNNNNNNNNNNNNNNNNNNNNNNNNNNNNNNNNNNNNNNNNNNNNNNNNNNNNNNNNNNNNNNNNNNNNNNNNNNNNNNNNNNNNNNNNNNNNNNNNNNNNNNNNNNNNNNNNNNNNNNNNNNNNNNNNNNNNNNNNNNNNNNNNNNNNNNNNNNNNNNNNNNNNNNNNNNNNNNNNNNNNNNNNNNNNNNNNNNNNNNNNNNNNNNNNNNNNNNNNNNNNNNNNNNNNNNNNNNNNNNNNNNNNNNNNNNNNNNNNNNNNNNNNNNNNNNNNNNNNNNNNNNNNNNNNNNNNNNNNNNNNNNNNNNNNNNNNNNNNNNNNNNNNNNNNNNNNNNNNNNNNNNNNNNNNNNNNNNNNNNNNNNNNNNNNNNNNNNNNNNNNNNNNNNNNNNNNNNNNNNNNNNNNNNNNNNNNNNNNNNNNNNNNNNNNNNNNNNNNNNNNNNNNNNNNNNNNNNNNNNNNNNNNNNNNNNNNNNNNNNNNNNNNNNNNNNNNNNNNNNNNNNNNNNNNNNNNNNNNNNNNNNNNNNNNNNNNNNNNNNNNNNNNNNNNNNNNNNNNNNNNNNNNNNNNNNNNNNNNNNNNNNNNNNNNNNNNNNNNNNNNNNNNNNNNNNNNNNNNNNNNNNNNNNNNNNNNNNNNNNNNNNNNNNNNNNNNNNNNNNNNNNNNNNNNNNNNNNNNNNNNNNNNNNNNNNNNNNNNNNNNNNNNNNNNNNNNNNNNNNNNNNNNNNNNNNNNNNNNNNNNNNNNNNNNNNNNNNNNNNNNNNNNNNNNNNNNNNNNNNNNNNNNNNNNNNNNNNNNNNNNNNNNNNNNNNNNNNNNNNNNNNNNNNNNNNNNNNNNNNNNNNNNNNNNNNNNNNNNNNNNNNNNNNNNNNNNNNNNNNNNNNNNNNNNNNNNNAUAUAUAUAUUAUUGGGAGGGCAAAUGAAAUACAGCAAAACUUGAUUAGCUAAGCCUUUGUAAAAACAAUUAAAAGCGUUUGUAACAUCAGAGGUGAAGUUGAUGAAUUCUUGGCUGUCUAGAAAAUACAGCACGAUGUAUGUGAUGCUAGAACUUAAUUGUGGCAAGAUUUGAAAGUAAACGCAUUUUUUUUGUGGAAUGGAAUAGGAUUUAUAUUAGAUCACUUAUCGAAUACUUUUUAUACAAAAAUUUUCACAUGAUUAUUAUUAAUAGUGUAAAUCUUGGAUUAUAUAAUAUUUCUACCAAGGGAGUAUGUAACCUUUGGAUUUAUGUUUGAUGCAUUUUUGCAUACCAGGUUAAAGAGUUUUAUAAUGAAAGAGUCUACGUGGUGACUUUUGUUUAAAAGUUUCUACGAGAUUAAGUAAACACCCGGCUUUUAAAAAUGAAUUUGGGUUAAUAAGUUAAUUUCAUGAAAAGAAACAUAAUUAACAGGAACCUUAUUAAAAUAAUAUGGAUUGGUACUAUGUUGUUUUAGUUACCCAAAAGUAAAGUAAUUUUUUUUACAUUUCAUGAAAAAUUAUACAAAAAGAAGGUAAUUUAAACAAAGUUUUUAUUGUAAACUUUAAUUUAUAAAUAUAAAAUAAUUAUUUUACAUAAUUCAUCCACAUGGCCUAAGGAGUAAAGCAAAAUCUAAAAUUUAGAUAAACAAAACCAAAUUAAUUUUUUUAACUAAUGUUUAUUAAUCCAGAAGCAAUAAUAAUUAAAUGCAAAUAAAUAACAGUUGACGAGAUAAAAAUGAUAUGGUAAUAUAUAUGUUAACAAAAAACAGUGAUAUGAUUUUAUUUUAACCAAACGACGGCUAUCCACAUUGAUAAAUCAUAAAUGUUAAAGCAGUCGGAUAAUUGAAAAAAACAUAAAAAAAAAAGCAAAAAAUACUUGCAAAGCCACCGAAUAAGUUUCUAAGACAAACAUCAUUCGUUUAUCUUUUUAUUAUUAUUUGUUUUGCCAAAAUAAAUAAAAUAAAAUAUAUGAUUUUUCAAAAAUAUUUAAUUUGAGAAAACUUAGAAAAUCAUAUCUAAAUAGAUUGGAUUUUUUUAUUCUUCUUUGUAUGAUAUGAAAAAAUUUAUAUAAAAGUAGUAAACAAAUUUAGAAUUUUUUUUCUAUAAAUAAACUAUAAUAUCGACAUAUUUUCAUAUUCAAUUAUGAUUUUAUAAUUUCUAAUCUUUUUUGAUUUCUUAUUUUUUGUAAUAGAUCAUUCGUUUCUAAAUAAUUUAUUUGAAUUUUGAUGGCUCUCAAGAUCAUCUAGAUACUCAAUAUUAUGAAAACUCUACGUUUUUUAAAAUCCAAAUCAAAUCUUUGUCACUGGAAAUCUUAAAACCUCAUAACAUAUUAAAGUUAAUAUUUUGAAAAACUUUUAUUAGAAUAAAAAAGAUUUACAAAUUAUAUUUAUUUUAUUAUCAAUUUUUGUAACUUGGUUAAAUACUUAGUGGUUUUUAUAGUUUGAUCUGAUAGUCGCAAAGAACCAUUCACCAGAAUGAAUUAAUUACCGCUUGAAAAUAUUGUUGUAUGUCACAUUGCGCGUGUCAAUACAAAAAUAUUAGUGAAGUCUGACAAACAAUUCAACAACGGGGAAGUUUAUACAUCAAAUGUGGUGUAUAAAAUAGUGUUAUACGAUUAAUAAUACAGAAUCAAUCUUAUGUUCAUGAACAUUUAUAAAUAAUCUCAAAUUUUCAUUUAUAAUUCUUAUUGAUUUCGUUUAUGCUACCAUGAUUCUUAUUGAUAAUUGUCUAGAUGUAUUAACUAUUUGCAUAAAAUAAUUAAUCGCCUCUACAAUUUAGUUUCUAGAAGAAAUUAUUANACAGAGCUAGGUUCAAAUGUGGAUUGAUAUCUAUUGUGUGGACGUGUGGACAUGUUAUUCUGUGAGAAUGACAAAGAAAAAUUAUGUUCUUUGAUAAUGUGAAUACAUUCAAUCUUACAUAACUAUUGUCAUUAUUACACAUUCUCAUUAAUUAAACCAUCUAUCAGGUUAUUAUAGAUUUUUUUAUUAUUCUCAUUUUGUCAUAAUAUUGUCAGAACUUUUAUUGAGUCGUAUUCUGUAAAACUAAAAAUGAAUGAUAACGAUGUGUGAGAACAAAAAUGAAUAAGAAUUAGUGAAAAUGCAUGAAAAUGACAAUAGUUAUGUGAGGUUGAAUGUAUUCAAAUUACUAAAUAACAUAUUCUAUUAACAAUUCUUAUAGAAUAACAAUGUCCACACUGCCGUACAAUAGUUGUCCAUCCAANAAGUUUAAUUUAUUAAAUUAGACCACAUAGUAUUUUAAAAGUGUAAAAUACACCAUUAUAAUAUAUAUAUAUAUAUAUAUAUAUAUAUAAUUAAAAAGGAAAGAAUAAUCAUAAAUUCUUUACAUAUAAAUAUGUUUAAUUCUAUAUUGAGUAUAUCAUUUAUGAUUAUUCAAAUAUGUAUAUUUAUUGUUCAUUAUUCAUAUAUGAUUAUCGAGUAAUCCAAUAUGAAUAACACUAGUACAAAAAUAACAUACGUUCACAUUACGUUCACUUUAAAAAAAAAUGUGUUAUUUACUUGUCACUAUAAAAAAAAUGUGGCCAAAUCUGACCAACUACCAUGAUAUUUGUGUUUUUUACAAAAAUGUGUCAUUUACUUGCCACGGUAAGAAAAUGUGUCAUAUCUAACGCAUCUGAUCUAUCCUCUACAAUCUCAGUUGUAUUGUUCUUUCUAUUUUCUUCACCAAUAAACUCAACUAGUGUGUCAACAUUCAUAUAGAAAUCAUCCAUGUCCAUCUCUACAUCAUCUAUAAUGUUCUCUUUGUCUACUUAAUACACACUAUCAUCAUUAUCUUCAGUUCCAUCACUACCAUCACUACUAUAAUUAUUAUCUCUUUCUUCUUGGCCAUUGUCUUCUCGUUGUUCCAUAUAACAUCUUUGUGGUCAUCGUUCUGUCUUUCUUCUUGGUCCAUGAAACCUUGGUAGUUCAUGAAAUUAUCUGGAACCAUAUCCUCAUUUUACAAAACAUGUUAUAUUAUCGUAAGCUCAUCUUUGCUCUGUGAAAUCCAACAAGUUUUCUAGAUCUAACACAACUUGUUUAUCAAGAAAAUCUCUAUGAUCCAUUGCAUCAUCGUGGUCCAUGGUAUCUGUGCGAUCCAUUGCAACUAGGUGUCAAUGCUAUCUUCAUGGUGUUCUUGGUAUAAUGUAGCUUAAUUGUUCCUUAGUAAAAUUUGUGUUAUCCAUUAUGACUUGGUGGUCCAUGGUAUAUUCAUACUCCAUGGUAGCUUGGUGUUGUUGACCUUUACGCAUAUCACUAACCUCAUCAUCUCUUAUCAACAUGCCAUCAUCAUUGACCUCAGCAACACCAUCAAAGUUAGGACCAAUUACAUGGUGUUCUUUACCCCUGCUCAUAUCACUGAUGAACUCAUUAUUUCUGAUCCUUAUGUGAAUCACAUGGUCCAUGUUCAACUUCGUACUACAAUAUGUAACAAAUUUGUUAUGUUAUCAAACCCUUUUCCUCUUAUAUUUUGGAGACAAUAUUAUACUCUUGGCAUUCACAUUAGCUAAAUUAACCUCUCAUUUUUCAACAACUAAAACAAGAGAUGUCUCUCUUUUAGGCGACUGAACUUUAUUAACAAUGAUGGUUAAUUAUGUCCUCUGUCUCACUAAUCUCUUCAAUAAUAACCUUUAUCUUGUUGUACUUCACAAACUGAGCAAUUUUGUAUACAUCUUCAUCGUUACACAAAACAUGAAGUCUAAAGUGGCAGUCACUAUUAGGUAUGAGGAAGUGCUAGUAGAUUGUAUAGCAUAGCCCAAACCUUUCAUUAUUAUAUCAAGUUGGUGAACCAAAAGCUCAUCAAUAUUCACCGUAUCAAUGUACGAAAUAGUGCCAUCAAUGUACUUCAUGUUUAAAAGUCUAGUCAACUCACCACCGUGGUAAAGUUUAAUGGUGAACAAAGAAGAUAUCCCAUCUUCAAAACAUGGAGAAAGAAGGUCACAUUUUUACUCGUUUUUUCAUAAUUGGAAAAAGAUGAUCAACUUAUAGUAGAAAGCUUUGGGGUCCACUCUAUGUUUCUAUGUCGAAAUUACUACAUUUUAAAGCUCGUGAACAAGGAACAUGACGAACUAAAGAAACUUGAUUCGGGUUUUAACGAGGAACAACACUUUCAAUGAUGGUAACGAGGGGGCAACUGAUAAUUAAGGAUUAUUUAUGCAAUCGGGAAACAAGUUGGAUUUAACAUGUGUUUUGCAUAACUAUUAAGUCGAAGGACCAAUUCUACAUAAAAAUUUUAAUUUUCGAUAGAGCAUGCGAACAAAAUAAAUUGGACUCGAAUCGUACUUCUUUUAUAAACCAUAUGGACCAAUUGUCCAAUUUAACGAAGAGUGUACAUAUAAAUGCAAACAGCUUUCAAAUGUUCACAGUCGCAUCCCAUGAAUAUCCCACAAUCAUUUACAAUUAACUUUUACAAGUUGAAGUCCUACCGAAAAUUCACUAAUAAGCUGUAUAAUAUUGCACAACAAUUGAUUAAAAAAAACCCUAAGGUAUCUGUUAAUUCACGAUGAUCCAAACGACGCAUUCGUAUUCUGCACCCGCAAGUCAUGGUAGAACCGGCUAAUGAACUGCUCAGCCGCGUCAUUCACCUGGUUGUCCUCGUCCACACUACUUAACGGAAACGGAGAGUCGGUUACCCUCAGCUGCCUAACCAUCGGUGUACUCCCAAACCCUGGAAGCGCCGGUGAGGAAUUGUCGCUGUGAAUCAUCUCCAUGGCUUUAAACACAGCGUUAACAGCCAUCAUAUCAAGAUGAUCCUUCGAUGGUUUGCUGUUGGAGUGAUGUUUCUUGUGGAAUGAAAAUAGAGAGAAAGGGUGGUUACUAGUGAGCGCAGGGCUGUUGCUGCAGCUGAACUCAUAUUCACCUAGCGGAGUUGAAGGGAAAGAGACGUCGUGGGAUCGGUGGUUGGUGGUGAAAGAUGCCCGGUUGUUAUGGUGGUGGAACAUAAGGUUCUGUAAGGCUUUUCCGGCGAUCUUCCCACGCUUUAUCAUCAUGUUGAGGUCCAGCAACAACUUUCUCUUGGAUAUGCCUUUUCGCAGCAUGAAGUAAACCACACGAACCAGAUUCCAAACUUUCUUGGGCAAAACCGGUAGAUUUUG